Molecule: long non-coding RNA, 92679 nt
Filed under: Sorghum bicolor (sorghum)
Lineage: Eukaryota; Viridiplantae; Streptophyta; Magnoliopsida; Poales; Poaceae
Description: long non-coding RNA (SBIC_LNC002951)
Source: RNAcentral
AUAUGGGAAGGUUGAGCUGCUGUUUAUCUGUUCCUAGAGAUGCUAGAAUUUUGGAGAAUUUUAUCUUUGAAAAUCUUUAAAAUAACACAUGAUGAGUUCCUGUAUGAUGAGAGUUUAAAUUCCUACCACAGCUAUAUAUACAUGCUUGCUAGACUUUGAGCCACACAUUUAUUUUUUUACUGCUUAUGAGCAUUGAGUGUGGUAAAGCUGUGUAGACUCUUAGGAGCUUGUCAUGUGGUUAAAUCAUGAUUCACUUGCACAUUCACUCAUACAUGCUGCUUCUACUCUGGAAGUACGCAUCCACAUACAUCCACUCAAUUCCAUCUUCAGAUUCACCCGAAAAUAUUCUACUCCUAAUCUGGGAGAGAAUAGCCAAAAAACAUUCUCCUAUUCCUGUUUUUCCCUGUGAAAUAAAUGCUCAAGAUAUUUUGGUUACUACCACUUGCUAUAUUAUUCUAGGAGGAUGAGUGCUCUAAAAAAAAGUGAAUACGAGGAAAUAAAAAGGGGCAAGUGCCCGGAACCUCGAAGAAAAGAAAAAGUGGGACGAGAGGUAAAAAUGGACAAGUGUCCGACAGUAGAAUUAGGGGUACAAGAUACCCACCUGAGAGAAAAGAAAAAAAAAGAGAAAAUAUAGAGCAUCUCAAAAAGCUUCAAAGUGCAAGAAAGGUAUGUAUCCCCUCAAAAGAGCAAACGUAGAAUUAGACUUUCACCAUUAUUAUCACCAUCAUCACCAUACACCUUUUAUUCGCCACACAUGCACAUCUUGAUUUGACUUAUUGACUUGUUCUUCUGGAUCCAUGAUUUGACUAUGCAAUAAAUGUCUUGUAAGUAUGUAUUAGCUGUCUCCCUCCUUUGAGCUCCAGAUAUCAAAACCUUAUUAGAGUAGGGUGAGAGAGAAGGCAAUGCCACUAUGCCUCAUAACAAAAAUACCACAUACUUUGAGAGAAGGCAUAUACCAUUACUGCCUUGGUAAGGAUCCAAAAAUACCACAAAAGAGAGACUAGAGAGAGUCAUACAAGAAAUCUCUGAGUUUUAUUUGAAAAUCUACAAAAACUCCAGAGCUAUAGCUGAUCAAGAAUAAGAGACAUGGUGCUUGACUAGACCGUUCUAUCUUUUAACUGCUCAAGACAGAAGUGACAGUUACAAGUCCCAUGGUAAAAGGUAAAACAAGUAAGUUUUCAGUCUUGACAGUUUACUCUAACAUAGAGAUGAGAUCUUGUUUGGACGCAUGUGUAUCUUUAAGGCAUGAAACCACUGAGAAACUCUUGAGUUCAUCUUUGCUCAGGGACGAGCAAAGGUUAAGCUUGGGGGAGCUUGUUGACGGUCCUUAAUGCUCAUAUUUAACCAUCAAUUAAUCAUGGAAAAGGAUCCAAAUGCAACCAACACCUAGACUUAGGGUUUUAUCUAACAGAAUUCCACGAGUUUUGGUGUUUGUCUAUUUCUACAGGGGGUUAUCAAGAAAUACGGAAGAAAGGCCCACACGUCGGGUUUACAUAGAGAUAUUAAUGUGCCGUGCAAUUUACUAUCAUCUAAAAGACUCCAGAAGCCACGGGAACAAAGUGGAAUCCGAGAGGGCUCAGGGACAGGGCGCCCGCCCUAGUCCUGAGGGCGCCCGCCACUUUCAGAGUCCAAUCAGGACACGUUACGGGGAUUAUGCUCCACCGACCUAAAGGAUCAAGGAUAACCGUUCAAUCAAUGUCGGUUUGAUCUGACGGCCCAGAUUCAUGUGAAAAGACUAUAUAAGCAAGGCCCCCUAGCCCCUGGAGAUCAUACCUCUUCUACAGAAUCAAAGCUAGGGUUUUAAUUCUUCAUCCAAGUAGAGAGGAUCCCUCUAGUUCUUCUAGUUCUAUCUCUAGUUCAUCUAGAUCUAGUUCUAGUUCAUCUAGUUCUAGUUCUAGUUCCUCUAGUUCUAGUUCUAGUUAGUUCUAGUUGCAAUAUAGAAUAUAGGGAGAGAGAAGAGGAGAGUGGAGGAGGAGCCGGAUCUGUCGGAUCUUCCUCAACAUUGUACUUUUGUAGCAACUGGUUCGUUCUUCAUCGUUCUCCAGGUUCUUCAAUUCAUAAUUCCUGAGUUCUUUAAUUACUUUUAUUUACAUUCAAGUUAUUUGUUGGAUUCCUGCUUCCAUCAAGUGCUCUAGUCUUUGAUACGCUAGAGUAGUAAUUAAUAGAUUAGACAUGGUGUUUAGUCUUGCAAUUACCUGAAAUUGCACCCAAUCCUGCGGAUUGUUGUGGUAGCCUUAGGGCAGUGACAGCCCUAACGGUCGACGUAUUCCACCUCGUUCGGAUUAGUGUUUGUAGGACCGUAGUCAGACCUUCCUAGCCCCCUUCUCAUCUCUUUCUGUGGUUAGUGCUCUGAUGUCCCGAUAUAAAUAAUCUUGAAGAAAUUCUUGAUUCUUAGAUCAAAUAGAUAACUCUCAGGAAACUUCCUCUCUUCCCACCAAAAAUAAUUAUAUAGUUAUCCUUGGGCGAUCUUGGAUCUUAAUUCGUACACUCACGUUCUCUGUGGAAAAUCGAUACUCUGGAAUACUCCCGGGUGAAAGCUACAUCGGUAUCCGUGCGCUUGUGGAUUUUUCUGUUUGCGUUUAAAAUACCCAACACUAAUGCACCAUAGGCUAAGAAACCAUUUUAGAGGCACCCGAUGGUACUCGUAGUUGAAGAAGCUCAAGUGGAGGCUCGAUUUGGUCUGUUCAGAUAUAGUGCUAAUCUGAUGCAAGAUAGUUCCACAGUUUGCAUGCAACGUACCAUAUGUUAAGAAAUCAAUUUGGACGCACCCAAUGGAACUCCUAUAUGACGUGUGUCAUAUGGAAUCUCGCUUCGGUCUGUUUGGAGACAAUGUUAGUUUCGGUGCAAGAUAGGUGCAUAGUUUGUGCCUAAUGCACCAUAGUCUAAGAAAUCAUUUUUGACACACCUGUUUGUACUCCUAGAUGAAGAGGCUCCAGUGGAAGCUCGGUUCGGUCUGUUUGGAGAUAGUGCUAAUCUUGAUGCAAGAUAGGUGCACGGUUUGCAUGGAACAUACCAUAUGCUUGGAAAUCAAUUUGGAUGCACCCGAUGGAACUCCUUGAUGAUGUGUGUCAUAUGGAAUCUCACUUUGGUCUGUUUAGAAAUAGUGUUAGUUUUGGUGCAAGAUAUGUGCAUGGUUUGCGCCUAACGCACCAUAGUCUAAGAAACCAUUUUGGAAGCACCUGUUGGUACUUUGGUGAAGAGGUUAAAGUGGAAGCUUGGUUUGAUAUGUUUAGAGAUAGUGCUAAUCUUGAUGCAAGAUAGGUGCAUGAUUUGCAAAGAACAUACCAUAUGCUUAGAAAUCAGUUUGGACGCACCCAAUGGAACUCCUAGAUGACGUGUGUCAUUUGGAAUCUUGCUUCGGUCCGUUUGUAGACAUUGUAAGUUUUAGUGCAAGAUAGGUGCACAGCUUGCACCUAAUGCACCAUAGUCUAAGAAACCAUUUUGGAUGUACUAUUUGGUACUCUUGGGUGAAGAGGCUCAAGUGGAAUCUUGGUUCUGUCAGUUUGGAGAUAGUGUUAAUCUUUAUGCAAGUUAGGUCCAUGGUAUGCAUGGAACAUACCAUAUGCUUGGAAAUCAAUAUGGAUGCACCCGAUGGAACUCCUUUACGACGUGUGUCAUAUGGAAUCUCGCUUCGGUCCAUUUGGAGACAUUGUUAGUUUUGGUGCAAGAUAGGUGCACAUUUUGCACCUAAUGCACCAUAUUCUAAGAAACCAUUUUGGACGCACUUGUUGGUACUUCUAGGGGAAGGGGCUCAAGUGGAUGCUCGGUUCGGUCUAUUUAGAGAUAGUGCUAAUCUUGAUGCAAGAUAGGUGCACGGUUUGCAUGGAACAUACCAUUUGCUUGGAAAUCAAUUUGGAUGCACCUGAUGGAACUCCUUGAUGAUGUGUGUCAUAUGGAAUCUCACUUUGGUAUGUUUAGAAAUAGUGUUAGUUUCGGUGCAUGAUAUGUGCAUGGUUUGCGCCUAAUGCACCAUAGUCUAAGAAACCAUUUUGGAAGCACCUGUUGGUACUCCUAGGUGAAGGGGCUCAAGUGGAUGCUCGGUUCGGUCUGUUUAGAGAUAGUGCUAAUCUUGAUGCAAGAUAGGUGCACGGUUUGCAUGGAACAUACCAUAUGCUUGGAAAUAAAUUUGGAUGCACCCGAUGGAACUCCUUGACGACGUGUGUCAUAUGGAAUCUCGAUUCGUUCCAUUUGGAGACAAUGUUAGUUUCGGUGCAAGAUAGGUGCAUAGUUUGUGCCUAAUGCACCAUAGUCUAAGAAGCCAUUUUUUGACACACCUGUUUGUACUCCUAGAUGAAGAGGCUCAAGUGGAAGCUCGGUUUGAUAUGUUUAGAGAUAGUGCUAAUCUUGAUGCAAGAUAGGUGCAUGAUUUGCAAGGAACAUACCAUAUACUUAGAAAUCAAUUUGGACGCACCCAAUGGAACUCCUAGAUGACGUGUGUCAUAUGGAAUCUUGCUUCGGUCCGUUUGUAGACAUUGUAAGUUUUAGUGCAAGAUAGGUGCACAGCUUGCGCCUAAUGCACCAUAGUCUAAGAAAGCAUUUUGGAUGCACUAUUUGGUACACUUGGGUGAAGAGGCUCAAGUGGAAUGUUGGUUCUGUCAGUUUAUAGAUAGUGUUAAUCUUUAUGCAAGGUAGGUCCAUAGUUUGCAUGGAACUUACCAUAUUAUUGGAAAUCAAUUUGGAUUCACCCGAUGGAACUCCUUGACGACGUGUGUCAUAUGGAAUCUCGCUUCGGUCCAUUUGGAGACAUUGUUAGUUUCGGUGCAAGAUACGUGCACAUUUUGCACCUUAUGCACCAUAGUCUAAGAAACCAUUUUGGACGCACUUGUUGGUACUUCUAGGGGAAGGGGCUCAAGUGGAUGCUCGGUUUGGUCUAUUUAGAGAUAGUGCUAAUCUUGAUGCAUGAUAGGUGCACGGUUUGCAUGGAACAUAUCAUUUGCUUGGAAAUCAAUUUGAAUGCACCUGAUGGAACUCCUUGAUGAUGUGUGUCAUAUGGAAUCUCACUUUGGUAUGUUUAGAAAUAGUGUUAGUUUCGGUGCAUGAUAUGUGCAUGGUUUGCGCCUAAUGCACCAUAGUCUAAGAAACCAUUUUGGAAGCACUUGUUGGUACUCCUAGGUGAAGGGGCUCAAGUGGAUGCUCGGUUCGAUCUGUUUGGAGAUAGUGCUAAACUUGAUGAAAGAUGGGUGCACGGUUUGCAUGGAACAUACCAAAUGCUUGGAAAUCAAUCUGGACGCACAUGAUGGAACUCCUAGAUGACGUGUGUCAUACAAAAUCUUGCUUUGGUCUGUUUGGAGACAGUGUUAGUUUCGGUGCAAGAUAGGUGCAUGGUUUGCACAUAAUGCAGCUGUUGACACUGUUUUUGCGCACGUGUCCAUAAUCGGUAAAGUGUAGAUCGGCAAGAUGAGACAGUGGUGUUUGAUCUGCAGGGUGAGUUGCCGAUGAAGAUGGUUGCCGAUGGAAGGGUGGCUGAACAUGACCAAGUCUAUGGGUGAUGAUGUGUUUGUGCCGAUGGCUGAACAUGACCAAGUCUAUGGGUGAUGAUGUGUUUGUGGCGAUGGCUAUAACGAAGGAGCCUACCGAUGGUACGAAAGAGGAGUCUGGAAGUUACCGAUUGGCUGGUAGGGGUGUUCCAGUUUGUCACGGGGGGGGAUAGCUUUAUGUUUUCCUUAGUUAUUUAAAUCAUUUGGUAUACGGAUUCUGUGUAAUUUGGAAUUCGAGUUCUAGUCGUGUCUGGUUGUAGCUCUUUGAGCAGGGUAUAAAUGUAGACCCUAGGGCCUUGUAAUGAUCUAAAAAUCAAUCAAACACAUGUUUUUACUCAUAUUCCAAGCAUCUACUUUUUUCGACGACUUCGUCAUACUUUUUCCUUUUCAUUACGAGUUCUUAGGAAUUUGUCGACUUAAGCUCGGCGUGUCCUCAAGUUCCGCGUGGAUACCUCUUGGCUGUGACAUCCGGGCGCAUCGCUGUUGUGGGGACCAAAGUAUUCGAGUUACCACCUUUGCCGAUAGUAAGAUCAAAUUGGCUGGCACGCCUUAACGUUUGAACCGGGUAUUAGCCCUUUGUGUUUGCAGAUCCAACUUUUGCACCAACACAUCUUUUGGCACGCUCGGUGGGACAGAUUCAAGAUCAAGAUCAACAUGUCGACUUCUGAGUUUGAUCAGGAGAACGUUAUCCCCGUGACGGAAGCCAAUCUCAAGGAUGAGCAGAAGCAAGCUAUUGCUAAGGCCAUGGAGGAUUACAAGCAGCAAUGCCUAAGGUCCUUCCGCAUGAACAGGAGUGGCGAGGUGUCGAGGGUAUCGGUAAGGGCUACCCUCAGCGAUGCGCAUUAUGAGAUUGCCCGUACGAAGGUCGAGACCCUCAAUUCGACGCUCUAAUCUUACGUAUGCGCCGCCAUCGACGGUCGCAGCCUCGAAGACGGAAAUAGCGUCGAGCGAAUCGGUCAGGGCUCGAGCGACAACUGCCGUCGAAAACGGAAGCGGGCUCGAGCGAACCGAGAGGCGCCGGGCGCAAGGACACUGUCCGCCGCCUGACGCGCGCACACGGGCCAGAGCAUUAAAUGCACCUGACGCUUCCCCACCUAACACACGGGUCACGGAAGGCGUGAUAGGGAACAAGCUUCCGUCCCAUCGUUCUUUUUGCAGCCUUCCCACCGAACGACCCAGGGCGUGUUAGGACGCAGGAAACAAGGAUGGAACGUCUAAUCAGGACCCCCUCGAGACACCCAAGGUCAGCGCUCCAGAUAUCAGCAUAUUACGCGGCGUCCAACCCUCGACCGAACAGGGUCCCUUCCCAGGGACAAGUUGGGCGUCGACUGACAACACCACAGCUACCCCGCCGGAUCCGCCACCAUACCGUACAAACAUGCGACCUCAGAACCAGCACAAGGCGGCCGGCAGGGCAGAACGCAGGAGCACGCGUAAUCAUCACCAGGCUAUCAAGAUGGGACGGCUCGAGGCCAUGCCGUACGGAAGCCUCGAGUAGGUCAGCGCUCCAUGCGGCUAUCGAUCCCUACUCUAACAUCUACGCAUGUACCCUGUGUCUCUCCUUGGAGCUAUAAAAGGAGAGACUCAGGAAUAGAAGAGGGGGACAUCACAACACAAGAACUCACACACGUAGUAGAGCUACACACUUCACACCACGCUUGUAUUCGCCCCUGUACAAGCACUUAGGUGCAAGAUAAUACAAACUCUCUCCCCCCGCUGGAUGUAGGGCCUUCUCUUGCCCGAACCAGGAUAAAUCUCUGUGUCUUCUUGCAUCACCAUCCGGAAAGGGGAGCACGCAUACAAAUUUACUCAUUGGUGUGACCCCCCGGGGGAAAAACACCGACAGUUGGCGCGCCAGGUAGGGGUCCUGCGUGUUUUUCACCGAUUUUCCACUACUUUCCGGAUGGCUACUCUUGCCUCGCCGCUUCCGCGCUCCACGGUGAUUUGGUUUGGGAGUCUCGAGUUCAUGUCUACGGGCUCCGGCUACGACAUGAUCUUGCUCUCAGUCAAAGGACCAGGAGGAGUCCGCGUUACGCCAGCACGGUUGAAGGCCCCGAGACGCCCUCACCACCACGCCUCCCCGCCUAAGAAGAGGCGCGGGCAGCACCACCGCGGCCCCUCUGCUUCAGCACGACCAACAACUCGUGCAAGGCUGGAUGUGGGCCACCAGUCGGCAACACCGUGUGACGGAGCAACAAGCACGACGACUCAGCACCGCGCAGCGACGGGGGGGGACGCGUCUCGCGCGCCCUCCCCCACCGCAGCUAGACUACUUCCACACGGGUUGUUCUCUCCAAGGGCGGCACUGCCGUUCGGGUUGGACAACGCCGCGGCGUCGCUCGCCAGGGCGAUAUGCCCAAACGCCCAGACGUACGUAGAAAGACCAAUGGUCCUCCCACGUAGCUCUGAAGCGCGGCGGCCGGCAUCCGAGCUGCCGGAUCUUUCCCGAGUACGAGGCCUCCGUCGUCUAGGCCCCGGACGAUACUCGAUCACCUCCCUCAGGCAACGAUUGCUGGAGGAAGGACGUGGGUGUUUCCACGCCGCCGAACCGGACUCCGAGACAGACAGCUAUGACCCUACGAGGGAAUGCUAUCACAUCGACGGGGCGGCAGAAACCACCGACGAGACACAGGAUGCUGCUGCGGGUGGUCGAGCCCCCGCGGCGCAAGAAGACCCCAGGACGCCUGGGAACGACGGACGGCUCGACCCUCUUCCUCAGGAAGAUAGAACUGCGCAGCUCACGCAGCUGCGGGAGCUCAAGAUGAAGCUCGACGAAGAUCGCGAGCGCCUCGUCCUGCUCGAGCAAAUCCUCGAACAAGACCUGCCCUACCCGCCGGGCGGAAGUGUCCGCAGACGCGCUCGAGAGGUACAUCGACAGAUCGUCGGUGACGCAGAAGCGGAGCAACCUGUCAGCCGUUUUCCCCGAGCAGGCCAGAAUGUAGUGGCAGCGACGAUGCUGCUACGUAACAUGCCAGAGCCGUCGAAUUCCCAGGCCCGGCGCAUUUGAGAUGAAGUUCAGACAUUGCUCCAGGUGGCAGCAGUUCAACAAGCCGAAAGUUCGGCGUCUCGACGACGAGGAGCUGCCACAGAGAAGCGCGACGAACAGCCUCUAAUCGAAGAGGAGGUGUCUGUCCAGCAACAACCUCCCCCUCGAGGUAGAAAGACCGCUCUCAUCCUCCCUGCCGACAAUCAACGUCAACACGACGCGCGGCACGACAUCAAAGAAAAUAGACGCCGCCGGCACGGAGACGCGGAAGAACGUGGUUAUAGCGCGCAUCGCGGUGGGAGGUACGACAGCGACGAGGACCGGGUGGCCCCCGAGCCACCGGGCCCGCGGGUGUUCAGCAGGGCGAUUCGCAGCACGCCCCUGCCUAGUCCAUUUCGACCCCCAACCAGCAUCGCGAAGUACAAUGGAGAAACCAAGCCAGAGCUAUGGCUGGCCGAUUUCAGGCUGGCUUGUCAGCUAGGUGGCGCUCGAGGGGAUGAUCGAGGCAUCAUCAGACAGCUACCCCUUUUCCUCUCCGACACCGCCCGUCGAUGGCUCGAGGAACUCCCUGCCAAUCAGAUUCACAACUGGGUUGAUCUGGUCAGAGUCUUCGAGGGUAACUUCAAAGGGACCUACAUACGGCCAGGGAACUCGUGGGACCUCAGCAAAUGCAAGCAGAAGUCAGGAGAGACUCUUCGGGAGUACGCUCGACGCUUCUCGAAGCAGCGCACUGAGUUGCCACACAUCCCCGACCACGACGUCAUCGUGGCGUUUGUCUCGGGCACCACCAGUCGAGACUUGGUGCGGGAAUUAGGCUGCAAUCGACCUCAGACCGUCGACGAGCUGAUGGACGUAGUAGCUAACUACGCGGCGGGGGAGGAGGCAGUCGGCGCCUUCUUCAGCUCAGAAGGAAGAAAAGGCAAGCAGCCCGUCAAUGAAGAUGGGACUUCCAGUCGAGGCCUCAAGAAAAACAAAAAGAAGCAGAAAGUGUGGCAGUUCCACUAGGAAGAUUCAGGUGACGACCUCGUCGCCGCCAUGGAUCGAAAGAAGCCGCGAGGCCCUCCGGAGGGAGGCAUCUUCGACAAGAUGUUGGAGGAGCCGUGCCCUUACCAUAAGGGAGGCGCCAACCACAAACUCAAGGACUGUCGUAUGCUGAGAAAGCAUUUCGACGGUCAGGGGUUCAAAAAAGAUACGCGUGAUGACUCCAAGAAGGAGAAGGCUGGCGGCAAGGAGGACAACAAAGAUGACGACGGCUUCCCCGCCGUCCACGACUGCUACAUGAUCUAUGGCGGGCCUUCGACUCAGUUGACCGCGAGGCAGCGCAAAAGGGAGCGUCGCGAAGUCUUUACAGCAAGAAUGGCGGUGCCCCAGUACCUUAGCUGGUCGAGCACUCCCAUCACUUUCGACCGAGAAGACCACCCUGACAAGGUAGUCGCCCCAGGCGUCUACCCGCUCGUCGUCGACCCCAUCAUCGUCAACACCCGACUCUCGAAAGUGCUGAUGGAUGGUGGCAGCAACCUCAACAUCAUCUACCUCGAGACCCUCGAUCUCCUCGGCAUCGAUAGAGGACGCCUCCAGCCGAGCGCCGGCGGUUUCCAUGGCAUCGUACCAGGGAAAAAGGCACUGCCAGUAGGUCGAGUCGACCUACCGGUCUGCUUCAGCACGGCGGCCAACUUCAGGAAGGAGACCCUCACCUUUGAGGUGGUUGGGUUCCGAGGCACGUACCACGCCAUCAUCGGGCGCCCGGGCUACGCCAAGUUCAUGGCUAUACCCAACUACACAUACUUGAAGCUGAAGAUGCCUGGUCCCAAAGGCGUCAUCACUGUCAGUUCCUCCUUCGAGCACGCGUACGAGUGCGACGUCGAGUGCGUCGAGUACGGGGAGGCGGUUGAGAGCUCCACCGAGCUCGUUGCAAAGCUCGAGGCCAUGGCCGCUGAGGCUCCAGAGCCUAAACGUCAUGCGGGCAGCUUCGAGGCGGCGGAAGGAACUAAGAAGAUCCCGCUCGACCCCAACAACUCCGACAGCAAGGUACUGACGAUCAGCACCGACCUCGACCCCAAAUAGGAAGCCGUGCUCAUCGACUUUCUCCGUGCAAAUGCUGAUAUGUUUGCAUGGAGUCCCUCGGAUAUGCCGGGCAUACCGAGGGAAGUCGCCGAGCACUCCUUGGAGAUUCGAGCCGGUUCCAAGCCAGUGAAGCAGCGGUUGCACCGAUUCGACGAGGAAAAGCGCAAGAUCAUUGGCGAGGAAGUCCACAAGCUUUUGACGGCCGGAUUCAUCAAGGAGGUUCAUCAUCCUGACUGGUUAGCGAACCCUGUAUUAGUUAAGAAAAAGAAUGGGAAAAUGAGGAUGUGUGUCGAUUAUACUAGUUUGAAUAAAGCAUGUCCAAAAGUUCCCUUUCCAUUGCCACGCAUUGAUCAGAUUGUCGAUUCUACCGCGGGAUGUGAAACCCUUUCUUUCCUUGAUGCUUAUUCUGGUUACCACCAAAUAAAAAUGAAAGAGUCCGACCAGCUCGCGACCUCUUUCAUCACACCUUUCGGGAUGUAUUGCUACGUGACCAUGCCAUUUGGGCUUCGAAAUGCGGGAGCCACGUAUCAACGUUGCAUGCUCCACGUAUUUGGCGAACAUAUAGGCUCAACGGUCGAGGCCUACGUCGACGACAUUGUCGUCAAGUCAAAGCGACGAGGAGACCUGAUCCAGGACCUCGAGGUUGCCUUCAGCUGCUUACGCACCAGCCGGAUCAAGCUCAAUCCCGAGAAGUGCGUUUCGGCGUGCCUCGAGGCAUGCUCCUAGGAUAUAUUGUUUCGCAGCGCGGUAUCGAGGCCAACCCCGAGAAAGUCUCGGCCGUCACGAAAAUGGGGCCAAUCCGAGACAUCAAGGGUGUGCAGAGAGUCACGGGGUGCCUGGCGGCUCUGAGCCGUUUCAUCUCGAGACUAGGAGAAAAGGCAUUACCAUUAUAUCGACUCCUAAAGAAGGUCGAGCGCUUUUCUUGGACCCCCGAGGCCGAGGAAGCACUCGAAAAACUGAAAAAGACGCUGACCUCGGCACCGGUCCUGGUUCCACCUCAACCUGCGGAGCCACUGCUCCUCUACGUCGCGUCGACGACCCAGGUCGUCAGCGCGGCGGUGGUGGUCGAAAGACAAGAGGAGGGUCACGCGCUGCCAGUCCAAAGGCCAGUCUAUUUCGUCAGCGAGGUGCUUUCGGAGACCAAGGCGCGUUACCCCCAAAUCCAGAAGCUGAUCUACGCCGUAAUCCUUGCCCGCCGCAAAUUGCAGCAUUACUUCCUUGGUCAUCCUAUCACGGUGGUCUCUUCUUUCCCCUUGGGCGAGAUAAUCCAGAGCAAGGAGGCCACGGGAAGGAUAGCUAAGUGGUCGGUCGAGCUCAUGAGCGAGACUCUCACUUACGCGCCUCGAAAGGCCAUCAAAUCGCAAGCCCUGGUAGACUUCGUCGCGGAAUGGACAGACUCCCAGCUUCCCCCGACUCAGGUCCAGGCGGAGCUGUGGACAAUGUAUUUCGACGGGUCACUCAUGAAAACUGGGGCCGGGGCCGUCCUGCUGUUCAUCUCACCCUUGGGCGUCCACAUGAGGUAUGUAAUCAGGAUUCAUUUUGCCGCAUCUAACAAUGUCGCAGAAUAUGAGGCCCUCGUCAACGGUCUUAAGAUCGCUAUCGAGUUAGGAGUCCGACGCCUCGACGUCCGAGGUGACUCCCAACUCGUCAUCGACCAGGUAAUGAAAACCUCGAGUUGCCAUGACCCAAAAAUGGAAGCAUACUGCAAGGAGGUGCGUCGACUCGAAGACAGGUUCCACGGCCUCGAGCUUGUCCAUGUCGCUCGACGCUACAACGAGGCAGCCGACGAACUCGCCAAGAUUGCAUCUACCAGAGGCACAGUGCCGCCUGAUGCAUUCUCAAAGGAUCUUCACGAGCCAUCCGUCGACCUAGGCACGGGGGCUGGCGUCGACACCACCAUCGCCCAACCAACCAAUGCUGUCGAUGCGCUCUUGAUGGAGGAAGAGGUGAUGGAAAUAGAACGACGACCGGGUCGACCAUUCGAUUGGCGCACACCGUUCCUCGACUGCCUUAUCCGCGGUGAGUUGCCAGAAGACAAGACAGAAGCUCGUCGUAUCGCUCGACGGGCCAAAUCAUAUGUGAUCUAUGGCGAAGACAACGAGCUAUAUCGACGGAGCCCGACAGGGGUCUUACAACGUUGCAUCACCGUAGAGGAAGGCCGAAAACUCCUCGAUGACCUGCACUCGGGGGCUUGUGGCCACCACGCCGCCCCACGGACCCUUGUAGGAAACGCUUUUCGGCAAGGCUUUUACUGGCCAACGGCCGUGGCGGAUGCCAUCGAGCUCGUACGCUCGUGUCAUGGGUGCCAAUUCUACGCCAAACAGACGCAUCUGCCCGCCCACGCUCUUCAGAUGAUCCCCAUCACCUGGCCGUUUGCGGUAUGGGGGCUCGAUUUAGUAGGGCCUCUACAAAAGGCGAAAGGAGGGUAUACCCAUUUGCUGGUGGCCAUCGACAAGUUCUCCAAAUGGAUCGAGGCUCGACCCAUCACCAACAUCCGCUCCGAGCAGGCCGUCCUUUUCUUCUCCGACAUCAUCCAUCGGUUUGGGAUCCCCAAUGUCAUCAUCACCGACAACGGCACCCAGUUCACUGGCAGAAAGUUCUUGGAUUUCUGCGAUCAGCAUCACAUCCGUGUGAACUGGUCCGCAGUAGCCCACCCUCGAACUAACGGCCAGGUCGAGCGUGCCAACGGCAUGAUUUUGCAAGGACUCAAGCCAAGGAUCUACAAUCGAUUGAAGAAAUUCGGCAAGAAAUGGGUUGAGGAGCUUUCCUCAGUCCUAUGGAGCCUUAGGACAACGCCAAGCAGGGCCACAAAAUACACCCCGUUCUUCAUGGUCUACGGCUCUGAAGCUAUCCUCCCCACAGACCUCGAGUAUGGGUCACCACGACUCAAGGCUUACAACGAGCAAUCGAACAAAGAGACUCAGGAAAACGCGGUCGACCAACUCGAGGAGGCUCGAGACAUGGCCCUCCUCAACUCUGCUAGAUAUCAGCAGAGGCUCCGACGCUACCACGACAAGCACGUGCGCAAGAGGGACCUCAAUGUAGGCGACCUUGUCCUACGACGCCGGCAAAGCAACCAAGGACGCCACAAGCUGACCCCACCUUGGGAAGGCCCGUAUGUGGUGGCCGAGGUCCUUAAGCCAGGAACGUACAAAUUGGCGGACGAAAAGGGGGCAGUCUUCACCAACGCAUGGAACAUCGAACAGCUACGUCGAUUCUACCCCUAGAAGUCCUAGAUUUACGAUCCUACUUUUUGAACGAAGACUUUGUAAAUGAACGCAUGAAUAAAUAAAGUCUUUCCCUCGAGCGGCUUCUUUCUGUACCAAAAAUAGUUACGAGUUAUAGUCUCGACGUCAAAAGGGGAUGCCGACCCUGACCCAUCAUAGUCCGCACCCCCUCGGGGGCUACCAGAGGGACGACCCCUCCCCAAGCGUCGAAAAAGCCAAGAAAUUUUCUUUUCUGGCUUGGUAAACCUUACACGGUUCGAGUAGCUAAGGCACCUCGAGCCCCUCAAAGGCCGAGGGAUAAUGAGCCGGAAAACUCCCACGCCCCUGGGCUACGGAAAUCGAGUUUGUUUCUGACGAAAGGUCGAGCAAGGGAUACAAACGUAGGAAUAAAGAGAAACAAAGGAACCUCGAGCGGAAAGACAAAUAAGCAGUUAACAAUUACGAAAAGAUACUAUAUCAUGUAACAGCAAAAUUAAUAAAGUAUCGUACAAGGGGCCUCAGGCGCCCUGAGCAGGCUCGCAGGCCUCAGUCAACGGCACGAUCCUCACCGCCCUCGCCUCCGCCCGAGCUAGCCUCAGGAGGGAGCACCUCAGGCUCGAAGAGCUUGGCCAACCUUUCCCCAGGAGCCUCCGCGUCGUCGAUCAAGGCAUGGAGCCUCUCCUCGUUCUCCGCGUCGGUCUUGGAGAUGUCGGUGACGAAGCCAUGGGACACCACCUCCAUGUCGUAGGAGAAGCCCGAGCAGACAACCGCCAUCGCCCGCUUCACCCCGAUGUGGAGGGCAUCCCGCACCCGAUCUCGCAGUGUUGCGCCUAUGUAGCACAACUGGUCGAUCAGGGCGUCGCCUCGAGUGUCCUCCCUCGACUCAUCCAUAGGCUCGACCUCCCAAGAGGUCGAGAGAUCGCUUAUCGCCGUCCGCACUCGACGGUUCAAAGCAACCUCAGCCUCGAGCUGAGCCUUGGCGUUGCGAGCCUCGGCUUGGGCGGCCAGGAGUUCGUCCUUGAGCCCUAUAAAUACCAAUACAAAGAAGCUUUAGGAAAAACUCAAGCACACCUCGAAAAGGAAAUUCGACAAAGGAAACAUACCUUUGAUGCUCUCCUCUAGGGCCGUGUUCUCGCCGACCAAUCUGGUGUUGGCACGCUCGAUCUCUCUGUUGGAGCGCGCCAGCUCAGUAUUGGCGACGCGGAGAUCUUCGAUCACCCUGCCAGCCUGAGCGACGGCUCCACUCUUCUCCAGCAAUUCUCCCUUCAGACGCUCGACGUCGUCAGAGAGACUGCGGGAUCGAGCUCGCUCCAUCUCGAGGUCUUCGAGGGCCUUCUUCUUUGCGUCCUCGGCGGCACCCCUGGCGACCUCAUUGUCCACGAACGCCACUUUCAUCUUUUGGAAGGUAUCGCGGAGGGAGUCCAGGUCGGUUUGGAGAAGGCCCUUCUCCUUGUCCAGGUCCGCGAUGACGCUCUUGUGGGACAGGGCCUCCUCCCGGGCUCUGGACGCGGCCUCCUCGACCGUAAGAGCCCGCUCCCGUAGCUGCAUCGCCUCCUCCUCCGCCUUCUUCGAGACCUCUCGGGCCUCGGCCAAAGCAGCCUCCCUCACCUUCUUCUCCUCCUCGAGUGCUAUGAGAUCUUUGUAAGCUUUAAGCAGCUUUUCCUGCGACUCGAGGAGUUGAUCCUUGAGGAGGGGAAGCUGCUCCCAUCCGCCCCUCGUGGCAUGUAUGAAGCUGGACUUGAUGCGAGAGGUCUCUUUCAUAUCCUGCGAAUCAGGGGUCAGAGGGAUUAGAACACAGAAACCAGAAAGCACCACAAAGAUUGGAGCUCGAGAAACACUUACAAAAUAAGCUGGCCCAAGCCCGUUGUUGAUGACGUCCGAUAGGAGCCCCACCACGUGUUUCAUCCAAAGGCGGAGCUCCUCGACGUGCUCCCACUUCUCGACUUCCUUCUUGUCGUCGAGGAAGAUAUUGGGCUCGGACGGGUCGCUGGAAGCUCGGAUACGAAUCCGAUCGGGACACCAGUUCUCCAUCUCCCGAUCAGCCCGCACCUUGACGCCGCGGAGAAAGUUCUCGACGGUCUCGAGGGAACCCCCGUGGUGCAAGAACAGGUCGGCGAGGCAAGGGAACCGCCCAUCGUCGUCCACCGUCUUCCACGUACCGUCCUUGCUCCCAGAUGACCCGAUCUCAUCCUCCUCAGAGGGAAAGCGGUCCUCCCAUGCUCGACGCUCCCGGAGGAACCCUGGGGCGAUCCCGUCCAUGCCGUAGAUUGUCCUCUUGAUCUCGGACUCGGGGUCGGUGGGGGUGCGCAUCAUGCAGGCGAGCGCCACCACUCCGUCCGCUCGCCCCGACUCUGCCCGGAUCGCGGCAGGCGCCCCCGGGAGGAGCCACGCUGGGGUGGGAGGUCCGUACACCGGCAAAUUUCCCUCUUGAUCGCCGGGCUUUUGCGACGCCAGUGGCGCCGAUUCGGCCAAAACUUGAGGCGGGGGCUCGAGUGGCUCGUCCUCUUGGCCCCCCAGCUGCUGUUGCUGCCCCAGCUGCUGCUGCUGCUCCUCCUGCUGGUGCUGCAGCUGCUCCUCCGGCUGGGGUCGCUGCUGCUGCUGCUCCAGUGACGGCUGCGUCGCCUCGCGCUCCCGCUCCUCCUCCUCCACCACCUUCCUUUGCGCCUCGAGAGCUCGAAGGCCUGCAGGCCAGGGAGUCCGUCCCGCGACGUUGGGGGUCGAUGCUUCUUCCUCCAUAGGUCGAGCGCCCCCAGACGCUUUGUUGCCAUCAGACGUAUCGCUGAUGGUGAUGGGUUCCCCCUCGACCCCCAAUCGAGAGGGCUCGGGGGCUCCCUCUGACGCUCGCGUCUGGGGGGCCGCAUCAUGAGUCGGCGGCGGCGGAGUAGGCGCGGGACGAGAUAAAGCCCUCUCGACGCCGGCUGGAGGUUGGGUGCUGGAUGAGCCGACAAAACAAAGGGUAAGGGUCAGACGUUAUGAUAACCAACGUAAGAAUAUCGCGACACCCAGGAAUUAACUACGAACCUGGUUCCGUGGAGGCGGCACCCGUUCUGAGCCUCUUGGCCAUUGACGGUUGGGCCUGCUCGAGGGUCCGUUUCAGCCUGAGAAAAAGUCGGCAUGUGAGGAAAGGUGAAAGAAUGGGGGACAAAGACCGCAACGUCAAAAGGGCUUACCCCACGGGGAGAACGGCUCGCCUUCCGCCACCCCGCGUCGGGGCUCUAGGCCCCUCGAGGGCAGGAACUGGCUUAGGUACGUCGGUCCCCGCCUGGCGGACGCCGGGACUCGCGCUCCUACGGCCGGCGUCUCCUUUCUCAGAGGCCGCGGCGCGACCGCGAGUUAGCGGCCCCGACGCCUGGGACCUAGCCGGACCGCUCUCCCUGGGCGCCGGGGGAGGGCGCGGUGCGUCUUGGCCCGCCUUGAGCGCGGAAGGAGCGUCGGCCCGGGGACGACGAGAUCCGCUCGGACCCUCCUCUGGCGCCUCCGUCCGGGGGGCGUCGACGUCACCUCGAGGUGGGCCCUCGAGAAUCCGAUCGAGGCGCGACGCCAUCCCCUCGGAGUCGUCGCUACCCUCGUCGUCGUCAUCAUCAUCAUUGGGGGAUUCUUCCUCAGGCUCCCCCCUCUGCCUGGAUUUGGCAAGACGUGCCUAUAAUGCUUGGCGGUCGAGGUUCUUCUUCUUCUCCCCCUUCUUUGCGGAGUCCUUGGCAGACUUCAGCUUUUCGGCGGAUUGGCGCCGUUUGUCGCGAUCGACCUCGUCCUCCUUUACCGGAGGCCUCGAGGACCGGACAUCAAUCCGACCCUGCCAAAACUAAGGUAGACUUAGAAAAAAGAGAGGGGAGAAAGGAAACCCAGAAUCGGGGAUGCGCGUAAGAAGGAAGCGUACCAGAUCGAUCGAGCCUGCGUCAGGUCUCAUGGGGAAGCCGUUGACGUGCUCCGGCUGAAAAUCACCGGCAAUUGCGGCCCUGACUCGGGCCACGACUUCGUCGUCUGCCGGAGGCUCGUUGGACAUCCGACAUGCCUCGAGGUCCCGAGAUGAGACGCCAGGGCCCAUCUCGUCCAUCCUCAACGGUCGUGACAUCAGAGGGAGAACUCUCCGAUGAUGGACGGCCGAGAGGACGAGGGCGGCGGUCAAACCUUCCUGGCGAAGCUUCUUCAGGGCGUCGAGGAGAGGGUCGAGCCGAGACUGGUGAGCUUGGACGACGCCGUACGUCCAGUCCGCUGGACGCUCCAAGAUCAGACGGCCCGAGUAGGAAGGCAGGAGGUUGUCGUCAUUCCGCAGGUAGAACCAUUGGGAGUCCCAGCCCGCGUGGUUGGUCGACAACCCUACCGGGAUGUACUCCCGCGGCCGGUCCGUCUUCCCCGUCUUCUGCACCAGAUUGAGGCAACCCGCCCGCACGGGCUUCCUUACGCCCGUGGUUCCGGUGGAGGCGUGAAACAGCUCGCCCCUGUAGAGGUGGAGCCACAGCUCCCAGUGCGGCAUCAUCCCCAGGAAGCCCUCACACACGGCGGCGAAGACCGCCGCUACGGUGAUGGCGUUCGGAGAGAAGUGCUGGAGCUCCACCCCAUAAUGGAAGCAGAGGGCCCGCAUGAAGCGGCUUGGGGGCGCGCCCAGACCGUGGCGGUGAAACUUGGCGAACGACACCACGUAGCCCUCGGGCGGCUGAGGAGCCCUGUGACUCGCCGGCGGCGCGAUCCACUCUGGCGACGACAGCGAGGUGCGGCGUCGCAGCAGUCCCUCCUUCUCAAGCUCUAACAGCCGGCGCUCCGUCAUCGACGACGGGCGCCAGUCGUCGGCGGCGACGAGUCUUACAGGCAUCUCGGCUAAAAGGACGGUGGGUUCGCUACAGCUCGAGGGGGCGUGUGCGCGUGAGAUGGCGAGAAAGCAAAGGCAGCGAAGGAAUAAGAGCGAGAAGGCGGAAGGAAGAGGAACGGCGGUGACGCGACGACGUAUUUAUAGGAAGCUGUCCGCCAACGGACAGAUCCGAGAAGUAAGGUAACUCUCCCCAUAAAUGCGCCGCCUGACAGUCCUCUCUCUCUCCUCACAGGCCGGACUCUCCGAAUUCCUCGCCGAUACGGUGUCGUAACGUCAUCCGCCUAAAAAGGCGCGCCCAACGGGCAGAAAGGCGAACCGCCACGGCCGUCUCCUUCCCUCGUAAGCCAAGGGACGUAACCACAAAAGUCUCGAGAGGUCGAUGGCUGGCCCGCCAAAAGGGUUCGACAGCCGAUCUCGAGCACCAGAGUCAGGGAUCCCCAGCGAGCGGUCGAAGAUCGAGGCCCGCCUCGAGGACUCGCUGGCGAAGUUCAGGGUAGGGUCGAGACAGUCGAGAGGAAUCCCCCCGACGGGAGGCAUCGAGCCGUCGGUCUCUAUCGAAUGAGACUGGUAUCCCCGACCACGUCGACCCUGCUUUAUGAGGACGCCUCCGGGCUACAGCUGACCCCCUCGAAAGGGGCACAGGUUCUCACUUGGACUACCCGCUAGGAACUCAAUUUGGGAUGGAAGACGCUCGCUCUAUCGAGAGUACGUCGAAACCCCCGGGCAAAAACGAGCCAAUCAGAAUCUUCCACCACUGGUGUCGAAAGCGUUUCUGUGAAUUAGACAACAUAACCCUCGAAGGAGUCAAAAACUCCUCCGAGGGCUCGGGGGCUACUGUCGAGGGUAUCAGUAAGGGGUACCCUCAGCGAUGCGCAUUAUGAGAUUGCCCGUACGAAGGUCGAGACCCUCAAUUCGAUGCUCUAAUCUUACGUAUGCGCCGCCAUCGACGGUCGCAGCCUCGAAGACGGAAAUAGCGUCGAGCGAAUCGGUCAGGGCUCGAGCGACAACUGCCGUCGAAAACGGAAGCGGGCUCGAGCGAACCGAGAGGCGCCGGGCGCAAGGACACUGUCCGCCGCCUGACGCGCGCACGCGGGCCAGAGCAUUAAAUGCACCUGACGCUUCCCCACCUAACACAUGGGUCACAGAAGGCGUGAUAGGGAACAAGCUUCCGUCCCAUCGUUCUUUUUGCAGCCUUCCCACCGAACGACCCAGGGCGUGUCAGGACGCAGGAAACAAGGAUGGAACGUCUAAUCAGGACCCCCUCGAGACACCCAAGGUCAGCGCUCCAGAUAUCAGCAUAUUACGCGGCGUCCAACCCUCGACCGAACAGGGUCCCUUCCCAGGGACAAGUUAUGCGUCGACUGACAACACCACAGCUACCCCGCCGGAUCCGCCACCAUACCGUACAAACAUGCGACCUCAGAACCAGCACAAGGCGGCCGGCAGGGCAGAACGCAGGAGCACGCGUAAUCAUCACCAGGCUAUCAAGAUGGGACGGCUCGAGGCCAUGCCGUACGGAAGCCUCGAGUAGGUCAGCGCUCCAUGCGGCUAUCGAUCCCUACUCUAACAUCUACGCAUGUACCCUGUGUCUCUCCUUGGAGCUAUAAAAGGAGAGACUCAGGAAUAGAAGAGGGGGACAUCACAACACAAGAACUCACACACGUAGUAGAGCUACACACUUCACACCACGCUUGUAUUCGCCCCUGUACAAGCACUUAGGUGCAAGAUAAUACAAACUCUCUCCCCCCGCUGGACGUAGGGCCUUCUCUUGCCCGAACCAGGAUAAAUCUCUGUGUCUUCUUGCAUCACCAUCCGGAAAGGGGAGCACGCAUACAAAUUUACUCGUUGGUGUGACCCCCCGGGGGAAAAACACCGACACGAGGUAAUCUAGAAGGGUGCACUGCCGGCACCGCGGCAGGUUACUUUUGAAGCCAAUCCUGGCAAACUUCAGGAGAUGGUUGACAGCGCUAUCAACCGUGCUUUGAUCAACCAAGCUGGUGUACUGUCUAAUACGGUUUUCAAUGCCGUGGCAAGAACUUUCAAGGAAGGACAAUUGCCACCAGAUUAUGUGGGCCCCACUUAUCACCAUCCAAGGUCACCAGUGGUCACAGCUCCAUCGGCUGCUACGGCCGCUGCGGGCAUGGAGAUUCCUGUUCCGCCAAGCACGUUGGGAGUCACCAAUGCACAAUCUACGCCGAUGACAACCAAUCCACAAACUUCAGAUGGGCAGAUCAAACUCGCUACAGAUCUGUUGGCAUCGGCAAUGUCAGGAUUGACUCCUCCUCCUAACUGGUGGGGUUAUGGCAUGCCUCCAGAAUUAACGCCGGGUACGUCGCAGACGACUGAUGUGAGGGGCAAGACUCCUAUGGCAUCGGCACCUCCAAGCAUGCCGAUGAACCAGAGUCCCCAGUAUACUACAACUACUACUGCAAGACCUCACACUGGGAAUUCUCAAGCUCCAACAUUCCAGAUGCCUAACGCAUCGGCAGACUCAAUGCUGAUGCAACAGAGGUCUAUGAUCCAACCAGGGUAUGUCAGUUCAAUGAUAAUGCCCAAUUACCAGUCAUCGGCAGGGCCUAUGCCGAUGAACGCUAAUAGUGGAUGGCUUGGGCAGCAAGUCUUUCCGCAAACGCCCCAACCGAGUCAUCAGGCUAUAGGGUUCCACCAAGGACAGAUCUAUCCCGGGUUCCAGAAUUAGGGGAUGCCUAACCAGCCAAUGAACCUUGGGCUGCAGGUCAGCGGACAGCAGAUUGGCGGGCAGUAGCUUGGUGGUCCACAGAUUGGGGGCCAGAUGAUUAAUCUAAUGUUUCAUGCAGAUCGUGGGCCGCAUAGACACGUGGAAGCUUACCAGCAGGUGCCGGAUCCGCAACCGCCCCAUCGGCAAGAUGCCGAUGCUUAUUGGGCCGAUAAGAUUGCUGAAGUGAUGAGAGACCAAUUCAGGAUAAAACCCAAAGUCAACACUUACUCUUAUCGGACACCGUAUCCUCCCGCGUAUGAUUUGAUCCCGCUUCCACAUCGGUACAAGGUACCGGAUUUUACUAAGUUUUCUGGGCAGGAUGACACAUCAACUAUGGAGCACGUCAAUAGGUUCAUCAUUCAAUGCGGGGAAGCUGGUAACAGGGAUGAGUUAAGGGUUUGUUUAUUCUCGUCAUCAUUAUCUGGAUCGGCUUUCACUUGGUUCAUAUCAUUGCCUCCCAACUCAGUGAUCACUUGGGCCGAUCUGGAGAAACAAUUCCACAAAUACUUCUUUUCUGGGGUUCAUGAGAAGAAGAUCACCGAUUUGGUCAAAUUGAGGCAACGAAAUGAUGAAUCGGUUGAAAGUUUUGUGCAGAGGAUACAGGAGGUCAAGAAUAAAUGCUAUAGUCUGGUUCUGGAUGAUCGGCAGCUAGCGGAUUUGGCUUUCCAGGGUUUGUUGCCACACAUCAGGGACAAGUAUGCUUCUCAGGAGUUUGAAAGCUUAACUCAUUUGGUGCAGAGAAUUUUUGACCAAGAUAUCAAACCUUUUGAGCCCAAGAGAGCAUGGAACAAAAAGGUAUCGUUCGUUGAUGAAGUAGCAAGCUCAGACUCUGAUGAAGAACCAGUCAUCGGCUUGGCAGAGUGGGUAAAAAAUAAGAAGCCGAUGUCUUGUCCUUUUGGACAUAAAGAACCAGAGAAGUUUGCAUUUGACACCGCCAAGGCCGACAAGAUAUUUGACUUUCUACUUCAGGAAGGUCAGAUCAAGCUGUCUCCGAAUCACGUCAUCCCAUCGGCUGAAGAAUUAAAAAGGAUGAAAUACUGCAAGUGGCACAAUGCAACUUCUCACGACACUAAUGAAUGCAAGGUUUUCAGACAGCAGCUGCAAUCGGCUAUAGAAUCUGGGAGAAUCAAGUUUGACAGUUCCAAGACCCAGAAGCCAAUGAAGAUUGAUCAACACCCUUUCCCGACGAACAUGUUGGAUGCUAAGGGAAAGGCCAAAGUCUUGACGUCGGAAGCGGCUGAAAGAAGUGCAUCGGUGGAUCCUCAGCAUCAAGUCACUACUGCCGAUGCCAAAGGAAAAGGCUUGAUCCAGGAGGGAGCUAACUCAGGAAGGCUUCCCCGAUCUGGUAUUGUGAUAACUCACAGGAGACCUCGUGAGACUUGGCAGCAACGUGAAGAUCGGUACCGGCGCCAGCAAGAAGAUUAUCGUCGGGAAGAGGAAAGACGCCGACAGGAGUGGAAUCGACAUAGGGAUCACUGGAAUUGCCCGUUCUUCAUUCAUUGUUGGGAAGAAAAUAUCAAGCUUCCCACUGUCAGGGAUUGCCCUGAGUGCAAUGGCUAUAAUCGGCAUGAUAGAUCCGAUCGGCGCUAUUACGACGACAAUCGGCGAUAUAAUGGGCCGAUCAGAGGAAGAACGUCCGUCCAUGAUCGGCUGGGGGGCAGACUUAGCGUACACGACAGGCUUGGCGGUCGUGUUCAAUAUUUUCCCAGGAACCAGGAAGAACUUGAAGAGAUGGCUAAUGCUCGGGUUCCCGACGAGUUCAUAUUUUGCAGGGAUGCCAAUACUUAUCGGGUAGAGCCAAGGGAGAAUCAUCGCCCAUCGGUAAGGCAGCAACAACUUCCUCCCUGGUGUCCGGAGGGAUUGACCAGGACUCAGAACAGAAGAUUGCAGCGCGAAAGGAGAGAGGAAUUGAGCAAAGGGGAGAACUCUGGACAGUCUGGGGAUCAACAACAAUCAGACCCCAAGGGGGGAGGUCCAUCGGCAGAUGUCAACAUGGUAUUUAUGUUGCCGAUGGAGUUCCUUGCGCCAUCCAGUGAUGAUGAGGUGGAUUUUUCCGACCAAAUAGCUCAGUUGGCUCUAGAUCCGAUGACGGCUAUCUUCGAGAAGCCUACCGAUGAUAAAAGGCAGCACCUCAAGGCUCUAUUUGUUAAAGGAAAAGUGGAUGGUCAGCCAAUGACCAAGAUUCUAGUUGAUGGUGGAGCCGCUACUAAUAUCAUGCCAUAUGCAGUGUAUCGGAAGCUUGGGAAAGGGGAUCAGGAUUUAACCAAGACCGAUAUGAUGCUUAAAGACUUUUAAGGGAAUGUGUCUCCGGUCAAGGGGGCAAUAUGUGUAGAAUUGACCAUCGGCAGCAAAACCUUGCCGACAACCUUCUUCGUGAUCAGUGGAAAGGGUGCUUACAACCUGCUGUUGGGAAGAGAUUGGAUUCAUGCUAAUUGUUGCAUCCCAUCUACAAUGCACCAAUGCUUGGUCUAGUGGGUAGGUGACAAGAUUGAGAUUGUCCCAGGAGAUUCUUCUUAUGUCAUCGCAUCGGCAGAGGCAGAUACCUAUGAAAGGACUAGGUGUAUUUCAGGAGAGAUUUGGGAAAAGGAUUUUCUCAAGGUUGCCGAUUAUGAAAUUCCACCGAUCGAAGCAGUCGGUCCUGACGAAGGUUUUUAAUGGAUAGGUUCGCCGAUGAUGGAAAGUUAGGCCAGGGGUUCACAUCGGCCGAUGAUCUAGUAGAAGUAGAUAUAGGUAGUGGUGAUAAGCCUAGACCCACUUUUAUUAGUGCUAAGUUAGAUCCUGAGUGUAAGCAAAAGUUAACUGAUUUGUUAAAGGAAUAUAAAGAUUGCUUUGCUUGGGAUUAUAUACUGAGAUGCCUGGUUUGGACCGAUCAAUUGUUGAACAUCGGUUGCUUAUCAAGUCUGGAUUUCGGCCACAUCAGCAGCCAGCUCGCCGAUGUGAUCCUAAUAUUCUUCCUGAUAUCAAGGCAAAAAUAACCAAACUUAUUGAAGCCAAAUUUAUUUGGCAGUGUCGGUAUGCCGAGUGGAUUUCCAAUGUUGUUCCGGUCUAUAAGAAGAAUGGGAAGCUUCGGGUUUGCAUUGAUUUUAGGAAUCUCAAUAAAGCUACACCGAUGGAUGGAUACCCAAUGCCAGUUGCCGAUCUGCUAGUCGACGCUGCGGCUGGGCAUCGGGUUAUUAGCUUUAUGGAUGGCAAUGCAGGAUACAAUCAAAUAUUCAUGGCUGAAGAAGAUAUUCCAAAGACCGCGUUCAGGUGCCCUGGUCAUGUUGGAUUGUUUGAAUGGAUAGUCAUGACCUUUGGCUUAAAGAAUGCUGGUGCUACUUAUCAAAGGGCCAUGAAUUUUAUAUUUCAUGAGUUCAUUGGCAAGCUGGUGGAGAUUUAUAUUGAUGAUGUAGUGGUUAGGUCUGGAGACUUCGCAAAGCAUCUUGCCGAUUUACGAAAGGUGAUGGACUGCACAAGGAAGCAUGGUUUGAAAAUGAAUCCUAAUAAGUGUGCAUUUGGUGUAUCGGCAGGGCAAUUUCUUGGUUUCAUGGUGCACCAGAGGGGAAUUGAAAUCAGUCGAAGAUCUAUUGAUGCCAUGAAUAAAAUAGUAGCCCCUACCAACAAGACCGAGCUCCAAUCCUUGAUCGGCAAGGUAAAUUUUAUCAGAAGGUUUAUAUCUAACUUGUCUGGUAAAAUUCGUGCUUUCAGCCCUCUUCUUAAGUUAAAGGCCGAUCAAGAGUUUGUUUGGGGGAAGGAACAACAGUUGGCUCUGGAUGAAAUCAAGAAUUAUUUAAUAAAUCCUCCAGUUCUAAUUCCACCUCAGCAAGGGAAACCCUUCAGAUUGUAUUUGUCUACCGAUGGGAUGGUCAUCGGUUCGGCUUUAAUUCAAGAGUUUGAGGGAAGGAGCGUGUAGUUUAUUAUUUAAGCAGGAGGUUGAUUGAUGCUGAGACCAGGUAUUCGGCUAUUGAGAAAUUGUGCUUGUGCUUAUAUUUCUCUUGUACCAAGUUGAGGCACUACUUGUUAUCGGCCGAAUGCACUGUUAUUUGCAAGGAUGAUGUAGUCCGGUACAUGCUGUCCAUGCUGAUUAUGAGUGGCAGGAUCGGUAAGUGGAUUUUGGCACUGUCGGAGUUCGAUCUGCGUUAUGAAUCGGCUAAAGCCAUUAAGGGGCAGAUUAUGGCCGAUUUGGUAACUCAACAUUGCGGUGCAGUGGAAGCCUUGGAAAUUGUACCUUGGACGCUGUUCUUUGAUGGAUCUACAUGUGACCGGGGGGCAGGAAUCAGUAUAGUAUUAAUUUCCCCUCGAGGAAGGAGGUAUGAGUUUUCCUUGCCGAUUGUUGCCAUGUAACAGAACCGACCAAAUUAUAAGAGAUUAAGCCUAACAGCGACCAUUUGCAUAGUCAAACCAUCAGGCUUAAGCCCAUAUAAUCCUGGUAGUCCGUGAAAUCUCGAAGGAUUUCAAACCACACAUCGCAUAACAGCCAAGAUCGUAAUAAGUUUAGCGGUCGCCAUCCACAAGUACAUCCAGAUUACAACAUUCAUAAAAUACAUCGGAGUGCUCAAAGUUAUUACAAACCUAGUUCUUCAAGUAGCGGAAGCUUCAUAGUUCAAAAAUACGACACACACGCUUAGUCUGAUACAGUGCCAUAGUUCGGUCAUUCCCACAAAAGCAAAAGAAGAGACGGAGUGACCAUCGCCCUUGAUCUAGUCAUCACCCAUGGCUGGGUACAGACAGAGGAUGCAAUAACCAUAGUACAUUUGACCAUCUGCAAAACAACAUGGGAGUAGAACCCUGAGUACGAGAAGGUACUCAGCUAGACUUACCCGUCAUAAACUUAAAAUAAAGACUCAUCAAGGAUCAUGAAGGCUAUAUAGUGGGGUAGCUGACAACCAUUUGCCAAAACCACAGUAUUUCACUAUCAUAACCUACAUAAGUAUCUCUUCUUUUAGUCUACUCAAGUUGAAAGUAUCAUUACCUAUUAUCUAGGUUUGCACCUGCACUAUUACAAGCAAGUAUGAGACUAUGAUAGUACCUCAUCAUAGCAUUUCUUAAAACCAUUCAUCAUUAUAACCCAAGUGUUCCAUAGUCCUUACUACGAGGACAGGGCUCAUGUCAAGUGCUCACUAUCCAGGAGCGAUGGCGAUUCGAAUCGAUUUCUAACCAGCUGGCGAAUUUAUUCCCCACACAAACCACACUCACUGAUCAAGUGAGCUACAAGUCACCGUGUUGCACUAUCCAGGACCAAUUCGCGGGUUCGACAGGCACCGCCCGUACCCGAGGACCGUUACGGCGACCAAGGUAUCCAAGGUAUACCAAGGUUGCGCGCCGCGCCCUCGUCGUUCUCCUCAACCAUCACCAAUACAGCGCGUACAUCGGGCCGAUUCCCGGCCCGGAUAGUGCUCAGGCUUCGCGGUCGGAACGACUUAUCCUUCCAGCUAAAUGUGGGGCAUGCGUUCAACAUGACAAGAGGGCCGUCAACGAUCGGUCCUUAAGCGACACAGGCAGGGGCACUAUGGUCAACCCACCAUAAGACCCUGCCCGGUCUCCAAAUUCAUUCCACACUUGGUCAUUCUUUUCCCGAGCAACCAAUGCUUAAUCAAGCAGGUAUCCACCUAUAUCUCGCAGGUGACAGGAAAUCACCCGACUUCUACCGGACUAAGCAAGCUAAGCACAGACUCCGUGCCUAUCUACAUAGGAAAAGGUGGGUGAACAAGUAGGGAUAACAAGGAGUACACAUGCAGCAACGGUAUCAGGCAACUCCUAUCACUUAAUAUGCAAUACAGUAGAACAAGUAUAGUACUUCAUAUAAGUUAGCGAGGAUAGGGAGACUUAGAAUGCUCCGGGGCUUGCCUUUCUCAAAGGUGCUGGGUCGGUGAUCUGGACACUCCUGCAGUUCCUCUCCGGGUUCCGGUACUAACGGAGGUUCCUGCUCCUGAAUCUCCUCUGGCUCCUCGGGUCCCACCUCGUUCUCCUGCGAGCCUGUAUGAUGCAUGUGUGCUCAUGAGUGGAGUGCGAGAUGCCCGAGGGAUGCUUGUAUGAGAAAGUACUAAAGGAAUCAUGACAUGAUGCAUAGGUGAUGUACUUGGUCAUGCUUAUUACAAGGUAGUCAACAUCAUCCAAGAACAAUUAACUGAAUCAAGCAUCUAUUGCAUUCUCUUCUACAAAUAUUUUUCAAAUGCAACCAGCAACCCCCAUGAUGCUUCAAAGAUACACCAAACCCAACUUAUUCCAUUCAACCUACAUACACAACCAUUCAUAAUUUUCUUUAUUCAUUUCUAGGCCCAUUAAAAAUCACGUGCAAUUCUGUUCAUCAAUAAAUUUCACAAAAAUUACAGGAGACUACCAGCUAAGCGUAAAGUCUACUGUAAAUUUUUCAUAAUUUUUGGUUACUUACUUUGAGCCACAAAAAUCACAAGAUUAAUUAAUAAGGUAAGUAUAAUCACCUUGCUGUGAUAUAAGUGUCAAACAACAGAUUUCAUAUUUUCACAAUUUGUCUAAUAUCAUAAGAAACACCCACGAAAUUUUCCAGAUUUAUUGCAUGAUCCAAUUAAUUAUUAAAAAUCAUAAAUCACUGCCAUGCAAGCAUUUAAAUUACCAUAAAUUCAUUUAUACACCAAAUAAUAUGUAGUAAUAUUUUUCCAGUGAGUAAACACUCAUGCAAAGCUAACAAAACAAGUUUCACAUUUUUCAGAGCCAUAUUCUAUUUACUAUGCAUUUUCCAAAUUUAACAAAAUCAUGGAUUAAAUAUAUUCACACAGAAAAGUUACUUAAUCAUGACAUGCAAACAUACUAGGCUAUAGAUCUGGAAACAGGGAACACACCAAAAUUUAUUUUACAAUUUUUGGAGCUAUAUUCACCAAGAUAUGGAUUUUUGAACAUUUAAAUCAUUUCCUGGAAAAACUUUUAAAACGGAAAGCCACCUAAAACGCUAAGCGCACCCGGAUUCACACCCUCGGAGUCACUGACAGGUGGGACACGCGAGUCAGGGGACCCCACCUGUCAUCCACCCUGUGACCCCGCGGCCAAAGAUCGGCCGGAAUCUCGCCGCCGGUGAGGUUUCCGGCGACACCGUGAGCACCUACGGCUGCGCGAGAACGAGACGAGUCCAACCGUACCCUCUUUGGCACCGGACGAGCACCGGAACUACCUCGCCGUCGCGAAUGGCGGACGCGGCGGCGCUGCUCGCCGUGGUCCGGCCAUUUCACGGCGGUAGAGCGUAAGCUAGCGACGGGAAAAGGUGCGCGAGGCCAAGGCGGAUCCAAAGCACCUACGAACGCAAGCAGAGACAGAGAGGAGAGGGAGAACCGUGCGAGCCGAGAGGUCGCCGGAGCUCCGACUCACUCCGGUGAGCUCUAGCGGGCACGCAGGGCUUACCGAGCGCGGAAGAGCGCAAGCACGCGACGCGGAAGGACGAGGCGGAGUCGGUGGUGGUCGCGAAGAGGAAGGAGAGGGCCGGAGCUGGCCGGGAGAGGAGCUCUGAGCCAUCGGCGGCUAUGGCGUGCGGCGGAGCGGCGGGCGCUGCGCGAGAGCGAGCAGAGAGGCGAGAGCGAGUGGUGGAGGGCGCAAAUGGGAGCGGGAGCUUCGGCGGACGCGACCAGGGGCUCCUGGUGGCCGACCAGGGCUUCUCCUCGCCGUCGCAUGCCCGCCACGCGGCGGCCAGGCUCUGCCGGCGCGCCACGGCGGCACGGCGAGGCCGUCCACGCGCGCGGACGCGGGCGCGAGCGCGGGGAGGGGGAAGGGGAAGGCGCGGGCGGGCCAGGCCGGCUUCGGCCAGCGGGCCAGAAGUGAGGCCGCGGCCUGCUAGCGCCCCCUUUUUCCUUUCCUAUUUUUUUUUGAAUUUCUUUUCUCAAAUUCUCUUAUAAAUUCAUUUUGGCCAUUUUCAAAUCAUUUUCACCACUUUCUCCCAAAGGCAAAGUUGUUCCAAACUAAAAACUCUACAACUUUGCUUUAAUAAGCAAAACCAAAUUCCAAAUAGAAUUUAAAUUACAAAUUAGAACCUAGUUCUAGGUUUUUAAAUAAAUUCUUUUUGGAUAUUUUGUAGAAAUUCCAUUUCUCAAAUUCCAUAGCUCCAAAAAUUACACAAAAAUAUUCUAAAUUCUUCUUACACAGAAAUCAACCUAGUUUGAAUAUUUCACAAUUUUAGGAGCAAGCAUCAUAUUUUUGACAUAUUUAUAACUCAUGAAGUGAAGCACAUAAAAUCAUAAUUUGAAAAGAGUGUCAUGCUCAUGAGGCUUAUGCUUGAUGGGAAUGCUUAUGCAUGACUUUGAUGAGACUAAGUGCAUGCUUAACACCUAGGGUGUUACAGCCGAGGUCGGCGCUGAUCGUCAGCACCUUGCCGUCGGAGUUGUUGGGGUCGAGCGGGAUCUUCUUGGUUCCUUCCACCGGCUCGAAGCUACCCGCGUGGCGCUUGGGCUCUGCAGCCUCAGCGGCCAGGGCCUCGAGCUUCGAGGCGAGCUCGGUGGAACUCUCGACCGCCUCCCCAUACUCAACCCACUCGACGUCGCACUCGUAUGCGUGCUUGAAGGAGGAGCUGACGGUGAUGACGCCCUUGGGCCCGGGCAUCUUCAGCUUCAAGUAGGUGUAGUUGGGGAUAGCCAUGAAUUUGGCGUAGCCCGGGCGCCCGAUGAUGGCGUGGUACUUGCCCCGGAAUCCCACCACCUCAAAGGUGAGGGUUUCCUUUCUGAAGUUGGCAGCUGUGCCAAAGUAGACCGGUAGGUCGAUUCGACCUACCGGCAACGCCUUCUUCCCAGGAACGACGCCAUGGAAGCCUCCGGCGCUUGGUUGGAGCUGCGACCUGUUGAUGCCGAGGAGGUCGAGGGUCUCGAGGUAAAUGUUGUUCAGGCUGCUGUCGCCAUCCAUCAGCACCUUUGAGAGUCUGGUGUUGAUGAUGAUGGGGUCAACAACAAGCGGGUAGACGCCAAGGGUGACCACCUUGUCGGGGUGGUCCUCUCGAUCGAAGGUGAUGGGGGUGCUCGACCAGCUGAGGUACAGGGGCACCGCCAUUCUUGCCGCAAAGACUUCACGGCGCUCUCUCUUGCGUUGCCUUGCGGUCAGCUGCAUCGAGGCCCACCGUAGAUCAUGUAGCAGUCGUGGACGGCAGGGAAACCGUCGUCGUCUUUGUCUUUCCCCUUGUCGUCGUUCUUAUCCUUCCUUGGGUCGUCGCGCGCGUCCUUCUUGAACCCUAGACUGUCAAAAUGAUUUUUCAGCAUACGUCAGUCCUCGAGCUUAUGGUUGGCUCCUCCCUUAUGGUAAGGACACGGCUCCUUCAGCAUCUUAUCAAAGAUGCCUGCCUCUGGAGGACCUCGAGGCCUUUUGCGUUCCAUGGCGGCUACGAGAUCGUCGUCGAGGUCUUCCCGCUGGAACGGGCGGGUUUUCUUCUUCUUGUUGUUCUUCUUGGGCCCUCGACUAGGGCCCUCAUCAUCAUCGGCGGGCGGCUUGCCCUUCCUUCCUUCACAGCUGAAGAAAGCGCCGACCGCUUCUUCUCCCGCAGCGUAGUUGGCCACCACGUCCAUCAGCUCGUCGAUGGUCUGAGGGUGAUUCCGGCCCAAUUCCCACACCAAGUCUCGACUGGUGGUACUAGAGACAAAGACCAGGAUGACGUCGUGGUCGGGGAUGUGCGGCAGCUCGGUGCGUUGCUUUAAGAAGCGUCGAGCGAACUCUCGAAGAGUUUAUCUUGACUUCUAAUUGCACUUGCUAAGGUCCCACGAGUUUCCAGGCCGUAUGUAGGUCCCUUUGAAAUUACCCUCGAACACUCUAACCAAUCGACCCAGUCGUGGAUCUGAUCGGCUGGAAGUUCCUCGAGCCACCUGCGGGCGGUGUCGGAGAGGAAGAGCGGCAGCUGUCUGAUGAUGGCUCAUCGUCUCCUCGAGCACCUCCUAGCUGACAGGCCAGCCUGAAGUCCGCCAGCCACAACUCUGGUUUGGUUUCACCGUUGUACUUUGCGAUGCUGGUUGGGGGUCGGAAUGGACUGGGCAGCGGCGUGCUACGGAUCGCCCUACUGAACACCCGCGGGCCUGGUGGCUCUGGGGCCAUCCGGUCCUCAUCGUUGUCGUACCUUCCGCCGCGAUGGGCGCUGUAACCGCGCUCUUCCGCGUCCCCGUACCGACUGCGACGAUUCUCUUCAAUGUCGCGUCGUGCGUCGUGCCGACGUUGGUUGUCGACGUGGAGGACGAGCGUGGUCUUUUUCCCUCGAGGGGGUGGCUGCUGAUGGACCGACACCUCCUUUUCAUUUUGGACUGGCUCAUCGCGCUUUUCAGUGGCCGCUCCUCGACGUCGAGAAGCCGAGCUUUCGGCCUGCUGAACUGCCGCCACCUCGUCUUGGAUGCGCCGCGCUUGGGAGUUCAACGGCUCCGGCAUGUUUUGUAGCAGCAUUGUUGCUGCCACAACGUUCUGGCCUGCUCGAGGGAAACGACUGACGGGCUGCUCAGGCUCUGCGUCUCCAACGAUUUGCCGGUGUACCUUUCGAGCUCGUCUGCGGACGCUUCCGCCAGGCGGGUAAGGCAGGUCCUGCUCGAGGAUUUGCUCAAGCAGAACAAGGCACUCGCGAUCCUCGUCAAGCUUUGCCUUGAGCUCUCGUAGCUGCGCAAUUUGCGUGGCUCUGUCCUCUUUUGGAGGGGGGUCGACCUGACCAUCAUUCCUAGGCAUCCUAGGGUCUUCCCUUGCUGCAGGGGCUCGACCGCCGGCAGCAGCAUCCCGCGUCUCGUCGGUAGUUUCUACCACCCCGUCGAUAUGAUAGCAUUCCCUAGUAGGGUCGUAGCUAUCGGUCUCGGAGUCGGAGUCCGGCUCGGUGGCGUAGAAACAUCCAUGUCCCUCCUCCAGCAGCCGCUGCCUGAGCGAGGUGAUCGUGUAUCGUCCAGGGUCUAGGCGACGGAGGCCUCGUACCUGGGAGAAAUCCGGCACCUCGGACGUCGGUUGCUGUGCUCCAGGGUGGCAUGGGAGGACCAUUGGUCUCUCCACGUACGUCUGGGCAUUUGGGCAUAUUGCCCUGGCGAGCGACGCUGCGGCGUUGUCCAAUCCGAACGGCAGCGCCCUUCUUGGAGUGAACAACCCAUGUAGAAGUAACCUGGUGGUGGGGGAGAGCGCGGGGCGCGUCACCUCUUGUAGUCGUGUGAUCCUCACGACGCUGGGCCAUCAUGCCCACGGAUUCGGCGUGCAGCGCUGUCAGCUCUCGUGUCACCUCAUGCUUGGCACGAACUGCCGGUCGUGACGAGGCAGAGGGGCGACGGUGCUGCUGUCCACGCCUCUUCUUGGGCGGGGAGGCAUGGUGGCGAGGACGUCUUGGGGCCCUCAACCGUGCUGGCGCAAUGUGGGCUCCUCCCAGUCCUUUGAUCGAGAGCAAGAUCAUGUCAUAGCCAGAGCCAGUAGACAUGAACUCGAGACUCCCAAACCAAAUCACCGUGGAGCGCGAAACCGGCGAAGCGAGAGCGGCCAUCUGGAAAGGAAUGGGAAAUUGGUGAAAAAACACGCAGGACCCCUACCUGGCGCGCCAACUGUCGGUGUUUUCCCCACGGGGGUCACACCAACUAGUGAAUUUGUAUGCGUGCUCCCUUUUCCAGAUGGUGAUGCAAAAAGACACAAAGAUUUAUCCUGGUUCGGGCAAGAGAAGGCCCUACGUCCAGCGGGGGAGGAGAGUUUGUAUUAUUUUGCACCUAAAUGCUUGUACAAGGGUGAAUACAAGUGCGGUAUGGAAUGAGGUGGAGUAUGGAAGUUCUAAAGUGUAUGGGUGUAGUGUUGCGUGAUGUCUCUUGUGUGAUGUCCUGUGUUCGCUCCCGGGCCUCCCCUUUUAUAGUUUCAAGGAGAAGACUAGGGUACAAGUAUAGGCGUCAGAGUAGGGGUCGAUAGAGGUAUGGCGCGCGGACCUACUCGAGGCCUCCGUACCGGCAUGGUCUCGAGUCGUCCCGUCCCGGUAGCUUGAUGAUGAUUACGCGUGCCCCUGUAUCCUGCUCCGCGCGCCGUCGUGGACUGGUUUAUCAGUCGCACGCCUGUACGUCAUGGCGGCAGAUACGUCGGAGUGGAUGCAGUGUUGUCAUUCGAUGCCCAACCCUUCCCUAGGAAGGAAACAUGUCUGGUCGAGGGCCGGACGCCGUGUAGCGCCUUGCUAUCCAGAGCGUUGACCUUGGAUGUCUCGAAGGGGUCUUGAUUAGACGUUCCAACCCUGCUUCCCGCGUCCUGACAUACUCUGGAUUGUUUGGUGGGGAAGGCUGCAAAAAGAAUGACGGGACGGGUGCCUGUUCCCUAUCACGCUUUUCGUGACUGGCGUGUUAGGUGGGAAAGCAACAGGCGCAUUAAAUGCCCUGGCUCCCGUGCGCGCGUCAGACGGCGGGCGGCGUCCUUGCGCUCGACGCCUCCUGAUUCGCUCGAGCCUAUUUCCGUAUUCGACGGUAGUUGGCGCUCGAGCCCUGAUCGACUCGCUCGACGCCCUUUCCGUCUUCGAGCCUGCGGUCGUCGAUGACUGUAUGUGCGACUGAUUGGGUAGAGCGUCGAGUUGGGGGCCUCGACUUGUGUACGGGCAAUCUUAUUAUGUGCACCAGUUAGGACACCCCUUACUGGUACCCUCGACAAAAACUUAGACAAGGUUUUGCAAAGAUGUGAAGAAAAGCACUUAGUCCUUAAUUGGGAAAAAUGUCAUUUUAUGGUUAGAGAAGGAAUAGUGCUGGGACACCUAGUGUCUGAAAGAGUUAUUGAGGUAGACAAAGCUAAAAUUGAAGUAAUUGAACAACUACCUCCACCUGUGAAUAUAAAAGGAAUUCAAAGCUUUCCUGGCCAUGCUGGUUUUUAUCGUAGAUUUAUAAAAGAUUUUUCAUUCAUUGCUAGACCACUUACUCUUUUGCUAGCCAAGGAUGCUCCUUUCGAAUUUGAUGAUGCAUGUCAAACAUCUUUUAAUUUACUAAAGAAAGCACUCAUCUCUGCACCAAUCAUUCAACCCCCUGAUUGGUCGUUGCCUUUUGAAAUUAUGUGUGAUGCCAGUGAUUAUGCUGUGGGGGCAGUAUUGGGACAAACUAAAAAUAAGAAGUAUCAUGCAAUUGCUUAUGCCAGUAAAACUUUGACAGGAGCUCAACUUAAUUAUGCAACCACUAAAAAAGAGCUUAUGGCUGUUGUCUUUGCCAUUGAUAAAUUUAGAUCUUAUUUAGUUGGAGCUAAAAUAAUUGUUUACACUGAUCAUGUUGCACUAAAAUAUUUGCUCACUAAAAAAGAUGCUAAACCUCGCCUGAUUAGAUAGAUCUUAUUACUCCAAGAAUUUGACUUAGAAAUAAAAGAUAAAAAGGGAGUAGAAAAUUCUGUUGCUGAUCACUUGUCUAGAAUGUAUUUUAAGAGUCCACAGGAAACCCCCAUCAAUGAUUCACUCUGGGACGACAUGCUCUACGGGAUUAACAGGUCUGACCCCUGGUAUGCAGAUAUUGUUAAUUUUAUGGUUUCAGGGUAUGUACCACCAGGAGCAAACAAGAAGAAGCUUAUUCAAGAAAGUCGUUCACAUAUAUGGGAUGAGCCAUACCUCUUCCGAGUAUGCUCUGAUGGCUUACUCAGGAGAUGUGUGACCACCGAGGAAGGAUGGAAGAUCAUCAACAGAUGUCAUUCAUCACCAUAUGGAGGUCACUAUGGAGCAUUCCGUACACAUUCAAAGAUCUGGCAGUGUGGAUUCUACUGGCCUACAAUGUAUGAAGACACGAAGCAAUAUAUCAGAAGAUGUGGGCCAUGUCAAAGGCACGAAAACAUAAAUACAAGGGAUGCAAUGCCACUCACCAACAACCUUCAGAUUGAGCUCUUUGAUGUCCGGGGAAUAGACUACAUGGGUCCAUUUCCUCCAUCAAAGAAGUGUGAGUACAUCUUGGUGGCAGUUGACUAUGUCUCCAAGUGGGUAGAGGCACUACCUUGCAAGCAUGCCGACAACAUCAGUUCAAAGAGGAUGUUUGAAGAAAUUAUAUUUCCAAGAUUUGGAGUUCCCAGAGUAGUGAUAAGUGAUGGAGGAGCACACUUCAUCGACAAACGCUUCAAGCAAUAUGUAUCAAAACAUGGAAUCCACCACAACGUCGCUACCCCCUAUCAACCUCAGACAAGUGGCCAAGCAGAGACUUCCAACAAGCAAAUCAAGAAUAUUCUUCAGAAGACAGUAAAUGAAAUGGGAACGGUGUGGAAAGACAAGUUACCCGAUGCACUCUGGGCAUACUGAACAGCAUACAAGACCCCAAUUGGAAUGUCUCCAUACCAAUUGGUGUACGGGAAGACUUGCCAUCUACCCGUUGAACUAGAGUUCAAAGCACACUGGGCCAUAAAGAGAUGGAAUAUGGACCUAGAUGUUGCUAGAGAUCAUAGAAGAAUGCAACUAUCAGAAUUGGAAGAAUGGCGAGAGAAGGCAUAUCACAAUUCGAAGAUCUACAAAGAAAGAGUCAAAAGGUGGCAUGACAAGAGAAUCAAGAAGAAGGAGUUCACACCCGGAGAUAAGGUAUUACUUUUUAAUUCUAGGGUGAAGCUUUUCCGGCAUGGAAAACUCCGAAGCAAAUGGGAAGGACCAUUCAAGGUAAUUAAUUCAUCAUCCCACGGAGCUAUCACACUUCAAAAUGACGAAGGUACGUUAUUCAAGGUAAAUUGUCAACAUCUUAAAUUAUUUUUAGAGCCCAAUAAAGAAUUAGAAGAAAUAGACGUAGUCCAUUUUUACCUUCCCAUGGAGAAUUAGAGCCCGACCUUUUUAGUCUGAUGUUUUUUGGGUCAUAUAUAUAGUUUUCUAAAUAGUUUUGCAUCUAGAAACGCGCUCGAGAAAGUGGGCCCGCUGUAACAUCCCCGAUGUUACGGUUACUAAAAUUUGGAUCAUGGCAUCAUCAGCAUUGCACAGCAUAGUUGUUAAGCACAACUUGAUGCAUCCACUAAAAAUGAGUUUAAUUUGGUUGAAUGUGCUUAGGGAAUUAAAGUGUGUUUAUCUUGUUUAUUGAUGCUUGAGUUGGUUGCUAAAACCCUAGGGGUAAAAGUUUUCCGAAGGACUAAGGGGGAAACCCAGAUUUCUGGACCCUAGAAUUGCCCCUUUUUGUGCAACUUAAAAACCAAGAAAAAUUUGAGGAUGAGUUCAAAAGCAAAGUUGUAGAUCUUGGCAAGAUGUACAACUUUGGUGUUUUGAGUUUAUGAAGUUUCAGUGUAAAAUUCAAAGUAAUUUUGAAAAUACAGAUUUCCAGAGAGUGUCCCCUUUUCCAAUUUGAACCUCCAUUUCAAAAUCCAUUUGGAAUUUUGAAAAGUGGUCAACAUGAAAGUUGUAGAGCACAAAAAGUUGAACAACUUUCAUGUUGGGCGUUUUUCAAGUUGUUUGGAAAAAUCAAAAGUAAUUUUGGAAUUUCUAUUCUGCCCCAAUUUAAACCAGUUUUGCCCCCAAAUUGAAUUUUUGAAUUUCAAACUGUUUUCCCCAAAUUCAUGCCCUUACACUCAAAAUCAGUAAUGGACUCUUAAAUAUGUUUUGUAGCUUAUAAAAUUUUGAACAACUUUUGUUUUGGCACAAAUUUGACUUCAGUUCAAAUUUUGGAGGUAAUUCGCAAAAGACAAAAAGGAGUGGAUAGGGCCUGCUACAGUAGAGAACCGAUGAGGAUCACCGGCCCCCUGUCCAACGCGGCCGCCGCGCGUGCAGCGCUGCGUGCGCGCGUGCGAGCACGCAGCUGCUUGCUGCCAGUGCCGCCAGACGACGUGGAAGCUCCGCGCUCGCUCUACGCGGGUAUAAAGCCGUGCCACCGGCCGACGCGCCUCCGUUUGCCUCCAAGAACGCCGACGAGCUACGCCCGCGCCACCGCGAAAUUUGCCGCAAGCACGCCCUCUUCAUCUUCUCGGUGUGCAGCACCCACUUCGCCCGCGACCUAGCUACCUCUUGGACUCUUCGCCGCGCGCUUUAACCCCCUAAUGCCACUAGCCGAGCCGUCGUCCCCAACUCCGGCUAGGACCGCCGCCGAGGAACCCUUCACGUGGGCACGCUACUCCAAUCGGUAUCACGCCUUGCCAGCGGUCGUUUCAAGUUCUUCUCAUUUCCCCGAUGCUCAUGCACCCGCUCUUUCUCCUUGGACGUGAAUAGGCCCACCGGAACGACCUCGCCAAGGCUCGAGCGCCCGCCUGACGACACCGUCUCCGUCGCCAGUGACCUCGGCUACCACCUCGAGCCUCGCAACGUGAGCACCACCUUCUCUGACCUUCGUGGAAACUCUCUCGCACGUUUAAUUGCGCUCUACCGAGCCCUCGUGGCCGGUCUUCGGGCAACCGACGCGGCCGUCUGCCAUGUAUGCGGUUGAGGUAGAGAGAGAGCGGUAGAGCGUCCGCGAGCAGUAGCUAUGGAGUCGCAAGGUCGAGUCGGAGCUGAUGCGCACCAUGGUGUGGGCUUGGACCUCGCCAGCGGCGGCCGGGAUCGCGGCAGGGCCGCCGUGCGCGAGGAAGGAAGAACUGACAGGCGGGACCCGCUCGUCAGUGACCGCGCAGAGAGAAGGGCAGCGCGCAGCGUCCGAGUGGGCCGAGCGGAAGUGGGCCGGCCUGCGGGCCUUUUUGGCUGGGCCUCUCCCGGCUGUUUUUUGUUUUCUUUUUCCUUUUCGAGUUAAAAAUGAUUGAUAUUUGAAUUUGUGUAGAAAAUUGUGUGCUAAUCCAAAAAUGAUGCAAAUUUGUGUAUAAGUUCUAUGAAAUGAGUAGAGCACAGGAAAAAUAGUAGAUUUUAUUUUCUGAUGGUUUGCAUAUAUUUAAAAAUUGCCUCUUUUAUUUAAUGAAUCAAACUUCUAGGAAUUUUAGUAAUUUAUUAGUAUGCCCAAAAAUCACCAAACUUUUUGGGGAGUCUCUGAAUGCUAUUCCCUGGCUCCACACAAAAUUUGGUGGCUUUUGGAUAAUGUUUGAAUAAAAUAUUAAUAAACCCUUAUUUAGUAAUUAAAUAAUAAUUCUAGAAUAAUUACAUAAUAAUUAGUUAAUUGCUCAAGACUAGGAUUUGAGUGAUUUUGGAAUUAUGUGAUGACCUAAGGUCAUUAACCUUAAUGGCCUUUGGCAUUUAAUUAUUGUUUGACCUUAAUGCUUAAUUACUGUCAUUAAUAAUUAAUUAAGAAUUAAUUAAGGUAAAUAGGUUUAAUAAUUAAUUAGUUAAAGAUAAUUAUGAAUUAAGAGAAGUCUUAAUUUACAGAUGCAACUUCUUCGGUAAAGACACUAAGAUGUUAAACAACUUUAAUUAUUGUUUAAUCUGUGUUGCACCGAGGAGGUCAGUUAUACUUAAUUUGGUCCUUUUGAUAUAUUUGUCACAGGCAUGUCAUGAGUAUUCAUCAUUUUGCGUAUAGUGCACGUGACCGAAGGAGCGACCGUUGAACCGAAUCCCGAGGUCGGUGCUCCGUUCGAGGAAGUCGGAUCCGAGACUUGGGAAGUCUCCGAGGGUCCCUCUCUGCCCUGCAACCAAGGCAAGCCCCGGAUGCAUUAGCCCCUCCUUGAAUGUUUUAAAUCUUUUAUCACUUAUGAAUUGAAAAUGCUGCAUUAGAUAGUUGAGAAUUGGGUUAACCCACUUGCUGCAUUUACUACCUUGAUAUUUGUUAUCUUGUCCUUGGCACCUGUUUUACUUUAAAAUCGCGUAGUGAUGCUUAGCCCUGCUACUAGAUAGGUUUUCAAACAAGAAAGUUUGAAGGGUUGUUGUGGAAUACACCUAUGAUCAAUGAUGUUUCAAUUUGAGACCGGUCGGUGGACUUGCUUUAAGAAUGGAGUCUUAAAGUAGUGUCUCCCACUGUGUCGGUUAAGGACCGGUCCGUUGGUGGCCUGAUGGGUUGAGAAUUUAUAGUACUGGCCACUUACCCUCGGUAAGCCCGGUCUUGUGAUCCCUCGACGCGAACAGCUACUCGCGCACUGGGCGUGGAGCGAUAGCGAGAGUAGUGUGUACCCACCUUACGGGUCUGAGAUGACCGGGAAACAUCUAGAUUGGCUGUAGGAUGGUGGAGUACUGUGCUCUCGGGUGCCGCGAACCUGGUCAAAUUUGGGAAGAGCUUGAUUUGGGUUGACAUAUGCAAGAUUUGGUUCUACAUAUGUCGGGUGGUUAGGAACUCCAGCUGGAUUGCUAAGCGGUUCGAAUCGUCGUUGCUCCCCGAUUGGGAGACUCAAUCCACUGACCCUCAUCGUAGUUAAAUAUGCAACUAAGUGGUAAAAUGAGAAAGGGGGAAAUGUCUCAUGAGGUUCGGAUCCCAAUUCCCGGACUCAGAGUGACAUGAAACUCUGGCCGUUGGAUGUAUAAUACUGUAAAUUAGGACUAGUAACUCACAGACUUGUCUGUGGGAGGCAACUAGAUAGACUGUCUUCGAACUCCUCGGCCUCUUCAGGAGAGGAAUUUGCGGGUAAAACUUGAAAGUAAGGAUGCAUUAUUAGUAAGCUUUUCCGCAAAUCACCUUGGCUCCUUGCUCAGCCACUCCUUGUCUACCCUAAGCCUGCAUCCCUACCUUCUCCUCUUUUCCACCGGGUAUGUCUUGUUGAGUACUCUCGUACUCAGGGUUUCAAUACCCCUGUUGCAGGUGAAGCUCAGGAGCCGACUUGUUUCGGACCCUGUUGUGUGACCGUCGUCGAGGUUGACGACGAAGAAGAGUGAGCGUGACCCAUGGGCAGGGUCUGUAAAUUUGUAAUCGAUGUAAUAAAGUUUAAGUUGCUCCGCUGGACCAGGCUUGUAAUAACACUCUGCUUUUUGGAAGAACUCCUUUUGUAAAAUAAGUUAUGUAAUACUUCCGCUAUUUUACUCUGAAAUAUUAUUUUGGUCGUUUGUCGUUUGUGAUACUGCAUUGUCUUCGCAACGAAUGAUCCUGGUGUUAAGGUGGCCACUUGCUAUCCUGUAAGGGCGAGAAGAAGAAGUUCUCGUUAAUUGACCAUCACCAGUGGUCAGGACGAGCCAGCUUGGUAUGCCACAGGUAGCAGUGGAAUGAGCGUCCAGCAAUGCUCAUCGGACUUCUAAAGUGGGAGGAUCCCCGACAUCACCGUCAGAGGUCCUUAGGACAAUGAACGGUGUCGGUGGGCCCAAACACUUAGGGGGUUCUGCCACACCCACAGAGGGGCCAGAGAGAGGGCGGGCGCCCAGAUCAGGUGGGCGGGCGCUCAGCUCCUGUUCCCCCUCGGUCCCGAUUUUCUCUGUUAUGGAAAAUGCACUUAUGGUAAUCCGAAUAAUCCCUCAGAUGGAAAGUUUUGCACGCACAUCGACAGGAGCAACCUGAACAACCCCUAGAGGCACUUUUUGACCCCUAUAUAAACAGACCCCUGACAUUAGUUUUCAAACACCAAACCACCAAGCCUUCUCUUCUUCUUCAAUUAGAGCUUGAUUAGUUCCUUGCUACUCCAAUGGCCGAAAAGUUCCACAAUGAUUGGGAAGUCGUCCCCUUCAACCUCAACAUGGAGCCUGUGGAAGACCCUGAUGCCCGUGCUCUCGUCCCGGCCAACACAGAGCGACAGCUAGAAGCCAUGCCAUUACGCCAACGCAGCUCCACCCAAUCCUACCAUGCUCAACCAGUUCUCACCGCACCGCCACAACCCCUACUCCUCAAGGGAGCAUCAUCCAAGAUGAAGACCACCAUCAAGGUGCCAACCGGCACAAGGAUCCUUCCACCUAGACCUAAUGAGAGGGUCGUUGGAGUCAAAACCAACCGGAGCGGCGAGAUCAGCAGCGUUCGCUACACUACGGAGGAGGAAAGACCUUACUUCAAAGGGAUUAGAGCAGCCAAAGUCCGUUUCAUCCCUCCAAAGGCAGCCCCGAAGCACGCUCUCAAUGCUUUUGAGACACCUCCCAAGCGUCGCAAAACUAUAAUGGAAAUUGAUGAGGACGUUCGCAGACUAGACAGAGUUAUCAUAGACCUCCAGUCUUCGAUUAAUUCCCUCACUAGGCAGCUCUCUAACCACAACACCAUUAUACUAGCCUCAGGUAGGAUCUUGCUAGUGCCAACAAAAAGAUUAAGGAAUUAGAGCGCCGCUAAGUUAUCUAGAUUAGACCUUGAGGCAAUGCAUCUUAGUCAUCUCUCUUUAAAUUCGGUUUAGGUUUACUAUUAUUGUCAGUUUGUUACUAUUAUCAUCAGUUUGCUAUUGUCAUCAGUUUGCUACUAGUCUUUUGUAAUAAAUGCCUCAAGAUUAAUAAAGAGUAUUAUUAUUAUGUCUUGUGUGUCUCUAAUUUAUUUUUGUGCAAGAAAGCAGAAAACAAGUAUGGGGGAGAUCCCUCAACAUGCCAAACACACUCUGACUACACCACUCCACGAUUCAGGUACACACUCUGCGCACUUUACUUUACACAUACACAUAUCUUGGAUUAUGUAGAAUAUUGUUUCCGACAUGAUAAAGAUUAAAAUGUUUCUAAUCAUAAUUAAUCUCACUCUGUAAUAUUUCCUGAAAUUUGCAACUAUUAUGAAAUCAUUUUAAAACCCUGUGUCACUUAAGAUAGUAUGGAAUGUGAGAUGGUAGAGUAUGAGUUUCUUAUUCUUGAUAUCAUUGUUGCUUGAAGAAUUUAUUUCAAAAUUUAUUUAAAAUUCUAGCUACCAUCCUCAGUGUUUUAUAUGCCUGAUAAAACUAAAAAUAUUAAUUAUGAUUAUAAAAGCUAUCUUCUCUGUAUUGAGUUUGUUCAAAAUGAGUUAGACCCUUGUUGAGAGAUUUAUCAUGCUCCUAAGAUCAAGACAUUUAUUCAGAAAGAUUCACUCUUCCGAAGUAUUAUUGCAUUAGAGGCAUGGGCUAUGCAAAAAUAAAGAUAUUUUGAGGAAAUAAAAAGGAGCAAGUGCUCGACAACCCCGCAGAAAAAAUGGACAAGUGUCCGGCAGUAGAAUUAGGGAUACCUCGGUAUCCACUUAAAAAAAAAGAAAAUGAUAGCCCAUGGUCCCUCUAAUAAGCAAUAUGCCAGCAAGAGUUGACAAAGUUUUUAAAUUUCCAAAGUCUUCGAUCUAAGAGUAUGACAUUCCCCUCCUCGGAUCCCGUUUUGAUCAGGCAAUAAGUACAAAGUAAGUAUGCUUGAGAAUUUUUGCAAAUUAAAACAGCCUCAGUGAGAUAUAUAAAAGAUAAUGUGUGAUCUGAGAGAACCUAUGAGGAUAAAAAGGUAUGCUAACUUUCUUUCGAAAAUAUACAAAAGCUCCAAGUGACAGGAUUGAGUAGAAAGGAUCUUUACUCUUAACCAUAUACUUCCCUAACUAUAGUACACAGUGGAUUUUAACACCCUGCAAAUAUAAAGAAAAUGUUUUACCCCAAAUAUUGUUCUUAACCAUCCUUUUCUCGAGGAUGAGUAAAAGCCUAAGUAUGGGGGUAUUUGUUGACGGUUCUUAAGUAUCAAUUUUAUUUAUCAAAUAAACAAGAGAAAGGACCAAUAUACAACCAACACGUAGAAUUAGGGUUUGAUCUGACAGAGUUCCACGAGUUUUGUUGUUUAUCUGUUUCUGCAGGGGUUUAUGAGGAAAUAAGGAAGAAAGGCCCACAAGUCGGGAUUACAUAGAGAUAUCAACGCACCUCGCAAUUUUCUACCAUCUAGAAGACUCCAGAAGCCACGGGAAGAAAGCAGAGGCCGAAAGGGGCCAGGCCCAGGGCGCCCGCCCUGAGGAUCUGGGCGCCUGCCCCCUCCUAAAUGCCAUUCAAGACUCUCUUCGCACACGAUGUUCCACCGACAUAAAGGAUCAAGGAUAAGUACCACAUCGCCUACCGACCCAAAAAUGCAUAGAGGAGGAGGACUAUAUAAGGAGACCCCCCUGGCCCCUGGAGGAGACAAGAAGUUUAUCAUAGAGUUGAGGGGAGCCCUCGAAGAAAAACCUCUUCUCUAAAUAAAAUUUCUUUUUAGGCUUAGCAACUAAUGUAAGUAGAAAUAGAUCUUCUAGUUUCUACUAGAUUGAGAGAGAUAGAGUGGAGGUGUAGAUUGGAGGAAGCCCGGCUUGUCGGUGUCUACUCCAAGCUUGUACCUACGGGAUCAAGUUCUCCUAACCCGAAGCUUGCUCCUAGGAUUCUUCAGUAUUUCGACUUCUAAAUUCUAGUAUGUUCUUGUUUUAUUGUUCUUUUGGUUUAUGAGUUUACUUUAAUCUCUUCACGUAGAGUUUAGAGUAAUCAUCUCUAGCGUAGACGUGGUGUUUAAGCUAGGAUACUCAUAGAUAUUCCCUGACUAGCUAGACCGUGGUAGUAGCGAGGAACGUGACAUUUCUUAGUUACCUUUGCAGACCAUAUCUCGUUAGCAGGAAGGAUAGGGUUUAUAGGUGCGGGUUGAACAUCCUUUGUGGUGUCUAGAUUCCGUUAGCCUCCCCAAUAGAACAGUAGAUCAUCCUUACCAAGGUUAGAAGGAGAUUACGGUUGUAGUCUUCUCUAUUUAUCACUCACAUCGAGAAACAUUCUUUGUUGCCUAAAGGGUUAGUAGUAAUAGACCGGGUUAGUCAGAUGCACUCUUUCUCCUAGUGGUAAAAAAAUAAAUACGAUACUCUGGAUAACCUCUCGGGUGAAGUGCUCACCGAUAUCCGUGCGCUUGCGGAUCAAUUCCUUAUUGUGUUCCCAAAUAUCAACAACGUCGACCGUUAGAGCUGUCACUACCCUAGGGCUACCACAACAAUCGGCACGAUUGGGUGCAAUUCCAGGUAAUUGCAAGACUAAGCACCACGUCUAAUCUAUUAAUUACUACUCUAAUAUUUCAAAGAUUAGAGCACUUGAUGCAAGCGGGAAUCCAAUAAAUAACUUGAAUGUAAAUAAAAGUAAUUAAAGAACUCAGGAAUUAUGAAUUGAAGAACCUGGAGAACGAUGAAGAACGAACCAGUUGCUGCAAAAGUACAAUGUCGAGGAAGAUCCGACAGAUCCGGCUCCUCCUCCGCUCUCCUCUUCUAUCUCCCUAUUUUCUAGAUUACAACUAGAACUAACUAGAACUAGAACUAGAGGAACUAGAAUUAGAACUAGAUGAACUAGAACUAGAUCUAGAUGAACUAGAAGUAGAACUAGAAGAACUAGAGGGAUCCUCUCUACUUGGAUGAAGAAUUGAAACCCUAACUUUGAUUCUGUAGAAGAGGUAUGAUCUCCAGGGGCCAGGGGGCCUUGCUUAUAUAGUCUUUUCAGAUGAAUCUGGGCCGUUGGAUCAAACCAACAUUGAUUGAAUGGUUAUCCUUGAUCCUUUAGGUCAGUGGAGCAAUAUCGUGAAAGAGAGUCUUGAUUGGACUCUAUGUGAGGGUGGGCGCCCAGGUCAACUGGGCGGGCGCCCAGUGCCUGGCUCCGUUCGGCCUCCGCUUCCUUCCCGUGGCUUCUGGAGUCUUCUAGAUGUAAGAUAAUUGCGUGGCACAUUAAUAUCUCUAUGUAAACCCGACGUGUGGGCCUUUCCUCUGUAUUUCCUGAUAACCCCCUGCAGAAAUAGACAAACACCAAAACUCGUCGAAUUCUGUCAGAUAAAACCCUAAGUCUGGGUGUUGGUUGCAUUUGGAUAAUUUUCCAUGAUUAGUUGAUGGUUAAAUGUGAACAUUAAGGACCGUCAACAGACAUCAAGCCAAAAGAAGAUGAUGAUGUAUAAGUCAUUGAGCCACCAUCCACCUCACAUGUACCACAAGAUGAAGACAAGGAUGUGAGAGAUGCUCAUGAAGACACUCAAGUCACUCAUGAGCAAGCGGUGACACAAGCACAAGAUGUUGAUGCUCCCCAAGCAACCCCUCAAGUGGCGCCAAGAAGAUCAUCAUAUCUCCUCCAAGAUUACUCUCAAGAUCUCAUCAUCGGGAGUCCAUCACAUGGUGUAACUACACGUUCUAGACAUGCUUUAUUUAUUGAACAUCAUGCUUUUGUGUCUCUUGAAGAUGAACCAAAGAAUAUAGAGGAAGAUCUUCGUGAUGCAGAUUGGAUCAUUGCCAUGCAAGAGGAGUUGAACAACUUCUCUCGCAGCCAAGUAUGGACACUUGAAGAGCGACCCAAAGAUGCAAGAUUGAUUGGAACAAAGUGGGUCUUCUGGAACAAGAAGGAUGAUCAAGGCAAAGUGGUGCGCAACAAGGCAAGGCUCGUGGCAAAAGGCUUUUCACAAGUGGAAGGUCUUGACUUUGGUGAAACCUUUGCACCGGUGGCAAGACUUGAAGCAAUCCGUAUCCUACUUGCAUAUGGAUCUAGUCAUGAUAUCAAGUUAUUUCAAAUGGAUGUGAAAAGUGCUUUUUUAAAUGGCUAUAUUAAUGAGCUUGUCUAUGUUGAGCAACCCCUCGGUUUUGAAGAUCCUAGGUACCCCAAGCAUGUCUACCGGUUGUCCAAGGCUCUCUAUGGUCUCAAGCAAGCUCCUAGAGCUUGGUAUGAGAGGCUUAGGGACUUCCUCAUUGAGAAGGGCUUCAAGAUUGGGAAAGUUGACACAACACUCUUCACCAAGAAAAUGAAUGGGGAAAUCUUCAUUUGCCAAGUUUAUGUUGAUGAUAUUAUUUUUGGCUCUACUAAUGAAGAUUUUUGCAAGGAAUUUGGUGAUUUGAUGUCCAAGGAGUUUGAGAUGUCCAUGAUUGGCGAGCUAUCCUUCUUCCUAGGAUUUCAAGUCAAGCAAAUGAAGGAAGGGGUCUUCAUCUCUCAAGAGAAGUACACACAAGAUCUUCUCAAGAGGUUCAAGAUGAUGGAUUGCAAGCCAAUCAAGACUCCCAUGGCAUCAAAUGGACAUCUCGACUUGGAUGAGGGAGGUAACCCAAUUGACAAGACUCUCUAUCGGUCCAUGAUAGGAAGUAUACUCUACCUCACCGCAUCUAGGCCCGAUAUCAUGUUUAGUGUGUGUUUGUGUGCUAGAUAUCAAGCAAUGCCUAUGGAAUCUCACUUGAUUGCCGUCAAGAGAAUUCUUAGAUAUCUAAAAUACACACCUUGCCUAGGCUUGUGGUAUCCCACAAGUGCAAGAUUCCAACUUGUAGGCUAUUCCGAUUCGGAUUAUGCCGGGGGCCGGAUUGAUAGGAAAAGUACAUCCGGAGGGUGCCAUUUCCUAGGUAGAUCUCUUGUCUCUUGGAUAUCUAAGAAACAAAAUAGUGUUGCCUUGUCAACGGCCAAGGCGGAAUACAUUGCCACCAGUGCUUGUUGUGCACAAAUACUCUACAUGAAACAAACUUUGCUAGACUAUGAAGUAGUACUAGACAAAGUACCUUUGUUGUGUGACAAUAAAAGUGCCGUAAAACUUGCUAACAACCCGGUUCAACACACCCGCACAAAACAUAUUGACAUCCGCCACCACUUCCUUAGGGAUCAUGUUGCUAAAGGUGACAUAUCUCUAGAGAAUGUGGGAACGGAAAAUCAAUUGGCAGAUAUCUUCACAAAACCCCUAGAUGAAGCUAGGUUUUGUAUGUUGAGAAAUGAACUUAAUGUGCUUGAUCUCUCUAACUUCACUAAAAAAUGAAAUUGUGUGUUGAAACUUGUAAAUAGCUUUUGUUUUGCACAUCAUGCAUACCAAAACUAAAAUACAAAAAGUUUGUGUGUAGGGCUUGUCUAACAUGGUUAAGAUAACCCCCUUGUGUGUGUGAAAAAGCUUAACCUUGGAUGAAACUUGACAAACAUUAGUUUACUUUCAAGUAUUGCAUUUCACCUGUUAAAUCGAUCAAAGGNNNNNNNNNNNNNNNNNNNNNNNNNNNNNNNNNNNNNNNNNNNNNNNNNNNNNNNNNNNNNNNNNNNNNNNNNNNNNNNNNNNNNNNNNNNNNNNNNNNNGACACUCCUGCAGUUCCUCUCCGGGUACCGGUACUAACGGAUGUACCUGCUCCUGAAUCUCCUCUGGCUCCUCGGGUCCCACCUCGUUCUCCUGCGAGCCUGUAUGAUGCAUGUGUGCUCAUGAGUGGAGUGCGAGAUGCCCGAGGGAUGCUUGUAUGAGAAAGUACUAAAGGAAUCAUGACAUGAUGCAUAGGUGAUGUACUUGGUCAUGCUUAUUACAAGGUAGUCAACAUCAUCCAAGAACAAUUAACUGAAUCAAGCAUCUAUUGCAUUCUCUUCUACAAAUAUUUUUCAAAUGCAACUAGCAACCCCCAUGAUGCUUCAAAGAUACACCAAACCCAACUUAUUCCAUUCAACCUACAUACACAACCAUUCAUAAUUUUCUUUAUUCAUUUCUAGGCCCAUUAAAAAUCACGUGCAAUUCUGUUCAUCAAUAAAUUUCACAAAAAUUACAGGAGACUACCAGCUAAGCGUAAAGUCUACUGUAAAUUUUUCAUAAUUUUUGGUUACUUACUUUGAGCCACAAAAAUCACAAGAUUAAUUAAUAAGGUAAGUAUAAUCACCUUGCUGUGAUAUAAGUGUCAAACAACAGAUUUCAUAUUUUCACAAUUUGUCUAAUAUCAUAAGAAACACCCACGAAAUUUUCCAGAUUUAUUGCAUGAUCCAAUUAAUUAUUAAAAAUCAUAAAUCACUGCCAUGCAAGCAUUUAAAUUACCAUAAAUUCAUUUAUACACCAAAUAAUAUGUAGUAAUAUUUUUCCAGUGAGUAAACACUCAUGCAAAGCUAACAAAACAAGUUUCACAUUUUUCAGAGCCAUAUUCUAUUUACUAUGCAUUUUCCAAAUUUAACAAAAUCAUGGAUUAAAUAUAUUCACACAGAAGAGUUACUUAAUCAUGACAUGCAAACAUACUAGGCUAUAGAUCUUGAAAAACAGGGAACACACCAAAAUUUAUUUUACAAUUUUUGGAGCUAUAUCACCAAGAUAUGGAUUUUUGAACAUUUAAAUCAUUUCGCUGGAAAAACUUUUAAAACGGAAAGCCACCUAAAACGCUAAGCGCACCCGGAUUCACACCCUCGGAGUCACUGACAGGUGGGACACGCGAGUCAGGGGACCCCACCUGUCAUCCACCCUGUGACCCCGCGGCCAAAGAUCGGCCGGAAUCUCGCCGCCGGUGAGGUUUCCGGCGACACCGUGAGCACCUACGGCUGCGCGAGAACGAGACGAGUCCAACCGUACCCUCUUUGGCACCGGACGAGCACCGGAACUACCUCGCCGUCGCGAAUGGCGGACGCGGCGGCGCUGCUCGCCGUGGUCCGGCCAUUUCACGGCGGUAGAGCGUAAGCUAGCGACGGGAAAAGGUGCGCGAGGCCAAGGCGGAUCCAAAGCACCUACGAACGCAAGCAGAGACAGAGAGGAGAGGGAGAACCGUGCGAGCCGAGAGGUCGCCGGAGCUCCGACUCACUCCGGUGAGCUCUAGCGGGCACGCAGGGCUUACCGAGCGCGGAAGAGCGCAAGCACGCGACGCGGAAGGACGAGGCGGAGUCGGUGGUGGUCGCGAAGAGGAAGGAGAGGGCCGGAGCUGGCCGGGAGAGGAGCUCUGAGCCAUCGGCGGCUAUGGCGUGCGGCGGAGCGGCGGGCGCUGCGCGAGAGCGAGCAGAGAGGCGAGAGCGAGUGGUGGAGGGCGCAAAUGGGAGCGGGAGCUUCGGCGGACGCGACCAGGGGCUCCUGGUGGCCGACCAGGGCUUCUCCUCGCCGUCGCAUGCCCGCCACGCGGCGGCCAGGCUCUGCCGGCGCGCCACGGCGGCACGGCGAGGCCGUCCACGCGCGCGGACGCGGGCGCGAGCGCGGGGAGGGGGAAGGGGAAGGCGCGGGCGGGCCAGGCCGGCUUCGGCCAACGGGCCAGAAGUGAGGCCGCGGCCUGCUAGCGCCCCCUUUUCCCUUUCCUAUUUUUUUUUGAAUUUCUUUUCUCAAAUUCUCUUAUAAAUUCAUUUUGGCCAUUUUCAACUCAUUUUCACCACUUUCUCCCAAAGGCAAAGUUGUUCCAAACUAAAAACUCUACAACUUUGCUUUAAUAAGCAAAACCAAAUUCCAAAUAGAAUUUAAAUUACAAAUUAGAACCUAGUUCUAGGUUUUUAAAUAAAUUCUUUUUGGAUAUUUUGUAGAAAUUCCAUUUCUCAAAUUCCAUAGCUCCAAAAAUUACACAAAAAUAUUCUAAAUUCUUCUUACACAUAAAUCAACCUAGUUUGAAUAUUUCACAAUUUUAGGAGCAAGCAUCAUAUUUUUGACAUAUUUAUAACUCAUGAAGUGAAGCACAUAAAAUCAUAAUUUGAAAAGAGUGUCAUGCUCAUGAGGCUUAUGCUUGAUGGGAAUGCUUAUGCAUGACUUUGAUGAGACUAAGUGCAUGCUUAACACCUAGGGUGUUACAGCCCUUCCCCCCUUAGGGAAAUCUCGUCCCGAGAUUUUGGGUUACUAACCAUUUCUUAUGAAAUUUUGGAUAAACUGUUUUUAAGUAAUCCUCUGUUUCCCAGAUGGCAUCCCUAUCGUCAUGAUGACUCCACACCACCUUGUAUGUUCGAACAACUCUGUUUCGGGUUACGCGUUCCUUGGUAUCCACAAUUUCCACUGGCUGCUCUUUAUACUCCAAGUCUGCUUUUAAUUUGAUCCCCCUAGGUUCAAUUCUUUGCUCCGGCACCUUCAAACAUUUCCGCAGUUGCGACACAUGGAAGACCGGAAAGAUCGAGCUCAUCUCUUUAGGUAACUGAAUCUUAUAGGCUACUGGGCCUUUCCUCUCUAGCACUUGGUACGGUCCCACAUAUCUGGGUGCAAGCUUGCUUCGAACUCGGAAACGUUGAACUUUCUUCAUGGGCGUAACCUUGAGGUACACAUAAUCACCUACGUUGAAUUCAAGUGGUCUUCUUCUCUUAUCCGCAUAACUCUUUUGUCGUGACUGUGCCGCUUGCAUAUGCUGUUGUAUGAUCUGCACCUUUUUCUCGGCAUCAUUCACAAAGUCGAUACCAUAGUAUCUUCUUUCACCAGGUUCAACCCAGUUUAACGGAGUUCUACAUCUUCGACCAUACAAAGCUUCAAACGGGGCCAUCUUGAUACUCUCUUGAUAACUAUUAUUGUAUGAGAACUCAGCCAAAGGUAACCAUGAUUCCCACGAUCCCCUGGAUGAUAGCACACAGGCCCUCAGCAUAUCUUCUAACACUUGAUUUAGCCUCUCAGUUUGUCCUGAAGUCUGGGGAUGAUAGGCCGUGCUUCUUAUCAGACUGGUCCCCAAACUCUUAUGCAUGCGCUCCCAGAAGUGAGCAGUGAACUGCGGUCCUCUAUCUGAUAUGAUGGCCUUGGGAAUGCCAUGCAACUUGACAAUCUCAGCCAUAUAUAUAUCGGCAUACUCAGGAGGUCGGUAGCGAGUCUUCACAGGAAUGAAAUGGGCCGAUUUGGUCAAUCGAUCUAUGAUUACCCAAAUCGAGUCAUUCCCCUUCCUUGUGGUUGGUAAACCUGUGAUAAAGUCCAUACUGACCUCUUCCCAUUUCCACUCUGGAACUGAUAACGGUUGUAACAGACCUGCAGGUUUCAUAUGGAUGGCCUUAACUCUGCAACACGUGUCACAACGGGCCACAUACGCAGCUAUUUCUUUCUUCAUCUUGGUCCACCAAAAGUGGGGUCUUAGAUCUUGAUACAUUUUGCUACUGCCAGGAUGAAUAGAGAGCUUGGAGAGAUGGGCUUCAUCCAUGAUGCGAUUCUUCAAUUCCCGAUCUUUCGGGACUACUAACCGAUGUUGAAACCACAGUACCCCCUUCUCAUCAACUCGAAACUGAGUUUUUGUGUCAUCUUUGAUCUUUUCUUUGAUGUGGAAAAUACCCUUGUCGGUUUUCUGACCUUCAAUGACUUGACUCUCGAGUGAACAACUGAGUUGUAUGUGACAUAAGACUUCAGGAUGCAUGAGAUUGAACCCAUCUUCAAACAACGGUUGAACCACCUGAUAGUGCGGUUUACGACUCAAAGCAUCUGCUACUACAUUAGCCUUGCCCGGAUGAUAGUGAACUUCCAGAUCAUAGUCCUUGAUCAGCUCUAACCACCGUCGUUGCCUCAUAUUUAGCUCGGACUGAGUGAAGAUGUACUUCAAACUCUUGUGAUCGGUGUAAAUGUGACACUUAUUUCCUAGCAGAUAAUGUCUCCAAAUCUUCAAGGCAUGCACCACUACUGCUAACUCGAGGUCAUGCGUUGGGUAAUUGACUUCAUGCUUUCUCAGCUGUCGGGAAGCAUAAGCUAUCACCCUGCCAUCUUGCAUCAACACACAUCCCAGGCCACUCUUUGAUGCGUCACAAAACACAUCAAAAGGCUUCUCUAUAUUGGGUUGCACCAGAACGGGAGCAGUGGUUAGCAACUUUCGCAAGGUGCGGAAGGCUAACUCACACCCUUCCGUCCAGACGAACUUAUGAUCCUUUCAUAGCAAACUUGUCAUUGGCUUAGCAAUCUUGGAGAAGUCAGGUAUGAAACGACGAUAAUACCCGGCCAGACCAAGAAAACUUCUAACUUCCGAGACAGAAGUUGGUGCCUUCUAGUCCAUAACUUCCUGCACUUUUGAUGGAUCCACAGCAAUCCCUUCUUCAGACAGAAUGUGCCCAAGGAAAGGAACUUUCUUUAACCAGAACUCACACUUGCUGAACUUGGCAUACAACUGAUGCUCUCGUAAUCGUGUUACCACGAUUCUCAGAUGCUCGGCGUGAUCUUGUUCAUUUUCUGAAUACACCAGAAUAUCAUCAAUAAAUACCACAACAAACUUAUCCAAUUCUGGCAUAAAGACUGAAUUCAUCAGAUACAUAAAGUAUGCAGGAGCAUUUGUCAGCCCAAAGGACAUGACAAGAUACUCAUACAACCCAUAUCUGGUGGAAAAAGCAGUCUUCAGGAUAUCUUGCGGACGAAUCUUGAUUUGAUGAUACCCAGACCUCAAAUCUAUUUUAGAAAACACUCUGGCCUUGGAUAACUGAUCAAACAAGAUAUCAAUCCUUGGCAAGGGAUACUUAUUCUUGAUUGUUACGGCAUUGAGUGGACGAUAGUCCACGCACAUGCGCAACGAUUGAUCCUUCUUUUUCACAAACAACGCUGGACAACCCCAUUCCGACGAGCUUGGCCGGAUGAACCCUUUAUCCAGUAAUUCCUUUAGCUGAUUUUUCAACUCAGCGAGUUCGUUUGGGGGCAUCCGGUACGGCCUUCUAGAUAUUGGUGCUGUACCCGGUAUCAACUCGAUUGCAAACUCCACUUCCCUAUCUGGGGGAAGUCCUAGUAAAUCCUCAGGAAACACAUCAGGGAACUCACAUACCACGGGUAUGUGUUCUAGAGGAACUACCUGUACUGCACAUGAAAGUCUGGCGAAGUCCAACCGUCUAGGUAGCUUGACCUGAAGCACACCCUUCCCUUGCGGGUCUCUAAGGGAAAGAGUUCUAUUCCCGGCAUCUAUAACCGCGCCCCAGUCAGUCAGCUUGUUCAUUCCAAUGAUGACAUCCAAAACCAGUCCUGGCAUAACCACAAGGUUUACACGAAACCUCCGGCCACUGAUAUCCAAAGUAACUCCUGUUACUGUUUUAUUAGUCAACACAUCGGCUCCGGCUGAGCUGAUGCGAUAGCCAUAACCUAACUCAGUAACUGGCUGGUUAUGCUUUUGUGCAAAUGUUUGGCUCAUGAAUGAAUGCGAUGAUCCAGAAUCAAACAAAACAACUGCGAGAUGUUGGUUGACAGGAAACAUACCAGCUGUUACCGGUUCUUCUUCCGGAAUUUCCUCGAUCGAGGUAUGAUGCACACGAGCUGGAUAGGUUGGUUGUUGCCUUUUGGGGUAGGGACAUUCCUUAGCAAAGUGCCCCAUCUUGUGGCAGUUAUAGCAUGGACCUUUGGGCGCAUUGUUGGCGGCAGGUGCUGUGGCCUGGAUUGCCUUCGGCUUGGCAGGGGCUAUCGCCACCUUGUACGGCUUCUGCUGUGUUGGAUGUCCGGUGUUCCUUCUUUGCGGCGGUCGGAAUCUAGCACCUGGGGCAGGAGGACGAUACGGCUGUCGCCCUGCCACUGGUGCCCUGGACUGGGAUGAUCCGGCUUCAAAAGCCCUCUUACGAGACUUGGAUGGACUGUAGUUGUUGUUGUUGUUCUCUUGGGUCAGACAGUCACUGAUAUAGGCAUUGAAAGUAGCCCUAGCCCCUGUACCCAUGGUCUUCAGCAUCUUUGGAUUCAAGCCCCUCUGGAAACUAGCAAUCUUCUUGGCCUCCAUGUUCACAAACUCGGGGGCAUAGCGAGCGAGAUUAUUGAAAGCGUGUAGGUACUCCUUUACAGAUUUCGUCCCCUGGGACAGCCUCAUGAACUCCCCAACCUUCAUUUCAACCACGCCAGGAGGAAUAUAAUUUCCCCGGAAGGCGGUGGUGAAGCGGUUCCAGGUGAUUGGGGUCCCCUCUGGGUAGGUGGUACGAUGGUGGGACCACCAAAUCCCAGCAGGUCCUUGCAACUGAUGUGCCGCAUACUCAGCCUUAAGUUCUUCGGUCAUCCGAAGAAGACGAAACUUCUGCUCCAUGGUGUUGAUCCACUCAUCUGCUUCGAGCGGUUCCAAAGCCUCCUUGAAGAUUGGUGGCUUGGUAUCCAUGAAGUCCUUGAACGAACUGUACUGGUUGACUUCACGGCCGCCCUAGUUAUCCCCACGACGGGUGUUGUCAGCUAUGUUGCGCAGAGCUUCUUCCGUGUUGCGCUGCAUCUGUUCCAUGUUGCGUUGGCUCCCCAGAAACUGCGCAAAAAACACGUCCGCAGUGUACGGAGGAGGCGGUGGUGGUGGCGGUGUUGGUGCUCUGCCCUCAUUCCGUUGAGCCCCACCUCCGGAUGUACCUGCUCCAAGGCCCGGAUUGCUGUUACCCCCGCCACGUGUUUGCACCAUCUGCAUACGCCAAUGAUAAGCAUUCGUUAGGAGUUGCCAUCAAUGGUAGAAAAUGCGUAAAAUCGUGCCGUACUGAAUUUACUGAGGAAAUAAAUUCACACAAUAAACAAAGGCACAACAACUCAUCAUCCACACACAACAUCACUAACAGAUUACUUAACAUUCACGCAACAAGGUUCGCAUACAUCCAACUUGCCAGCAUACAUACACUGGACUUUUAGCAUUAACUCAUAAGUCUUACAUAGCCCAGAUCCAAAAGUACACGACAUGCCAUGCAACAUACAUCACAAAAGAAGAAGGGCUAGCUCUAGAGCCCUAGCAUCUACUCGCUAUGGUCACUGUCCAUGCCGGAGCCAUCCUCAUCCUCAUCACCACUAGCAGCUGCUCCUAUCUCGGGAUCCGCAUCCAUCUCGUCCUCAGAGUCUAGCUCAGCUGCUCCAGGCAGGUGGUGAGGGUGGAGCUGGUUAUGCAGCUGGUGGAUCUCCUCAUGCAAGUUCUCAUUGUACUCCUCAGCAUUAGCUAGCUGCUGCUCUAGCUCCAGGUGUCGGGCCCUCAAAGUGUCCUCCUCGUGCCAGGCUUCAUUCCUCUGUCCAAGCACAUGGACUAGCAUGCGCUCGCAGUUCCUGUGAGCAGUAGUCACCCUGUCCUUCUGCUCCCGUACUGCAAGCAGGUCCUGACUCAGCUCACUGUUCUUCUGGACUGCCUGGUCUCUCUCUCUGGUCACACGGGCCAACUCUGCCUGUAGCCUCUCAACCUCAGAGUCGAACUCACGCUGCAACUGACGCUUCUCAUCCUGGACGGUGAGAAGAGACCCGGACAAGCGACCCAAACAACGCUCUAGGCCUCCAUAGGUCUUCAUCAACGCGUACAUGGCAAUCAUAGCUGCACUGUCACUGUGCUGGUCCUCGUCCGCACUCCUCUCUAGAGCAUUUACCUCGGACUGAUCCCACACCGAAGUGUAGGGGUCACACCGGGGAAACACCCCAGCGAAGGCGUGGUCCUGCUCCUGUGGAAACCUCUCCAUGAGGUCCCUCAGAACUGCGAAAGCUGCCCUGCUGGCACCGUGGAGAGGCGUGACACCUCGGGACUCGUACACCCAGCCGCCCCAAGCGGGGUCUCCUCCACUAGUAGGGACAACUGCCUCGAUCCCCACCAGGGUCUCGUCACCAAGCGGCUCCUUAUCCCAAUAGUAGCGAGGUUCCCUUCCUUUAGGAUACCCCAUCGAGCUGAGCACCCUCCAAAGCAAAGUGGGCAUCCCAAACUCCUCCAGGAACUUGCUCUUAUGUCGCGAGCUCCUAGCUGCCAACGGAUGGUGAGGGGCCCGCCCACGAGUGGACUUGCGAGCGGUGAGCCUAGUGCGUGCCAUCUGCUGCAAAUGGAAUACCGUGGGUAAGAGCGAGGAUUACCUUUAAUUAUUUUAUUUAGAAUUGGGACAGAUUAAAUUAUGGGGGAAAGUAAGCAAUGAUAUGAAAUGAACAUGAUGCAUGCACGAACUUACGAUCUCACAAACUUAAAAACAAACGUUAACACUAAGCGGUAUAUGUGGUGGCAUACAACGUUCUCUCAUAUCGUAACUAGCGUUCUAAGCGAGAACGUGGUUAGGGUACCUGUAGAAAACUCAUUUCAGCCCACCCACACUAUGAUCAUGCAGAGCAAGAAUUUAAAACCAUGCACUUCACAUACACAGACACCUGUCCAUGCAUGUGGCGGGUCACUACCCACAUCAUCACCCUAUUGACGGCAUCGCCUCUCAGGACGGAAUUCCCAACAUGCGGUACUGUUCCCAAGACACACAAAACAUGUGUGCAUGACACAGUACCUAGCAACACUCCCCUAGACCGGCAGUAUAUCCGAUCAUGCUCUCACAGCUCCCACUUACCGUGGCGUAGAGGAAAAAGGGAUCCAUACAUUACCACUCAAAUGAAUGGCACUCAUACUAUUGCACGCCGUAUGAGCGACGAAAUAGAAAUAUGAUGCAUUCACCCCCAAGUCAGUACUUAACUAGCCACCUUAGAGUCCUUAACUGGGCAUAAGGGAUAUGACCAUGGCACACUAGAUAGUUUUCCAAAACUUAGUUUAACACCUUGAUCUUUAUUAAUUACUAAAAUCCUUCAUUAGACCGGUUUAGAUUUUGUUUAGAAUGUACUUAUGAACAGUAACUCGCUAAACCUUGCUUUGAUGCCAGCUGUAACAGAACCGACCAAAUUAUAAGAGAUUAAGCCUAACAACGACCAUUUGCAUAGUCAAACCAUCAGGCUUAAGCCCAUAUAAUCCCGGUAGUCCGUGAAAUCUCGAAGGAUUUCAAACCGCACAUCGCAUAACAGCCAAGAUCAUAAUAAGUUUAGCGGUCGCCAUCCACAAGUACAUCCAGAUUACAACAUUCAUAAAAUACAUCGGAGUGCACAAAGUUAUUACAAACCAAGUUCUUCAAGUAGCGGAAGCUUCAUUGUUCGAAAAUACGACACACACGCUUAGUCUGAUACAGUGCCAUAGUUCGGUCAUUCCCACAAAAGCAAAAGAAGAGACGGAGUGACCAUCGCCCUUGAUCUAGUCAUCACCCAUGGCUGGGUACAGACAGAGGAUGCAAUAACCAUAGUACAUUUGACCAUCUGCAAAACAACAUGGGAGUAGAACCCUGAGUACGAGAAGGUACUCAGCUAGACUUACCCGUCAUAAACUUAAAAUAAAGACUCAUCAAGGAUCAUGAAGGCUAUAUAGUGGGGUAGCUGACAACCAUUUGCCAAAACCGCAGUAUUUCACUAUCAUAACCUACAUAAGUAUCUCUUCUUUUAGUCUGCUCAAGUUGAAAGUAUCAUUACCUAUUAUCUAGGUUUGCACCUGCACUAUUACAAGCAAGUAUGAGACUAUGAUAGUACCUCAUCAUAGCAUUUCUUAAAACCAUUCAUCAUUAUAACCCAAGUGUUCCAUAGUCCUUACUACGAGGACAGGGCUCAUGUCAAGUGCUCACUAUCCAGGAGCGAUGGCGAUUCGAAUCGAUUUCUAACCAGCUGGCGAAUUUAUUCCUCACACAAACCACACUCACUGAUCAAGUGAGCUACAGGUCACCGUGUUGCACUAUCCAGGACCAAUUCGCGGGUUCGACAGGCACCGCCCGUACCCGAGGACCGUUCCGUCGACCGAGGUAUCCAAGGUAUACCAAGGUUGCGCGCCGCGCCCUCGUCGUUCUCCUCAACCAUCACCAAUACAGCGCGUACAUCGGGCUGAUUCCUGGCUCGGAUAGUGCUCAGGCUUCGCGGUUGGAACGACUUAUCCUUCCAGCUAAAUGUGGGGCAUGCGUUCAACAUGACAAGAGGGCCGUCAACGAUCGGUCCUUAAGCGACACAGGCAGGGGCACUAUGGUCAACCCACCAUAAGACCCUGCCCGGUCUCCAAAUUCAUUCCACACUUGGUCAUACUUUUCCCGAGCAACCAAUGCUUAAUCAAACAGGUAUCCACCUAUAUCUCGCAGGUGACAGGAAAUCACCCGACUUCUACCGGACUAAGCAAGCUAAGCACAGACUCCGUGCCUAUCUACAUAUGACAAGGUGGGUGAACAAGUAGGGAUAACAAGGAGUACACAUGCAGCAACGGUAUCAGGCAACUCCUAUCACUUAAUAUGCAAUACAGUAGAACAAGUAUAGUACUUCAUAUAAGUUAGCGAGGAUAGGGAGACUUAGAAUGCUCCAGGGCUUGCCUUUCUCAAAGGUGCUGGGUCGGUGAUCUGGACACACCUGCAGUUCCUCUCCGGGUUCCGGUACUUCCGGAGGUUCCUGCUCCUGAAUCUCCUCUGGCUCCUCGGGUCCCACCUCGUUCUCCUGCGAGCCUAUAUGAUGCAUGUGUGCUCAUGAGUGGAGUGCGAGAUGCCCGAGGGAUGCUUGUAUGAGAAAGUACUAAAGGAAUCAUGACAUGAUGCAUAGGUGAUGUACUUGGUCAUGCUUAUUACAAGGUAGUCAACAUCAUCCAAGAACAAUUAACUGAAUCAAGCAUCUAUUGCAUUCUCUUCUACAAAUAUUUUUCAAAUGCAACCAGCAACCCCCAUGAUGCUUCAAAGAUACACCAAACCCAACUUAUUCCAUUCAACCUACAUACACAACCAUUCAUAAUUUUCUUUAUUCAUUUCUAGGCCCAUUAAAAAUCACAUGCAAUUCUGUUCAUCAAUAAAUUCCACAAAAAUUACAGGAGACUACCAGCUAAGCAUAAAGUCUACUGUAAAUUUUUCAUAAUUUUUGGUUACUUACUUUGAGCCACAAAAAUCACAAGAUUAAUUAAUAAGGUAAGUAUAAUCACCUUACUGUGAUAUAAGUGUCAAACAACAGAUUUCAUAUUUUCACAAUUUUUCUAAUAUCAUAAGAAACACCCACAAAAUUUUUCAGAUUUAUUGCAUGAUCCAAUUAAUUAUUAAAAAUCAUAAAUCACUGCCAUGCAAGCAUUUAAAUUACCAUAAAUUCAUUUAUACACCAAAUAAUAUGUAGUAAUAUUUUUCCAGUGAGUAAACACUCAUGCAAAGCUAACAAAACAAGUUUCACAUUUUUCAGAGCCAUAUUCUAUUUACUAUGCAUUUUCCAAAUUUAACAAAAUCAUGGAUUAAAUAUAUUCACACAGAAAAGUUACUUAAUCAUGACAUGCAAACAUACUAGGCUAUAGAUCUGGAAACAGGGAACACACCAAAAUUUAUUUUACAAUUUUUGGAGCUAUAUUCAUCAAGAUAUGGAUUUUUGAACAUUUCAAUCAUUUCCUGGAAAAACUUUUAAAACGGAAAGCCACCUAAAACGCUAAGCGCACCCGGAUUCACACCCUCGGAGUCACUGACAGGCGGGACACGCGAGUCAGAGGACCCCACCUGUCAUCCACCCCGUGACCCCGCGGCCAAAGAUCGGUCGGAAUCUCGCCGCCGGUGAGGUUUCCGGUGACACCGUGAGCACCUACGGCUGCGCGAGAACGAGACGAGUCCAACCGUACCCUCUUUGGCACCGGACAAGCACCGGAACUACCUCGCCGUCGCGAAUGGCGGACGCGGCGGCGCUGCUCGCCGUGGUCUAGCCGUUUCACGGCGGUAGAGCGUAAGCUAGCGACGGGAAAAGGUGCGCGAGGCCAAGGCGGAUCCAAAGCACCUACGAACACAAGCAGAGACAGAGAGGAGAGGGAGAACCGUGCGAGCGGAGAGGUCGCCGGAGCUCCGACUCACUCCGGUGAGCUCUAGUGGGCACGCAGGGCUUACCGAGCGCGGAAGAGCGCAAGCACGCGACGCGGAAGGACGAGGCGGAGCCGGUGGUGGUCGCGAAGAGGAAGGAGAGGGCCGGAGCUAGCCGAGAGAGGAGCUCCGAGCCGUCGGCGGCUAUGGCGUGCGGCGGAGCGGCGAGCGCUGCGCGAGAGCGCGCAGAGAGGCGAGAGUGAGCGGUGGAGGGCGCAAAUGGGAGUGGGAGCUUCGGCGGACGCGACCAGGGGCUCCUGGUGGCCGACCAGGGCUUCUCCUCGCCGUCGCAUAUCCGCCACGCGGCGGCCAGGCUCUGCCGGCGCGCCACGGCGGCACGGCGAGGCCGUCCGCGCGCGCGGACGCGGGCGCGAGCGCGGGGAGGGGGAAGGGGAAGGCGCGGGCGGGCCAGGCCGGCUUCGGCCAGCGGGCCAGAAGUGAGGCUGCGGCCUGCUAGCGCCCCCUUUUUCCUUUCCUAUUUUUUUUUAAUUUCUUUUCUCAAAUUCUCUUAUAAAUUCAUUUUGGCCAUUUUCAAAUCAUUUUCACCACUUUCUCCCAAAGGCAAAGUUGUUCCAAACUAAAAACUCUACAACUUUGCUUUAAUAAGCAAAACCAAAUUCCAAAUAGAAUUUGAAUUACAAAUUAGAACUUAGUUCUAGGUUUUUAAAUAAAUUCUUUUUGGAUAUUUUGUAUAAAUUCCAUUUCUCAAAUUCCAUAGCUCCAAAAAUUACACAAAAAUAUUCUAAAUUCUUCUUACACAUAAAUCAACCUAGUUUGAAUAUUUCACAAUUUUAGGAGCAAGCAUCAUAUUUUUGACAUAUUUAUAACUCAUGAAGUGAAGCACAUAAAAUUAUAAUUUGAAAAGAGUGUCAUGCUCAUGAGGCUUAUGCUUGUUGGGAAUGCUUAUGCAUGACUUUGAUGAGACUAAGUGCAUGCUUAACACCUAGGGUGUUACAUGCCACGUCAACGAAUAAUCAGGCUGAGUAUCAAGCUUUAAUAAAGGGAUUAGAGUUAUUGAGGGAGGUUCAUGCUGAUGCCGUCAAAGUCUUCGGAGAUUCUAAGCUAGUUAUAAAUCAAUUGGAUGGAAGCUAUGAAUGCCGAAGUGAAGUUCUCAUAACUUAUUACGAGCGGAGUAUGCAAUUGUUGAAGGAAUUCAAGGAUUUCCAAUUAGAGUAUGUUCCUCGAUUGCAUAAUGAAGAGGCCAAUCGAUUAGCUCAGCAUGCCUCGGGAUAUCAGCCUAUGAUUGAUGCAAUAUCGGCAAUUGGUGCUGAUGAUUGGAGAAAAGAGAUCGCUGAUUAUUUGAAAGAUCCAUCUAAGAGAGUUGAAAGGCGAGUUUGGUUUCAAGCCACCAAGUAUGUGCUCCUCGAAGAUGAAUUGUACUACUGAACUGUUGAUGGGAUUCUUCUCCGAUGCUUGGGUGAUGAUGAAGCUAGAAGUUUGAUGGGAGAAAUCCAUGAAGGGGUAUGUGGAGCACAUCAGUCGGCCUUCAAGAUGAAGUGGAUGAUUAGGAGGAAUAGAUAUUACUGGCCGACCAUACUUGAGGAUUGCUUUAAAUAUUUCAAGGGAUGUCAAGGAUGUCAAAAAUUUGGCAAUAUUCAAAGAGCACCCGCAUCGGCCAUGAAUCCUAUUAUCAAACCUUGGCCGUUCCGGGGAUGGGCUAUUGAUUUGAUCGGCCAAAUUUAUCCACCAUCUAGCAAGGGACAUAAGUUUAUUCUAGUUGCCACCGAUUAUUUCACUAAAUGGGUUGAAGCUAUCCCUUUGAAGAAAGUCACAUCGGCCAAUACGAUUGAUUUUGUGAAGGAGCACAUUAUUUACCGAUUUGGGAUUCCUUAGACAAUUACUACCGAUCAGGGUACUAUGUUCACAUCAGGGGAAUUUGAUGAAUUCGCAAUCGGUAUGGAAAUUAAGGUGUUAAACUCUUCUCCUUAUUAUGCUCAAGCUAAUGGGCAGGCCGAGGCGUCUAACAAAGGAAUUAUCAAGCUUAUCAAGUGAAAAAUUGAAGAAAAUCCUAAGCGGUGGCACACAUUAUUAGGUGAAGCUUUAUGGUCAUAUCGAAUGGCUUGUCAUGGAUCAACCAAAGUUAAGUUUCGCCUUAUCAGUUAGUGUAUGGACAUGAUGCAGUGUUGCCUUGGGAGAUUAAGGCUGGAUCUAGGCGACUAUCUUUUCAAGAUCAAUUGGCUACCGAUGAUUAUGCUACUUUGAUGACAGACGAGUUGGAUGAUUUAGUAGGGCAUCGGCUGAGGGCUUUGAUGAGUAUAGAAGAGAAUAAGAAAAGAGUUGCCAGAUGGUACGAUAAGAAGGUGAAGGCUAAGGUAUUUGCCGAUGGAGACUUAGUAUGGAAAUUAAUCUUACCGAUCGGGACUAAAAGUUCAAAGUUUGGGAAGUGGUCUCCCAAUUGGGCAGGUCCCUAUCGGAUAAGUCGAUCGGCUCCUGGUAAUGCCUACAUUUUAGAAACUCUCGAAGGAGUUGAAUUUCCCAGAGCAUUAAAUGGCAAAUAUCUAAAGAAGUACUACCCCAGUAUAUGGGUCGAUGCAUAGAAGUUCAAAUGCCGAUAACACUCCUAUCGGCUAGAUUAAAAUGUAUCUAAGGCCAGACUUAAUGUUGCAAAAGAUGCCGAUAACUGUCCUAUCGGCUAGACUAAACAUUAAGAAAGCUGAAAAAUAGGAAGAGGCCGAUGUGUUGCCGAUGAGGAGCUCACAUACUUAGCAGUGCUUGGAUGGCCGAUAUAGCGCGCAGGCGGAUCUGGUUGGCUGCUUCUAUUUCUUUGACGUCUUCAUCGGCAGAGCCUUCUAUCGGCUUCAACUUUUUCUUCAACUGCAGUGCUUUGCGACCAUGAGCGUUUCGUUCUUGUUCAAGGAGUUUGAUGGUCUCUGGCAGUUGACUCUCUUCCUAUUGGGCUUGAGAUAGGGUGUCCUCCACUUGCUUGAGUUCUGCCAGCAGGGCUUCUCUCUUGGCCGAUAAGUCGGAGAUCUUCUGUUUCAGUGCGGCUCCUGAAGACUUCAAGGCGCCGAUGCUCUUGUGUUUCUCAUUGGUCAGGAGCUUCUCUUUCAUCAUCUCCUCAGAAAGUCGGGUCUGAGCAGCUCUAUCGGCAAGGCGCCGGGCGGCCCUUUGGUACUGCAGCUGACGACUUUCCAGAUGUGCGGCCUGGAAGAGGGUUUCUUCGGCAUCGGCAGGAAUCUAGCUUCUGAGGGCCUUGAACAGAACCUUGGCCGGAUCAGAGUCAUCGACCAAUUGGGCCGUAUCUUGAUGGAGGAGGGCCGACAGUUCUUCCAGUUUAGUCCUGAUCUCUGCCGAUGAAAUCCCAACUGCCCGGGAGGAACUGGCUUCCUCACCUUCGUCUUCGGAGACAUCAAUAGCGAAAGAGAAUAGGCUGUCGGGAGAAUCCUGCUCCUAAAAAGGAAAACAAAGUGAGUCGUUCUAUGAUAAGAGCAUCGGCAAAUAAGACUGGUAGAGACUGGGUGGCUUACUUGCUUCAAGGCGAUCUCUCGCCUUUGGCUGGAAGAUGCCGAUGGAGCCAUGGAUUGGUCGGCCAGAGUUGCCGAUGGAACUACGUCAGCUACAAAUUAAUAGAAGGGGUUAUAAUACCAAAAAGAAUAAGUUCAUCGGCAGUAAUGUUAUAGGAAUGCGUUACCUUGAGGAAGGACGACGCUUGUGAAAGGAUCAAGAUGCCCAAGAGGGGGGUGAAUUGGGCUUCUCUAAUGAAUUUAAGCAACCUAUAAGCUCCAAUUCAACCCCUUGUGCCUAGUGUUGACGGUUCUUAAGUAUCAAUUAUAAUUAUCAAAUAAACAAGAGAAAGGACCAAUAUGCAACCAUCACCUAGAAUUAGGGUUUGAUCUGACAGAAUUGCACGAGUUUUGUUGUUUAUCUAUUUCUGCAGGGGGUUAUCAGGAAAUAAGGAAGAAAGGCCCACAUGUCGGGAUUACAUAGAGAUAUCAACGCACCGCGCAAUUUUACAUCAUCUAGAAGACUCCAGAAGCCACGAGACCGAAGCGGAGGCGAAGCUGGGCCAGGCCCAGGGCGCCCGCCCUGGAAGCCUGGGCGCCCGCCCCCCUGCUGGAGCCAAUUCAGGACUCCUUCGCUCGGGAUAUUCCACCGACCUAUUGGAUCAAGAAAAACAUAGUACCACCUCGGCUAUCGACCCAAAAACGCAUAGAAGGGGAGGACUAUAUAAGCGAGGCCCCCCUGGCCCCUGGAAGACAUGAAGAAAUUAUCAUAGAGACUGAGGGGUGCCCUCAAAGGAAAACCUCUUCUCUAAUUAAUAUUUCUUUUUAGGCUUAGCAAUCAAUGUAAGGUAGAAAUAGAUCUUCUAGUUUCUACUAGAUUGAGAGAGAUAGAGUGGAGGUGUAGAGUGGAGGAAGCCCGGCCUGUCGGUGUCUACUCCAAGCUUGUACCUGCGGGAUCAGGUUCUCCUAACCCGAAGCUUGCUCCUAGGAUUCUUCAGUAAUUCGACUUCUAAAUUCUAGUAAGUUCUUGUUUUAUUGUUCUUAUGGUUUAUGAGUUUACUUUAAUCUCUUCGCGUAGAGUUUAGAGUAAUCAUUGCUGGCAUAAACGUGGUGUUUAGGCUGGGGUACUCAUAGAUAUUCCCUGACUAGCUGGACCGUGGUAGUAGUGAGGAACGUGACAUUUCCGAGCUACCUUUGUAGAUCACAUCUCGUUAGCAGGAAGGAUAGGGUUUAUAGGUGCGGGUUGAACAUCCUUUGUGGUGUCUAGAUUCCGUUAGCCUCCCCAUUAGAACAGUAGAUCAUCCUUACCAAGGUUAGAAGGAGACUACAGUUGCAGUCUUCUCUAUUUAUCACUCACAUCGAAAGACAUUCUUUGUGCCUAAUGGUUAGUAGUAAUAGACCGGUUAGUCAGAUGCACUCUUUCUCCUAGUGGUAAAAAAAUAAAUACGAUACUCUGGAUAAUUUCCCGGGUGAAGUGCUCACCGAUAUCCGUGCGCUUGCGGAUCAAUUCCUUAUUGCGUUCCCAAAUAUCAACAAGCAUUUCUGGCGCCGUUGCUGGGGAGAAAGACGGUUGCUGAGAUAACCUGUGUCUUGCUACUAGCUUGUAUCUAUACUUUUAUCUUUUUUAUCUUUUAUAUCCUUUAUUUAUUUUUCUUUAUUCUUAGCUUAUGGAAAACCAAAAUUCUAAAUCGAUCCAUGAGUCUGCAAUCCCUUUAGCAACUGACCUUUUGCCAUGGGAAUCAUCACAGCCUAUCCAAACACCCCAGUAUAAGUUAAGUUCUAGGUUGAUUGCCAUGAUUCAAAACCUAUCUUUUUCGGGAAAGGAAGACGAAAACCCUUACCUUCAUAUUAGAGAUUUUGAGCAAACAUGUGAUUGUCUUCGCAUUGAAGGCAUUUCUGAUAAGACUUUAUGUUGGAAGCUUUUUCCUUUUUCUCUAAGGGGAGAAGCUAGACAAUGGUACAGUCAGAAGGUAAGUCAACAACAAGGUGAAUGGGGAGUUUUACGAGCCAACUUUUGUCUAGAUUUCUAUUCCCUUGACCGUAUAGCCGACCUUAGACUCGAAGUCCUAUCUUUUAAACAAAAAGAUAAUGAAACUUUGGGAAAAUCCUGGAAACGUUUUUCUGAUCUUUUAGAAUCUGGUCCAAACCAUAAUCUUGAAGACCCUGUUCUUUUAUUUCACUUUUUUCGAGGUCUUCAUAAAAAUCACAAACAAAUGCUUCACACAAUGUCUAGAGGUUCUUUCUUUCGCAUCCCUGCUAAUGAAGCUAGAGUGAUCCUAGAUAGAAUCCUAGAAGCUAAGAUGGAUAAUACCCUUCAUGAUGAAAGCUACGAAGCCGAAGUAGACACUCUACCAAAUUCUUCAUCUACUUUAGCUAUCCUAAGUUCUGAGCCACAAGAGGAAGAAAUUCCACUACCGGACUUCAUGCUGGAUAUACAAUCCGAUCUUUUUGCCGAUUUUGGAAAUAUUUCAAACUACCAUUCUAUUGACAAACCCCAAAACGGUCAGUUUAGCAUUUAUUUACUAAGUGAAUAUCAAUUGAGAGAGCUUAUCUCAGUCAUGAGUAGCGAAUGGUUGGAGGAAUCAGAGCUUUCCUCUGAUGUGAUCCGUUUGGACACACCCUCUAUAACUAUACGCUGUGCUUAUUAUUCUGAUCGAUUUAAUGCUCUUUAUAAUCCUGUUGUGGGGAUCAACAUUAUGUCUAAAUCCUUUGCACUUAAACUAUUUAAAAAUCUUAUCUUAACCCCCACAACAAAGGUCAUAAAGGAAUCUUCGGGACGACUAGUCCCCAGUCUUGGAAUUAUUAAUGUCCUACCUCUUACAGUAGAAGGCUCCAUGGUUCACUUGAACUUCUAUAUCUUUGAUACAUGGGACUUCGACCUGUUAAUAGGACAACCUUUUAGAAGACUCCUUUAUGAAGGUCAUACUGGAAAGCUACACAUUUCUUUUGGAAAAACUUUUCAAUUCCUAAUGAUAAUUUCAUACUCCUUAAAUAAUAAGGCCGAGUCAUAUCUUUUGCCUGAUCCUAUGGAGGAAGUAAAGGCUGCAUCUCUAGAGCUUUUAGAUGAACCAGACUUAGAAGACGAAACUCCUUUCUUCACAGAAGAAGAAGACGAACCUUCUGAGCCUGAACCCUUAGAUGAGUUUGCAGAAACACCUAGACCCCCCAUAGAACAUAAAACUUUACCACCCGGUCUUACCUAUGCUUUCCUAAACAAUAAUCCAGAGUUUCCCGUGAUCAUUAGUGAUAAACUCACUUAGGAUCAGACUCUGCAAUUAAUGACCAUUCUUGAGAAACAUCACUCAGUUUUCGGCUACUCACUUCAAGAUCUUACAGGAAUCAGUCCUAUGAUUUGUACUCAUCGUAUUCCAACAGAUCCUUCUGUUACACCCUCUCGAGAACCCCAACGUAGACUUAACAAUACUAUGAGAGAGGUAGUUAAAAAGGAAGUUAUAAAGUUGCUGCAUGCAGGGAUUAUAUAUCCUGUGCCGCACAGUGAGUGGGUGAGCCCAGUACAAGUUGUGCCCAAAAAGGGAGGCAUGACAGUUAUUAUGAAUGAAAAGAACGAGCUAAUUCCGCAACGCACCGUCACAGGAUGGCGGAUGUGCAUAGACUAUAGAAAAUUAAACAAAGCCACGAGAAAGGAUCACUUUCCUUUACCUUUCAUAGAUGAGAUGCUAGAGCGGUUAGCAAACCAUUCAUUCUUUUGUUUCUUAGAUGGAUAUUCAAGAUAUCACCAAAUCCCGAUCCAUCCUGAUGAUCAAAGCAAAACCACUUUUACAUGCCCGUAUGGAACUUAUGCUUAUCGUAGAAUGUCUUUUGGGUUAUGUAAUGCACCAGCUUCUUUUCAAAGAUGCAUGAUGUCUAUAUUUUCUGAUAUGAUUGAAGAGAUUAUGGAAGUUUUCAGGGAUGAUUUCUCUGUUUAUGGAAAAACUUUUGAUAGUUGUCUUGAAAACUUAGACAAGGUUUUGCAAAGAUGUGAAGCAAAGCACUUAAUCCUUAAUUGGGAAAAUGUCAUUUUAUGGUUAGAGAAGGAAUAGUGCUAGGACACUUAGUGUCUGAAAGAGGUAUUGAGGUAGACAAAGCUAAAAUUGAAGUAAUUGAACAACUACCCCCACCUGUGAACAUAAAAGGAAUUCGAAGCUUUCUUGGCCAUGCUGGUUUUUAUCGUAGAUUCAUAAAAGAUUUUUCAUUUAUUGCUAGACCACUUACUCUUUUGCUAGCCAAGGAUGCUCCUUUCGAAUUUGAUGAUGCAUGUCUAACAUCUUUCAAUUUAUUAAAGAAAGCACUCAUCUCUGCACCAAUCAUUCAACCCCCUGAUUGGUCGUUGCCUUUUGAAAUUAUGUGUGAUGCUAGUGAUUAUGUUGUAGGGGCAGUAUUAGGAUAAACUAAAGAUAAGAAGCAUCAUGCAAUUGCUUAUGCCAGUAAAACUUUGACAGGAGCUCAGCUUAAUUAUGCAACCACUGAAAAAGAGCUUCUGGCUGUUGUCUUUGCCAUAGAUAAAUUUAGAUCUUAUUUAGUUGGAGCUAAAAUAAUUGUUUACACUGAUCAUGCUGCAUUAAAAUAUUUGCUCACUAAAAAAGAUGCUAAACCUCGCCUGAUUAGAUGGAUCUUAUUACUCCAAGAAUUUGACUUAGAAAUAAAAGAUAAAAAAGGAGUAGAAAAUUCUGUUGCUGAUCACUUGUCUAGAAUGUAUUUUAAGAGUCCACAGGAAACCCCCAUCAAUGAUUCACUCCGGGACGACAUGCUCUACGGGAUUAACAGGUCUGACCCCUGGUAUGCAGAUAUUGUUAAUUUUAUGGUUUCAGGGUAUGUACCACCAGGAGCAAACAAGAAGAAGCUUACUCAAGAAAGUCGUUCACAUAUAUGGGAUGAGCCAUACCUCUUCCGAGUAUGCUCUGACGGCUUACUCAGGAGAUGUGUGACCACUGAGGAAGGAUGGAAGAUCAUUGACAGAUGUCAUUCAUCACCAUAUGGAGGUCAUUAUGGAGCAUUCCGUACACAUUCAAAGAUCUGGCAGUGUGGAUUCUAUUGGCCUACAAUGUAUGAAGACACGAAGCAUUAUAUCAGAAGAUGUGGGCCAUGUCAAAGGAACGGAAACAUAAAUACAAUGGAUGCAAUGCCACUCACCAACAACCUUUAGAUUGAGCUCUUUGAUGUCUGGGGAAUAGACUACAUGGGUCCAUUUCCUCCAUCAAAGAAGUGCGAGUACAUCUUGGUGGCGGUUGACUAUGUCUCCAAGUGGGUAGAAGCAUUACCUUGCAAGCAUGCCGACAACGUCAGUUCAAAGAGGAUGUUUGAAGAAAUUAUAUUUCCAAGAUUUGGAGUUCCCAGAGUAGUGAUAAGUGAUGGAGGAGCACACUUCAUCAACAAACACUUCAAGCAAUAUCUAUCAAGACAUGGAAUUUGUCACAACGUCGCUACCCCCUAUCAUCCUCAGACAAGUGGCCAAGCAGAGACUUCCAACAAACAAAUCAAGAAUAUUCUUCAGAAGACAGUAAAUGAAAUGGGAACGGCGUGGAAAGACAAGUUACCCGAUGCACUCUGGGCAUACCGGACAGCAUACAAGACCCCAAUUGGAAUGUCUCCAUACCAAUUGGUGUACGGGAAGACUUGCCAUCUACCUGUUGAACUAGAGUUCAAAGCACACUGGGCCAUAAAGAGAUGGAAUAUGGACCUAGAUGUUGCUGGAGAUUAUAGAAGAAUGCAACUAUCAGAAUUGGAAGAAUGGCGAGAGAAGGCAUAUCACAAUUCAAAAAUCUACAAAGAAAGAGUCAAGAGGUGGCAUGACAAGAGAAUCAAGAAGAAGGAGUUCACACCCGGAGAUAAGGUAUUACUUUUUAAUUCCAGGGUGAAGCUUUUCAGGCAUGGAAAACUCCGGAGCAAAUGGGAAGGACCAUUCAAGGUAAUCAAUUCAUCAUCCCACGGAGCUAUCACACUUCAAAAUAGCGAAGGUAUGUUAUUCAAGGUAAAUGGUCAACGUCUUAAAUUAUUUUUAGAGCCCAAUGAGGAAAUUGAAGAAAUAGACGUAGUCCAUUUUUACCUUCCCAUGGAGAAUUAGAGCCCGACACUUUUGGUCUGAUGGUUUUGGGGCAUAUAUAUAUUUUUCUAAAUAAUUUCGCAUCUAGAAAUGCGCUCAGAAAAGUGGGCCCACAGAGGAGCCAGAGAGAGGGCGGGCGCCCAGGUCAAGUGGGCGGGCGCCCAGGUCAAGUGGGCGGGCGCCCUGCCCCUGUUCCCCCUCGGUCCCGACUUUCUCUGUUAUGGAAAAUGCACUUAUGGUAAUUCGAAUAAUCCCUCGGAUAGAAAGUUUCCCACGCGAGUCGACGGGAGCAACCCGAACAACCCAUAGAGGCAUCCUUUUGACCCCUAUAUAAACAGACCCCUGACCUCAGUUUUCAAACACCAAGCCACCAAGCUUUCUCUCCUUCAAUUAGAGCUUAAUUAGCUCUCCUUCAAUUAAAAUUUUAUUAGUUCCUUGCUACUCCAAUGGCCGACAAGUACCACGACGAUUGGGAAGUCGUCCCCUUCAACCUCAACAUGGAGCCAGUGGAAGACCCCGAUGCCCGUGCUCUCAUCCCGGCCAACACAGAACGUCAGCUAGAAGCCAUUCCAUUACGCCAACGCAGCUCCGCCCAAUCUUACCAUGCUCAACCAGUUCUCACCGCACCACCACAACCCCUACUCCUCAAAGGAUCAUCAUCAAAGACAAAGACCACUAUCAAGGUGCCAAUCGGCACAAGAGUCCUUCCACCUAGACCCAAUGAGAGGGUCGUUGGAGUCAAGACCAACCGAAGCGGUGAGAUCAGCAGUGUUCGCUACACUACGAAGGAGGAAAGGCCUUACUUUGAAGGGAUUAGAGCAUCCAAAGUCCGUUUCAUCCCUCCAAAGGCAGCCCCAAAGCACGCUCUCAAUGCUUUUGAGACACCUCCCAAGCGUCGCAAGACUAUAAUGGAUAUUGAUGAGGAAGUUCGCAGGCUAGAUAGAAUUAUCAUAGACCUCCAGUCCUCGAUUAAUUCCCACACUAGGCAGCUCUCUAACCACAACACCAUUAUACUAGGCCUUAGGCAGGAUCUUGCCAGUGCCAACAAGAAGAUCAAGGAAUUAGAGCGCCGCUAAGUUAUCUAGAUUAGACCUUGAGGCAAUGCAUCUUAGUUAUCUAUCUUUAAAUUCGGUUUAAGUUUGCUAUUAUCAGUUUGUUAUUAUCAGUUUGUUAUCAGUUUGCUAUCAGUCUUUUUAAUAAAUGCCUCAAGAUCAAUAAAGAGUAUUACUAUUAUUAUUAUGUCUUGUGUGUCUCUACUUUAUUUUUGUGCAAGAAAGCAGAAAACAAGUAUGGGGGAGAUCCCUCGACAUGCCAACCACACUCCGACUACACCACUCCACGAUUCAGGUACACACUCUGCACACUUUACUUCAUACAUACAUUUAUUUUGGAUUAUGCAGAUUACUGUUUCCGACAUGAUAAAAUAAAAAGAUUAAAAUAUUUCUAAUCAUGAUUAAUCUCAAUCUGUGAUAUUUCCUGAAAACUUACAAUUAUUAUAAAAUCAUUUUAAAACCCUGUGUUACUUAAGUCAAGAUGGAAUAUGUGAUGGUAGAGUAUGAGUUUCUUAUUCUUGAUAUCAUUGUUGCUUGGAGAAUUUAUUUCAAAAUAUUCAAAUUUCUAGCUACCAUCCUCAGUGUUUUAUAUGCCUGAUAAGACUGAAAAUAUUAAUUAUGAUUAUAAAAGCUAUCUGCUCUUAAUUGAGUUUGUUCAAAAUGAGUUAGACCCUUGUUGAGAGAUUUAUCAUGCUCCCAAGAUCAAGACAUUAUUUCAGUAAGAUUCACUCUUCCGAACUAUUAUUGCAUUAGAGGCAUGGGCUAUGCAAAAAUAGAAAUAUUUCGAGGAAAUAAAAAGGAGCAAGUGCUCGAUAACCUCGCAGAAAAAAAUGGACAAGUGUCCGGCAGUAGAAUUAGGGGUACCUCAGUAUCCACUUAGUAAAAAAAAAAGAGAAAAAAAAAUGAUAGCCCAUGGUCCCUCUAAUAAGCAAUAUGCCAGUAAGAGUUGACAAAGUUUUUAAUUUCCAAAGUCUUUGAUCUAAGAGUAUGACAUUCCCCUCCUCGGAUCCCGUUUUGAGCAAGUAAUAAAUGCAAAGUAAGUAUGCUUAAGAAUUUUUGCAAAUUAAAACAACCUCAGUGAGAUAUAUAUAAAAGAUAAUGAGUGAUCUGAGAGAACCUAUGAGGAUAAAAAGGUAUGCUAACUUUCUUUUAAAAAUAUACAAAAACUCCAAGUGGCAGGAUUGAGAAGAAAGGAUCUUUACUCUUAACCAUAUACAUCCCUGACUAUGGUACACAGUGGAUUUUUAACACCCUGCAAAUAUAAAGAAUGUUUUAAAUGUUUACCCCAGAUAUUUUUCAUAACCAUCCUUUUCUCGAGGACGAGUAAAAGCCUAAGUAUGGGGGUAUUUGUUGACGGUUCUUAAGUAUCAAUUUUAAUUAUCAAAUAAACAAGAGAAAGGACCAAUAUGCAACCAUCACCUAGAAUUAGGGUUUGAUCUAACAGAAUUCCACGAGUUUUGUUGUUUAUCUAUUUCUGCUGGGGGUUAUCAGGAAAUAAGGAAGAAAGGCCCACAUGUCGGGAUUACAUAGAGAUAUCAACGCACCGCGCAAUUUUACAUCAUCUAGAAGACUCCAGAAGCCACGAGACCGAAGCGGAGGCGAAGCUGGGCCAGGCCCAGGGCGCCCGCCCUGGAAGCCUGGGCGCCCGCCCCCCUGCUGGAGCCAAUUCAGGACUCCUUCGCUCGGGAUAUUCCACCGACCUAUUGGAUCAAGAAAAACAUAGUACCACCUCGGCUAUCGACCCAAAAACGCAUAGAAGGGGAGGACUAUAUAAGCGAGGCCCCCCUGGCCCCUGGAAGACAUGAAGAAAUUAUCAUAGAGACUGAGGGGUGCCCUCGAAGGAAAACCUCUUCUCUAAUUAAUAUUUCUUUUUAGGCUUAGCAAUCAAUGUAAGGUAGAAAUAAAUCUUCUAGUUUCUACUAGAUUGAGAGAGAUAGAGUGGAGGUGUAUAGUGGAGGAAGCCCGGCCUGUCGGUGUCUACUCCAAGCUUGUACCUGCGGGAUCAAGUUCUCCUAACCCGAAGCUUGCUCCUAGGAUUCUUCAGUAAUUCGACUUCUAAAUUCUAGUAAGUUCUUGUUUUAUUGUUCUUAUGGUUUAUGAGUUUACUUUAAUCUCUUCGCGUAGAGUUUAGAGUAAUCAUUGCUGGUAUAAACGUGGUGUUUAGGCUGGGGUACUCAUAGAUAUUCCCUGACUAGCUGGACCGUGGUAGUAGUGAGGAGCGUGACAUUUCCGAGCUUCCUUUGUAGAUCACAUCUCGUUAGCAGGAAGGAUAGGGUUUAUAGGUGUGGGUUGAACAUCCUUUGUGGUGUCUAGAUUCCGUUAGCCUCCCCAUUAGAACAGUAGAUCAUCCUUACUAAGGUUAGAAGGAGACUACGGUUGCAGUCUUCUCUAUUUAUCACUCACAUCGAAAGACAUUCUUUGUGCCUAAAGGUUAGUAGUAAUAGACCGGUUAGUCAGAUGCACUCUUUCUCCUAGUGGUAAAAAAAUAAAUACGAUACUCUGGAUAAUUUCCCGGGUGAAGUGCUCACCGAUAUCCGUGCGCUUGCGGAUCAAUUCCUUAUUGCGUUCCCAAAUAUCAACACCUAGUGUGACUCAGAGAGCUACCGGAUAAAAAGUUUUGCAACCUAGUUCCAAUCCUAUUCUAGCAUGGCAAUUCUAAGAAAGUAAAAAUGCAAAGUAAAUGCUAGAAAGUAAAGGAGUAGUGGAAGAAAAUGCUCGGCGAUGUUUUGCCGAGGUAUCGGAGAGUCGCCACUCUCCACUAGUCCUCGUUGGAGCACCCGCGCAAGGGUCUUGCUCCCCCUUGGUCCGCACAAGGACCAAGUGCUCUCUACGGGCUGAUUCUUUGACACUCCGUCGCGGUGAAUCGCCCAAAACCGCUCACAAGCUUGACACGAGGCACCCACAAGAACUCCGAGCGGUCUUCGUGCCUCCAAUCACCACCGAACCGUCUAGGUGAUGGCGAUCACCAAGAGUAACAAGCAAAGAACUCUCACUUGACCCAAACAAGGCUCUAGAGAGUGGUGGAUGCACACUUGACUCUUGGAACUCACUAGAGAAGGAUUCUCUCAAUAAAUCACUCAAACUUCAAUCCUCUCUAGGCUCUUGCAACUUUCUUGCUCCACAACAAGUUUCUCUGAUGUUCAAAUGGACAAGAGACCCCUCAUGGACGAGGUGGAGGAGUAUAAAUACUAUCCACCAAGUCCAAAGGUCGGCCAACCAUUUUCCACUGAAAACGGGGUCACCGGACGCACAUUAUGUUGCACCGGACGCACUGCACCGAGCGUCCGGUGCUUCAUAACGGCUAACUAUACUUCUCUCUGACAGGUCACCGGACGCUAACUUCCAGCGUCCGGUGCACCGUCUGGUGCUGGGGAAAACAUUACAUGCUCCCUGCGCAUGGGACCGGACGCUACCCGGCGCGUCUGGUGCUAGCGUCUGGUGCUCAGGGAAACAUUACAUGCUCCCUGGGUAUGGAACCGGACGCUACCCGGCGCGUCCGGUGCUAGCGUCCGGUGCUCAGGGAAACAUUACAUGCUCCCUGGGUAUGGGACCGGACCCUACCCGGUGCGUCCGGUGCUAGCGUCCGGUGCCUAACCCUAAGCACGGCACUGUUCCAACGGCUAAGGACCUCACCGGACGCACUCACAGAGCGUCCGGUGCAGCGUCCGGUGCCCCUUUGGGCACGCAAACUUCGUCGAAACGCGAUCGCUUCAAAAACGAAGUUGGUUCCUCUCGAUCUAAGGACUAUCUCUGAGCUGCCUAGUGCUAGGUUUACCAAAUGUGCACCACACCUAAACCUAAAGCCUUGCCUAAGUCAAGCUACUAGCUCAAAGCCCCUCUUAAUAGUACGGUCAAAGGAAAACAAAGUCCUAAACUACUCUAAGUGCCCUUCUUCACCAUAUGGCACUUAGACCUAGUCUAGUCUUGACGAUGUCCAUCCAUCCUUUGAAAACCGAAAUGAUUUCCACUAUUAAAUAGGCAUGUACGUCCCUGUCCAUCGAGUACCUUUUUACCAUGACCUUACCUAUGACUUUGCCUCUGCAAAACACACGUUAGUCAUAGUAAUCAAUAAUGUCAUUAAUCACCGAAAUCACUAGGGGCCUAGAUGCUCUUUCAAUCUCCCCCUUUUUGGUGAUUGAUGACAAUCUCGAGUAUGAAAAGAGUUGAGGUUUUUAAAGUGACUUGGUUUCAAUAAGCAUGUUACAAUAAGAGCAAAAAGGAUUAGUCAUGCAUAUAUCAACCAAGUCUAAUAUCCUGCAACCAAAAAUAUGAGUGGUAUUCGACAGGAUAUAAACCCAAGGCUCAUAAGUACAUCGGAGUAAAACGUGGAAGCAAAGGUAAUAUGAGCCAAAACACAUGACAUUAAGAUAUCACAAAAGCACAAGUCAUGUCUCAUAACCAUAGUGUCUCACACAAGUGCAAUGCACAAAAGUAAACGUGAUGCAUGAUGAAAUAGCACACAUAAAAAGUAUCUCAAAAGAAUAAACAACUAAACAUCCUCUCUAGCUCCCCCUAACUCCUAACUCUCUCAUACGCCUCUCUCCCCCUUUGGCAUCAAGCGCCAAAAACCUAAGAAGUCGGUGGAGGAGGCGGAGCGGUGGAGUCCCUCGGCACGGCCUCAAAACGAGCUGCAACGUCUGAACUGUCGGCCAUCGAGGCAGAGGAGGUGGAGUGACCCUCUGAAGCUGCAGGUGCUGGUGAAACGGUCCGGGUCUGAUCUGGUGCUGUCACAGGCUGUGCUGGCUGCUCGAGUCCCGGUCGCUGUAGUUGUCGUCUCUGGCAUGGUAGAAGACGGUGCAAGCUGCUUGGACGACGCUAUAGACGACGACAGAAGCUCUAUAGUGGUAACUGGCGCCAUAAAGACUGCAGGAGCCUGCAGAGGAGGAGGCGUAGGGUCACCAGUCAGAGCACUGUAGGUGAAGCUCAGGUGCGGAUCUGUCGACGAGUCCCACACAAGCUGUGACGCUGACGCUGACUGAGGAGUGAAGCCGGAGCGGAGAGGAGUGAACUGAGGUACCUGCUCAAAGCCUGAAGAGAUAGCACCCUGAGAGACCUGGUGCUGUGGCGUCGAGAACGGCUAACUCUGAGCUGGUAGCUGAAGCGGCUGCUGUGACUGGCUCUGAGUAUGAGGCGCUGGAGUCGGCGGCCUGACAGUCGAUGUGCCUGGGAGCUGAAUCUGCGGUAGCUGAAUCCCGGAGGCGGCCAUGAGAGCGGCUAUCAUCGCUGUCUGCUGAGCCUGGAAAGCAAGCUGCUGCUCCUGAAAGGUGAGAAACUGACGCUUGAGCUCAUCCUGCCUAGCCUGCACGGCUGCAUUGAUGGCAGUCUGGUCCCUAUCUGUCCUGGCCUGUUCCUCAGCUGCACGGCGCUGGUCUGCCCUCAUACCCUCUAGUAUAGCAAGAAGAGCAGGGUCUGAGGCACUAGAAGACCCCCCUGCCUCGUGGUCGUGUGCUCUGGGAGGGAGGUCUGACACUGGCGGCUGAUAAUCAUCAUCCGAGCUGUCUGACGCAAAAUCAAACUCUCCCUCAGCCUCUGCAUCGGCGAAAGAUCCAAUCGCUAUGUCCUGCUGCUCCUCUGUCUCUGGUACUGCUGCUGUACUGCGAGUGCCCCUAGGAGAAGGUGGGGGCACCGGUCCACAUGGAGCACAAGGAGGAGGUGCAGCUCUGAGGUCGUGGUGUGCUCGCAGCAUCUGCCUGGGGUCAUAGUGAGGGAAGACUGUGUCUGACUCUGUCAACUCCCUCUGCAAGUGAGCUGGCAAGGGAAGUGGUCUGGCACGAAGAAUAAGCAGGGUAAUCCAAUGUGCAUACGGCAGCUGACGCCGUCCCCUGAAGCUCUCUGAAAUAGUGUCCUCAAUCUCCAAGACUAUCAAAACCCACAAGUCAAACUGUGUCUGUGUGAUGAGGUGAGCAACGAGCCACUGCUGGAUACGAGUGAAUCCAUCUCUAUAGCCUGUCCUAGGGAGAAGAGUCUUCCUCAACACAAAGUUGAGGAUCCAAGCUGGGCGUGUCAAAUCUCCCACUAUCCUGCUGGAGCCCUCCCCAAAAGGUGGACGAAAACAGGGAGCGACGAAGUCAACCGGUGGUAUCUCACCACCGUGAGGACGACGAGGGGGCUCGACGUUCCCGUAGCACAGCUGGUGAAUCCUGGUGGGAGAGGCUCGUAGUCCAAGCACCUCUCUAUUCCUCUGAGCUGUCACUCUGUAGUCUGUCCCUGCCAGUGCGUAGUGGAUAUAACUGUGAUCUGGAGAAACCCACACUGACGCGUAGAACUCUCCGACCCACUGCACAGUAAGUACCAGGAAGAGCUAGCAACUCUGGGAGUCCAUGGAGGUAGGUGAAGUACUGACGGAUGUCUGCUCCAACCACGUUUCCCAAAAUCUCAAGGUCAAUCACUCUGUGCUCCCUGAACUGUGACUGAGAGCAAACCAGUGCCUCGUGGAUGUCCUCCUGGACGACAGUGUAGAACCUGGCACCGACUCUGGGAUCCCUGGCAGCUGGAAACCAGGUGGGAAACGGAACGAACCUCAGCUGCUGGAUCUCUCUGGCUGACACAAGAGUGAGAUCCCUAUGGAUCCUGACUGGCCUCGGUCGAGAAGCUGGAGUGCCUCUAGCUGGUGUAGCACGAGCAGUGGAGGUGGACUGACCCUGCGUACCAGUCCGAGGAGUGGCCUGGGUACGAGCGCGAGUCGACCUCCGGAGGGGCUGCUCCUGCUCCUGUCCCUCUGUUGUGCCCUCUGCCUGGGCUUCUGUCUCAGUGUCUGUGUCUGGAUCCUCCUGAGCUGGCUCACUGACGUUGAUCCUGACACGCUGCCCUCCUAGCAUGAUGGUGCCUGCUGGUGAUCCAUGUCGAGCCUCGGCCUCAAGUACAGCACGCCUCUGACGUGGCGUGAGAUCUGCCCCAAUCCUCAAAGCACCUGCACGACCACCUCUCUCAGCUGCCUCUGCUGCUGCUGCCACUGCCUCGGCCACCUUUGCCUCUCUGUCGCUAGCCAUGCGCUUCUUGGUGGCCAGCUUCUUACCCUUGCCCUUUUCUGCCGCUGACAGGCGACGGGGAGGAUCACCUCCACCAUCACCCCCUGGGGAACCUCCUGCGCUGGCUGCCGGUCCACUAACAUUCUUGCAAUGUGCCAUUGCAAGAAUUAUUGACUGAUCGAACGGCCGACAAGCAACCAACUGACAAUGGAGAUCAACGUGCUGCAGAAAAGAGGACAAGAUAGGGUAUACAUAAGAAACCAUAACGACUAGAGGUGAGAAAACCCUAUAGAUCGCAAGAGUAGGUAAGGAACGAGCGUAAACUGCUUACGAUCGGGCGACGAGACGCGUUCCGGAUUAAAGAAUGGAAUCGGAAUCCUCCAGAGAACACGAAUCCAAUCCUCAAGGUGCUGCAGAUAAGGAACGAAUCAAAUCAUCGUUGGAAACAACUGUCCAGUCCGUUCAAGCAUUGAAUCGAAUACCUCGAGGACAGGAGAUUAGGAACUCACCCAAACCCUAACUGCGUCGCAAGGAGAGAAACUCUAUGCGAGGAGAAGGAAGGGAAGAGCUCCCUGAGCAGAUCUGGCGCGGGGGAAUCUCUAGGGCGCCGGAGAUCUUGGGAGAGACGACGGCGGCGGCGGCUCGGUGACUUAGGGCACAGGCGCGGCCUUGACUGCGGGCGGAUCCGAGAGAGAAGAAAGAGAAGACCCCCCGCGAAAAGGUCCAAGCUCAGGAUUUAUGCGCUAUUCGCGGGGUCACCGGACGCUCUUUAUGUGGCACCGGACGCGUCCGGUGACCACUGGACUCAUGCGCAGAGAGGUAUGCAAUUCGGCAUCGCACCGGACGAUGGGCACCUGACGCUGGCUUUAGCGUCCGGUGCUUCAGGUCACGCCAGGUGAGCACUGGACGCACCUCACCGGACCCUGCAGGGACACUGUUCCUGCGUCCGGUGAGUGCAGUCUGGCACACUCACCGCACCGGACUCACGGAGGCAGCGUCCGGUGGAUCGUCCGGUGCUCCUCUGAGCACUUUUUCAACGAAGCACUGCGCCCGACUUUGACCGAACCAAGUUCCAUCUUCAAAAGCACACAAAUAAACACCAAAUGGAACUGGUAUGAGUGACUUCUCUCAAACCCCUCAUAUUUUCACAAGUAUUUAGCCAUAGGCUUAGUAGUUUUUAGGAAAAUAGUUCGAGAAAAUCACCAAGGAGCAUCAUAUGGCCAUAAAGCUAGGUGUUUGAAUCACACUGAGCUUUGAAUGCUCCCCCUAUCUAUGGACGAACACAGCAGAUGCUCAACGAAUAACCAAAAAGAAACGGUCAAUUAACAAGCAUGCACAUGAUGUGAGUUGUAAUGCAAUACUUGAAAGUAAACUAAUGCUUGUCAAGUUUGAUCCAAGGUUAAGCUUUUUCACACACACGAGGGGGGUAUCUUAACCAUGUUAGACAAGCCCUAAAAGCAAUUUAUAUUUUAGAUUUAGUAUGCAUGAUAUGCAAAGCAAGGGUUAUUUACAAGAUUCAACACACAACAUUUAUCUUUUAGUGAAGUUGGAUAGGUCAAGCACAUUUAGUUCGUUUCUUAACAUACAAAACCUAGCCUCAUCUAGAGGUUUUGUGAAGAUAUCCGCCAAUUGAUUUUCCGUUCCCACAUUCAAUAGGGAUACGUCACCUUUAGCAACAUGAUCCCUAAGGAAGUGGUGGCGGAUGUCAAUAUGUUUUGUGCGGGUGUGUUGAACCGGGUUGUUUGCAAGUUUAACGGCACUUUUGUUGUCACACAACAAAGGUACUUUGUCUAGUAGUACUUCAUAGUCUAGCAAAGUUUGUUUCAUGUAGAGUAUUUGUGCACAACAAGCACCGGCGGCAAUGUAUUCCGCCUCGGCCGUUGACAAGGCAACACUAUUUUGUUUCUUUGACAUCCAAGAGACAAGUGAUCUACCUAGGAAGUGGCACCCUCCGGAUGUGCUUUUUCUAUCAAUCCGGCACCCAGCAUAAUCCGAAUCGGAAUAGCCUACAAGUUGGAAUCUUGCACCUUUGGGAUACCACAAGCCUAGGCAAAGUGUGUAUUUUAGAUACCUAAGAAUUCUCUUGACCGCAAUCAAGUGAGAUUCCAUAGGCAUUGCUUGAUAUCUUGCACACAUACACACACUAAACAUGAUAUCGGGCCUAGAUGCGGUGAGGUAGAGUAGACUUCCUAUCAUAGAGCGAUAGAGAGUCUUGUCAAUUGGGUUACCUCCCUCAUCCAAGUCGAGAUGCCCAUUUGAUGCCAUGGGAGUCUUGAUUGGCUUGCAAUCCAUCAUCUUGAACCUCUUGAGAAGAUCUUGAUUGUACUUCUCUUGAGAGAUGAAGACUCCUUCCUUCAUUUGCUUGACUUGAAAUCCUAGGAAGAAGGAUAGCUCGCCAAUCAUGGACAUCUCAAACUCCUUGGACAUCAAAUGACCAAAUUCCUUGAAAAAAUCUUCAUUAGUAGAGCCAAAAAUAAUAUCAUCAACAUGGCACUCUUUUUUUUCUCGGCUACGAGUGAUUUGGUUUCCCUUAUGCAAAAUUAUUGUGUCUCACUUCAUCUCCAGUGUGAGUUCAUCUUAGGACUUUCCCAUUUUGGAUUUGAUAGUUUUCCUGUAGGGGUUAGUCAAACAAAAAUAUUCCAAUAUCUACUAUAGCAUACUAUCAGCUCAAAAAUCAAACUAGACACCAUGUCUAAUUUGAUUCAAGAAGGCAUUUUAACCUAAGCACCACACUUAAUUUAAAAAGCCUUUGAAUGUAAGAUCACAACUCCUAAACUAGGCACCAUGCUUCAUUUAAGAGAUGUUUGAAACUACUUCAAAGCCUAUGCAUACUAUAGCAAAUAAAGGUAGCAUGAGAGCGUUAUAGAUAUUUUCUCAAUAGUGAUGAUAGUGUAUGAUCGCAAUGAGAAAUAUUAUUAUAUUUUUAGAUGCAGAUGAAUUGUAUGCAUGCAAGGAACUAAACAUGAUGUGGAUGAGAAAACUAAAUGAAGUGGAUGCAUAGAUGAUUCAAAGUAAACAUGCAGUGGUAUGCAAGGAAAUAAAAAUAUAACUACUCAUAAGGUUUAAAGCCCAUGAGUAAGACUAUCUCACCUUGAUCAUACUUACCAUGAUGCACAACUGGGAUGAGUGGCGUAGCAUAAAUAUCUGUCACAUGUGAUGGGGUUGUAUUCUUGUGAAGAUGAAAUUUUCUCCAAUCAACACAUGGUUAGAAUAAAUAAUAUAUAUGUGCAUACACAAACCUGUGAGAUGGCAGGGUUCCAGAAUGAUGGAUCUUGAAUGUUCAAGCACCCUAGUUCUUCAAUCUUGUGGAACCUUGUCACAAGGUCGAAGCCGCAUCUGAUGUCUUGUCUAUUCCACACUCAACAGAACAAAGGGGUAAUCCUACUAAAGCUAGUGGUACACUAAAUUAGCAGACAUCAAGAUCAUUAUCAAAAUCUUUACGCCAAUUGCUUCCCCGGCAACGGCACCAAAAAUGCUUGUUGGCAUUUCUUAACGCAAUCACCAAAGAUAGACAAAAACCCUAAUCCCUAGCAACCAUGCCAGAAAUGCUUGACGACAUUCAUUAGUGCAAAAAGAAGUAUGAAAGACUCUACAAGCGCACCGAACAUCAUCGUAGCAUUUUACCAGGAGUAUUCCAGGUAUCGUUAUUUAUAUUUUACCACAGGGAAGCAGGGUUAAGAAUCUUGAUAAUUCACUAUCCUACAUCUACUAACAUAAAGUAUCAACUAAACUAAAGCAGGGGUAAAUGAUAUACUAUAGAAUAAACAAUUAAGCACAUAUAAGAGAAUUCAAUGAUAAAUGUAUAGCUAGUCAUAGCAGGAGGACAACAGGAAAGAUCAAGAUUCCUUUAUACUUCUCUAUUAGUUAGGUUCUAAGGCAACAGAAUAUGAAAAUAUAUCACAUAAUGGCACUUUGGAGCAGCAGGUCCUUUCCUAUCACAACCAUAUUUUAAGAACAAAAUAGGAUGCAUGAAAGACUCAUAUGUGCCCCAGGAAUAGUCGCACACAUAAGUAGACAAAUCUCAAAUGUACCAUUGCAGUGUUUAUUACAUAGCGACACAUAAUAAAUCACAUAGUCUCAUACAAAGAUGAUAAUAAUAUUAAACAAUGCUCUCGACGGAAGCUCCACACAGGGACACUGUUGACUGGUUGACUCCAAACCUAGUACUCAUAAUGGUAGUCCUCAUUCCAAGCAUCUUCAUUAUCAUAUUCUGAGGUGUUGGGAAAUUGUAAGAGUGAGCACAUAUCGUACUCAACAAGUAUAACCAGGGGUUCAUGAGGCUCAAAUAGCUGACACUGGUUUGACUGCAUUUAGCUUUUAUAUGUAGAUAGCAUAUUUAAUUAUUGGAUAGCAAUUAUCAAGGUAGCAUAUUAAAUCCCAUAACCACAUGAUCAAUGUAUACAAGAAUUAAGAAUAACACAUAUAAAUAAUAUAAUAAACCAUUAUUUAUUAUCAUUAUUCACGUUCAUCAGUGUCCAUCUAUUCCGUCAGUUUUCCGGGCCGCCCGUAUCCGCGGGCACGGCUAGUAUACCAGAUUUAACACUCUGCAGAGGUUGUACAUCUUUACCCUUGAGUCAUGAUUUACCCUAUCGCCCGAGGUAGCUAGUCUCUUAACCCCCUUCCUAGGGAGGUCGGCAGGGAUCACUAUGAAGCCAUUCAAAAGUUCGUCUAGCAAGGUUUCCUUCGCGAGCAGAUAUAGAUACCCCCCUUCCGAAUGGCACAAUGACGCGUAGCCUAUACACAUAGGGACAGGGGCUCGCACUAUACCCGUGUCGGUUCAGCCCCUCUAGCGCCCUUUCGGGUAACCGCUAACAAGCUAGAAAAGGUCUUCAUACUGAGCUAAAGCCAGAGCCAUAUAGCCCUCAUGGUUGUACGAGUUGUCCCAGCUUUUGCCAAGGGAUAAGUCCUUAUGGAGGGUCAAGAUCAAUCUAGCAAAAGCCAGAGUUCUUUCCACUCUUUAUAUUCAAGUUGGUAGAAAGCUUAUUUUAUUGUUUAUUGUAUAUUCAAAUAUUCAUGUUACAAGAUCAUGGAUUAAUAAUCAAGCACUAGCAAGAACUACCCAAAUGCAUAUCAAAAUAGGUAACAAGGAAUUCAGGAUAACAAUCAUCUAUGAUUUUGCUAAGGUCAUCAAGGUGAUAGCAUGCAUAUGAUAAAUGUUAUAUUAAUUGUGUAUAGGUAAUAAGGAUAAUCCCAAGUUAUACUUGCCUUGAUCAAAGCUCUCCUGAGCCUGCUGGUCCUCAAAAGCUUGGUCUUAAUCACCAACGUACGGCUCACCGUCUAUUCCCAAACAUCAAUCAACAACACGCAAUCCAAUGGAGACAAUCAUACACGAAGCAAACAAGCUAUUAUUAGAACAAUACACCAAACAGUAGUAAAACAAAUAUAAAAGUUUAUCAAAAUAUUCUACGCAGCGCUACGAUCACACAAACGUAAAGUUCAUGAAAAUCGGAAUUAAAACGGAGAAGAUAUGAAUUUUCCAAGAUUUCCUAUAGAGAAAUAAUUAAUUAAAUAGUACCAGGAAAUUAAAAAGUUUCAAAACAGUGAAAUAUUACUUCUAACAUGUAGAGCUCGUAAAUACGAAUCUAACGAAAUUUGAAUGGACAAAAACGGAGUUAAAAUGAAUAUUUUAUACGCCAUUUAAGUUCAUUGGCAAUUCUGUAAUGAUAGGAAAGCGUAAUUUGAUUCAAACCGACGAAAAUACGUUUCCCAAACUGAAAAGCGUAAAGCUGAAAUUAUGCCAUGGACCAUGGGUUGAUUCCUGGAAAAGUCCAGGGUCUCUUUAGCAAAACAGUCGGGCGAACGGGUAUGUUUUAAUCCUGGCCGUUGAUCUUCGGUUGGAUGGCUGGCAGGCUUCCGCUUCCUCGGAGCGCAGGGCCGUCGUCCGGCCGGAGGUCAGCACCGGCUCGGUGGCGCCUUGGCCACCGUGAGGAAGCUCACCGGCGCGGGUUUCUCGUUUCCGAGCACCGUUUCAAGAAAGAAAAACACCGGGACGUGGAGAAGCUUCACGCGAACUCACCUAGACGCUCGGUUCGCGCUGAUUGGAAGGAGAUAGUGCUCGUCACGGUGAAGGAUGUGCGCGGCUGUCGGCGAGAUCCAAAUCGCGUGGUUUAGGGCGGCUAGGGCUCGGUUUCGCGAUUAGGAUGCAGAUGAGAGUUCGCUGCGGUGCGCAGGGGCUGAAAAGGGCGCCGUUUAGCCAAAUUGGCAAGGAAAUCCCGCUUCCCCGGAUUCGGUUCGGCGCUGGAGAGUCUCCCGGCCGAAACCGGCUCGUCCACGCUGGGAAGAAAGAGAUAGGCGCUGAUGCGUGGGCCCGUGUCGUCAGUCGCAGAAAGGAGGGAGAGGGAGGGAAGUGGGGCGCACGGGCCGGCCUAGCGCUUGAUGGGCCGCAGUGGAGAGGAGGAGGCGCGGGGAAAAAAACGCUGGGCUGAGCCCCGGCAUGGCUUUCCAGAGGGGCGUUCACCCCUUUUUUUCUUAUUUUUUUUUUCCAAAACAUUUUUUCCAAAGGCUUUUAAUUAGAAUUUCGAGAGCAAAUAAAUUCUAACAAAAGUCAGCAGCAUAAUUAAAUAAAGAUGCUCCAGCAUGAAUGCAAAAUUCACGUUUCUAAAUUUAUGAUAAAUUUUAAUUUGCACAAAAUUAUUUAUUUUGCUAGAUUCAAAUGCUCACAAAAAUUAUUAAAUAAACAAAUUAAUUCCUAUUAAUUCAAAAGCAAAUUUUUGGGUGUUACAUUUCCGACUCUCGAAGAAGACUGGGAAGGAACUAGUCGGGGGAAGGCUGCCAAAGGCUCUACAAAACAUCAAUCCAAAUAUGGUGGAAUACAAAGGCCUAACAGGGCUGUUACCCCUGGGGCUACCACAACUAUCUGUGGGAUUGAGCGCAACCUCAGGUAAACUAUAGCAUAGACACCACGUCUACACUAGCAUUUACUACUCUAAUUACUAUAAAUAACUAGAGCUCAUACGAGCGAAGAUCCCAUGCCAAGAUAUAACAACUAUACUAAUCAUAAAUAGGCAAAAAGUAAAUAGAGAAGAUAAUAUAUUAAAGCAUAAGUCUUACAAAGAAGAGAUAUGAAAACAUACCAAAAGUCUAAAGACUCCUCUAGAACCGGAGCGUAGCUCCACUGUCCCUAACUCCCGACUAGAACUAAUCUACUACAAUUGAAUGUCUAGACCUAAAUCUCUAGAGAAGAGAGGUCAUCCAUUUGAGGGCACCUCCACAACUCAUAAUGAUUCUCUUCUCCAAUGGGGGGGUCAGGGUCUUUAUUUAUAGCACCCUAGGAAUCACGACAACUCUUGGAUCAAAUAGACUUAAACAUGCACUUAAGAUUAAUCCUUAAAGUCGGUGGAUUGGGAAUCCGCGAGGUUGAAGAUGAUUGGCUGCGGUAGCUGGGCGGCUGCCCAAGGGGGGAGGAGGGGGCGCCCAUCCCCUGUGGCUGUUUGCCUGCUCGUUUGUUCUGGUGUAUUCUCGAACCUUCUAGACUCGAGAAAAGUGUAUUUUUUGUGAAAUUCAUAUUCCUUCAUCCGAGACUCCAAAUAGGGCAAAUGAUAUAUGGAUUUCAAUCAUCUCGAUGAGCCUGUCGCAAUGGUGUAGUCCAAUUCAUCAUUUGAGAUACUUUUAUUAAAUGAUUAGUUUGCCUUUAGCUCUUUUCCUAUGUGACCCCUGCAAAACAUAGAUGCACCAAAACUCAUGGAAUUUGUUAGUUUAAACCUCUAAACCUAUGUUGGUGAGCAUCUCUUUGCAGUUAUAAAAGUUAUGUCGACAGUUAAAAAUAGGAGUUAACUACCGUCAACAGUUGGCUUGCUUCAUCUUCUCUUGAUCAUAGCUUGCAUGAGAGAACUAAUAAGAAUACCACUUGAAAUAGCAUGACUAGCUCUCUUUUCGGUGUUGCUUGCUUUCUUGAUCAAUCCUUUUGAUUACUUCCACUAAGCAUCUCAAAUGUCCUUUAGAUCACCACUUCCAUGUUAGCCUUCCAAGCACCACACUUGGUUUACCCACUCCUCGGGCGGCAAGCCCCUCUCAUAGGGAGAACUGACAUCUCUCCAAAGAACCAUUCUUGAUACUCACUUGAAUUGCUUUGAUUGAUUGAUUCAAGUGAUGGACUUAAUAUGAUGAGUAACCAUGAAUCCUUCAUCAAGUCCUUUUCUUUCUACCAAAUGAUCUUCAAUAGUCACUAGAACUUAAACUUCAUCUUCAUCUUGAGUUUGAUCUUAAUCUUCAACUUGAGUACUAAAUGUGUACACCAAGUACAUUCCACAAUCAAAUAGCUUUGUACUCAAUAUUUCUCAUGCUUCUAGAUUAAUUGAAAACCAAACUUAAGUUCCUCAAACACUUAUAAUCAUGUUUCCAACUUGAGGACCUUUCAAUUGAAGUGACUCUAGAUCAAUUCUAAUAUUUGUCACUUUUUUGGAAGACUUUGUAUCCUUCAAAGAUAAAUUAAUAUAUCAUAAUGUACAGAUCCAAAUAGCACGAAAUUUGGUGGAGAUGUGCUUCACUAAGUCAUCCAGCAGCUGUAAAAGUUUGAGCUUCAUUUGACUUAUAGAUUGCUACCAGAUUUUAAUUCUUCCACAACUGCUACAUGCUGAAAACUACUGCACUAUAGCUGAUAAGAUCCACUCCAAAACCAAAGUAUCUCUUAUUCAAUUCUCAUAAAAGUUUUAUAGCAUCUUAUAUGAUAAGUGUAUAGCAUGCAUACCAAAUUUCAAGCCAUUCCAAAUAGAUUCGACUACUCAAACUCAGACUUGAUCUCAGCCAGCUCAGUCUUCAAUAUUGGAUAGAUUUUAAGCAAUUGAGCUAUACUUGUUCAAAUUGAAUCAAAGUUGAAAUCAACUUGAUUGAAUACUUUCACAAGACAUAUAUCCAUUCAAUUCACUUACUAAAAGUCAUCUUACGAAUUUAUCCAACUCAAAUCAAUUCAAACUUGAUUACUAUGCAUUUAAUCCAUUCAGACAUCUCAUAGCAAGCAACAUGCAUAUAUAUCCAAUUCAAUAAACUCAUAUGCACCCAAAUCAAUGUGAUCAACAAAGAUAUACCUUGGUUGGAUCAUGAUCAUCCCAAGCUUCUUUUCACAGUUUUGCAAGCCAUUAUAAUUCCAAUAAAUCAUCACAACUUGAAUAUAGCACUUUUAUGUUGUAGCAUUUGGACUUCACUUGUUUUGACAUGGCAUUGGGAUAAGAUAAGCAUUAAGCUUCAUAACUUGACUCAACUUAUGAUGAACAACAUGAGGCCAAUUGAAUCAAGCCUCCAAUGUCGAUGGUACCUACAAACAAUCAUCCACUUUUUGAUGGAACCCAAACUAAUUUGGGUCCUCUCAAGUUAGGAGCAACAUACUUAGGCAAUGCCUUAGUAUGAGUAGCGGGAUGCAAAAGCAACCAUAGAGGUACCAUUAUCAUCCUUUCUAAGCACACUAGUAUUAUCAAUUGAAAUAGGCUUAGAAUUCUCACCUAGGGGACAAGAAUGAGCUAUGUGUCCCCUUUCCCAGCAUAAGUAGCAACUUCUUUUGGAUUGAGUCUUUUCUUCCAUGCUCAUGUGUUGCUUCUCAUUUCCUUGCCUCUCAUGAGUUGCUUGAGCCUUCUUCUUAAGCUUGGUAGAACACUUUAGUGUCCCUCAUUCUUGCACUCAAAACACUUGAUGUGGGUGAGGUCUUUUGAUGAUCUUGAUUUUCUACCUCCCUUUAUUGUCUUCUUCUUCAUCAUCCCUAUGUCACCACCAUCUUCAUGUUAGAUCUUGACUUGAGCUUGGGGUGUCUUAUCUUGCUCAACUUGUGGCUUUGGUUGAGACUUCACUUGAUGCUUCACCAAUUGCUUGAUUGGGCACAUUGAGGUGAGAUGACCCCAAGUGUGACACUUGAAGCAUUUUACAUGCUUGAGCCUCUCUUCUUCUUUCAUUUUCUUGAACUUCUCUUUGUUUGGACAACCAUUUGCAAGGUGUCCUGCUUCAUGGCACCGAUAACAUAUAGUAUGAGAAAGUUUCUUUUGAUGGAGCUUCUUUAUCUUCUUUUCUUGCUUUCUCUCGCCCUUUGUCAACUUCUUCUUGAAGCCAAGGCCACACUUGUCACUGUUGGCGUUUCUUAGUGAAACUAUUAAUGAUAGAGUUUUAGUCCAUCCUUAAUAAUAACACUAGAAAUGUUCUUGGCAUAUCCUAACCACCAUCACUUUAGAAAGAUAAACCAAGACCUUUUACGGCGCUGGCCUAGGUAGUGCAGUCUAGUACUGUUGACGGUCCUUAAUGCUCACAUUUAACCAUCAACUAAUCAUAGAAAAGGAUCUAAAUGCAACCAACACCCAGACUUAGGGUUUUAUCUGACAGAAUUCUACGAGUUUUGGUGUUUGUCUAUUUCUGCAGGGGGUUAUCAGGAAAUACGGAAGAAAGGCCCACACGUCGGGUUUACAUAGAGAUAUUAACGUGCCGUACAAUUUUCUAUCAUCUAGAAGACUCCAGAAGCCACAGGACCGAAGCGGAGGCCAAGAGGACUCAGGGACAAAGCGCCCGCCAUCCUUUCCUGGGCGCCCGCCCUCAGCCUGAGUCCAAUCAGGACUCUCUUUCGGGAUAUUGCUCCACCGACCUAAAGGAUCAAGGAUAACCGUUCAAUCAAUGUCGGUUUGAUCCAACGGCCCAGAUUCACUUGAAGGGAGUAUAAAACCAGACCCCCUGGCCCCUGGAGAUCAUACCUCUUCUACAGAAUCAAAGUUAGGGCUUCAAUUCUUCAUCCAAGUAGAGAGGAUCCCUCUAGUUCUUCUAGUUCUACCUCUAGUUCAUCUAGAUCUAGUUCUAGUUCAUCUAGUUCUAGUUCUAGUUCCUCUAGUUCUAGUUCUAGUUAGUUCUAGUUGUAAUCUAGAAAAUAGGGAGAGAGAAGAGGAGAGCGGAGGAGGAGCCGGGUCUGUCGGAUCUUCCUCAACAUUAUACUUUUGCAGCAUCUGGUUCGUUCUUCAUCAUUCUCCAGGUUCUUCAAUUCAUAAUUCCUGAGUUCUUUAAUUACUUUUAUUUACAUUCAAGUUAUUUAUUGGAUUCCCGCUUGCAUCAAGUGCUCUAGUCUUUAUAAUGCUAGAGUAGUAAUUAAUAGAUUAGACGUGGUGUUUAGUCUUGCGAUUAUCUAGAAUUGCACCCAAUCCUGCGGAUUGUUGUGGUAGCCCUAGGGUAGUGACAGCCCUAACGGUUGACGUAUUCCACCUCGUUCGGAUCGGUGUUUGUAGGACCGUAGUCAGACCUUCCUAGCCCCCUUCUCAUCUCUUUCUGUUGUUAGUGCUCUGAUGUCCCGAUAUAGAUAAUCUUGAAGUAAUUCUUGAUUCUUAGAUCAACUAGAGAACUCUCAGGAAACUUCCUCUCUUCCCACCAAAAAUAAUUAUAUAGUUAUCCUUGGGCGAUCUUGGAUCGUAAUUAGUACACUCACGUUCCCUGUGGAAAAUCGAUACUCUGGAAUACUCCCAGGUGAAAGUUACAUCGGUAUCCGUGCGCUUGCGGAUUUCUCCGUUUGCGUUUAAAAUACCCAACAAGCUUUCUGGCGCCGUUGCCGGGGAACGGAAGGUGUGCUAGUUUCGAACCAAGUCGUCCGUGUAUCCUUUUUCUUUUCCUUUUUUACCACACUCACCUUAUCAUUUUCACCAUACCACAUGGAUUUCACUCUAAGCAUCAAUGAGCAUGGAAUUUAUUUCAUAGCCACUUCAUUUACUCCAUGCUCAUAUGCAACAUAUUACCAAUCCAUUGGUCUCUCCAACAUCACCACAUUCGAGAUCUCCAACCCCCUCAUCCUUUCUAUUUAUAAAAACUUUAAAAGGGCGGUUGUCGAUGCAUAUGUCUAUAUUAAAUAUUACAAAUAUCGUUGAGUUGAUCUUGAUAUAGGUCAGUGUUGGAGGGGAAACCACUUCGCCGACAUAAAUUGAUGGUUUCCCAAGGACAAGCUUAGUGUCCUAAAACAAGCACUGAUCAGACCAUAACAUGAACUUUUAAUUAUUUGCAACAUUAACUUGUGUAUUGAGCAUAUAAGGAUAAUUGUAAAAAUAUUCCUUCGGGUAUUCUUAUCACUAACCUUUCCAGGAUUGGAGCAAGAAGAUCGGAUGAAUGACAAGCACAAGGUAUGUCCAACCAAUCAUCAUACAACAGUGAAUUAAAUUCAUCCAAACUUGAAUUUUGCAAAAUUCAAGCUUGGGGGAGUACUUUACAUUAAAAACUUCCUUUGCCAUGUUGCUAUGUUGGUUGUCCCUACCUUUAAGACAUGCUCAAUUUUGUUAAAUACUAAUCACACUACUUCAUCUCCACUUGAGUACAACUCUAUAAAUGCUUUCAUGCUACCUUUAUUUGCUUUAGUAUAUGUCUAGGUUUGGAGUACUUUCUUUUAUCUCUUAAUUAAGCAUGGUGCUUAGUUUAGGAAUGAUGAUCUUACUUCCAAAGGAUUUUAAAUUAAGCAUGAUGCUUAGGUUAAAAUUCCCUCCUAAAUCAAAUUAGACAUGGUGUCUAGGUUGAUCUUUGAGCCGAUAGUAUGCUAUAGUAGAUAUUGGAUAUUUUGUUGGACUAACCCUUGCAGGAAAACUUUCAAUAUCGACCUGGGAAGUCCUGAGAUAAACUCACAUUGGAGACAAAGAGAGAGACACAUGAAGUUUAACAAUUUACACAAGGAAAGCAUAGCUCACAAGAGAUGAUCCAUGGAGGGUGCCACAAACACGAUGCACAACCGCUAAGAAAGGAAAGCUUCAACAAGGUGAUACUAUACCAUCACUCUUCAAGUAAGGUAACAUCUUAAGGUACUUUAUUAUCACUUUUAUAAGAUUUUCCUUGGUUUUGGCGUUCACAUGAAUAAAAGAGACAAACAUGUAUGAUUUUACUCUAGAUUAACCAACCCAAUCGAUUCAAUAUGUUUAGUCCUUCCACCUUUGUGAUCCUACACUCCUAAUCAUACAAGCUAAAAUGUUGCACACUCAAUCUUUGGAAGAUAUAAACAAAACAUAAGUAUAGAUAGAUUAUCUUUCCAUUAGGUUGAGCGAUCUGAUCUGACAAAUGUUUUAAAUGCUAUACUCAUGAUCUUAUUAUCCAUCAACUUUGUCUUGUUCACUAUGCUUAAGGUUAGAGAAGAACAAAUACACUUUUGGUUCUGUUGGUGUUUUCCACCAACAGGGCCCAUGCACUUGAUCUCUGCCUUGUCUCUAUGAGCAGGUACACUUCGAGCAAAAUAUGAAGGACUUUUACAACUCCCAGACUCCACCAAGUGAAGAACCUAGAUCUACGAGCACAAACACACUGGAGAUACUGGACACUCAGGCAAUCACUGCCCUGAGAUGCUUAAGGACGUAACUACUGGAGUAACCCCGUUGUGGAAGUAAUUACUGACCUUCUGCCGGUCAAGAGAGACAAACCAGGACGCCCCGUCAUCCCGAUCUCCAUCGGCAUGGUGGACUUCCUAGAAGCACUCUAUGACUUUUGCUCCAGCGUCAACAUUAUGGCCAGGCUUGCAGAUCGUACGCUAAGUUUCCCAAAGAGAAUAGUGAAGAACCUCUGCGUCCGAGUUGGUACCUUGUACGCCCCAGCAGACUUUGUAGUGAUAGAAACUGGUACUGAUGAGAAGGCACCCAUCAUCAUACGGAGGCCAUUCCUGAACACCUCGGGAGCUCUCAUCUACGCUAGUGCUGCCAAGAUCAGUUUCUACAUCAAGGGGAGGAAGGAGACGUUUUCCUUCGAGAACAAGAUUACACAAAUCUCAGAGCAAUCUAGACAUGAACCAAGGAAGAGGACCAACAGGAGGGACAGGAACAAGCAAAUGUGGACCAAGUCAACUAAGAUGGUCACUGCAGUUCAAGGAGGUCAAGAUUGUCGAUUUAAAUCACCGUUCCUGACCAAAAAGGACGAUUCAGAUAUCCCAAGCAUCUAGUGCUCCAUUAAUGGAUACAACUUCCAGAAGAUGCUUUGCAACACUGGAUGGCAGAUCAAACAUUCCGAAAGAUUGAAGGUUAUUAACAUGGGAGAAGACGAGCACGAUCCACCCAUCAUCCUUGGAAGACCGUUCCUCAGCACCGUUAAAGCAAUCAUCUACAUUGGAACUCGAGAAGUCCACAUGCAUUUCCCCUCUGAGAAGGUACGCUGCUAUUUUACUGACCCUAACUAUAUAGUUGAAGACUCUAAGCAGGUCAGGACAAGAAGAAGACAACGCAACCGCAACCAGAGGAGGCAAAUCAUCAAGGACGGAUGGGCAGACUAUGAAGAAGAAGUGGUAAGACCUGAAGACAUACAGCUUGAACAGAACUGUCCUAAGGAGACCAUAGCACCGAGUCAGGUGUGUAGAGAGAAGAUAGUUAUAUAUGAAGAGCAGGCGCCGCCGGAACCACCGACUACGCCAUUCAGCGAAUCCCAGGACGACUCAGAAAACGGAGAGUCCCGUUCGGAGGACUUAAAAGCACCGAACGCCUUGCCAAGAGGUAAACUUGGUAGUUAUCUUUUUCCUUUCAACUAUUUAAAAUAGUUUGCUUAGUUAAUCAGGUUCAUAACAUCUUGAAAAGAAAAUAAAAAUGUUAAAAAUAGUAAGCCCCAUGUGAGUAUGCUCAUGGCAUAAAACCCAUAAGUACAUUCACUGUGGUGGCAUAAAAAUAAAAUAAAUAUAUUCCUAUCCUAUAAAAAUGAAAAUAUAAAAAUAAAUUUAUGAUCCUACCAAAGAGUGUAACAUUUAUUGAGGAAGCUCAACAUGAUAAAGGCUAGAUAUUUAUGCUAACACCUAAUCAGUUUCAUAAAGCUUUGUUGUCUAUUUGAGCUCCACAGAAUUCAAGGAUCAAAGAAGACUAGCAGACGGAGGACAUCCUAAUCACUGUCAGGGUGCUGCCGACAUUCAAACACACCUCCGCCACCUGCUAGCUACAUCAGAAGAAAUUGCGUCAAAUCCAGUUUGGGGGAGAGCACCUCCAUUUAUCCAGCUAAGUGUUCUACUCAUGUUUAUACUUUACUCUAAUAAUAAAAAGAUGCAUAAUCAUAUAAACCCAAAUAAAGAUUUUGUGCUUAUAUAUAUAUCUUUGCUUAGUUUGCUAAAUAAAUAAAUAAAUAAAGUUUGCUAUGAACCCUCAUGAUAAGCUCUCACAUGGAAAUGAUGAGUAGUUGCUCUGCCAUGACUAGUUCUCAAAAUUGAAAUCUCCUCCUAAGUUUAGGCCUGACUGUUAUUAAGUAAGUUUUGCUCUAAACCUGAACUUGUGGGGAGAGUACUUGAUCUGAAAUCUAAGUCGUUAACGGAUAUGAUAUGGGAAGGUUGAGCUGCUGUUUAUCUAUUUCUAUAGAUGCUAGAAUUCUGGAGAAUUUUAUCUUUGAAAAUCUUUAAAAUGUUGCAUGAUGAGUUCCUGUAUGAUGAGAGUUUAAAUUCCUACCACAGCCAUAUAUACAUGCUUAUUAGAUUAUGAACCACAUAUCUACUUUACUGCUUAUGAGCAUUGAGUGUGGUCAAGCUGUGUAGACCCUUAGGAGCUUGUCAUGUGGUUAAAUCAAGAUUCACAUGCACGUUCACUCACAUGUGUUGCUUCUACUCCGGAAGUACGCAUCCACAUAUAUCCACUCACUUCCAUCUCCAGAGCCACCCAAAAUUAUUCUACUCCUAAUUCGGGAGAGAAUAGCCAAAAAUAUUUCUGUUUCUCCCCUGCGAAAUAAAUGCUCAAGAUAUCUUGUUACUACCACUUGCUAUAUUAUUUCAGGAGAUGAGUGCACUAAAAAAAGAGAAAAAAAGAGAAAGAAUACGAGGAAAUAAAAAGGGGCAAGUGCCCGGAACCUCGAAGAAAAGAAAAAGUGAGACGAGAGGUAAAAAUGGACAAGUGUCCGACAGUAGAAUUAGGGGUACAAGAUACCCACCUGAGAGAAACGAAAAAGAAAAUAUAGAGCAUCUCAUUCUCCUUAAAAAGUUUCAAAAGAGCAAGAAAGGUAUGUAUCCCCUCAAAAGAGUACAAGUAGAAUUAGACUUUCACCAUUGUUAUCACCAUCAUCACCAUACACCAUUCAUUCGCCACACAUGCACAUCUUGAUUUGAUUUAUUGACUUGUUCUUCUAGAUCCAUGGUUUGACUAUGCAAUAAAUGUCUUGUAAGUACGUAUUAGCUGUCUCCCACCUAUGAGCUCUAGAUAUCAAAACCUUAUUAGAGUAGGGUGAGAGAGAAGACAAUGCCAUUAUGCCUCAUACCAAAAAUACCACAUACUUUGAGAGAAGGCAUACACCAUUACUGCCUUGGUAAGGUUCCAGAAAUAUCACAAAAGAGAGACUAGAGAGAGUCAUACAAGGAAUCUCUGAGUUUUAUUUGAAAAUCUACAAAAACUCC